GGACGUCGGAGGGGUCGGCGGCGCUGUAGGCCCUCCUCCCGACGAGGAUGUUGGCGGCCUCCGUGGGGUGGAAGGCGUCCCAGAAGAGGUACUCGUUCCUGUUGGCGCACGGCGUCUGGAAGGGCAGGCAGGUCACCUGCCCGUUGUUCCUCCCCACCCCGCAGCAUCCCUUGUUNNNNNNNNNNNNNNNNNNNNNNNNNNNNNNNNNNNNNNNNNNNNNNNNNNNNNNNNNNNNNNNNNNNNNNNNNNNNNNNNNNNNNNNNNNNNNNNNNNNNNNNNNNNNNNNNNNNNNNNNNNNNNNNNNNNNNNNNNNNNNNNNNNNNNNNNNNNNNNNNNNNNNNNNNNNNNNNNNNNNNCCCCCCACCCCCCCCCCCCGCCCCCCCCCCCCCCCCCGCAGCAUCCCUUGUUCAGCACCGUCAGGCCUGCAUGCAUGUCCAUUUCUUCCAGAUUCAGACUAUCAGCAGCAUUACAAACGUGCAGCGCCGGCAGCUCGACGGCCGGGCCGGGCCGGGUAGCAGAUCGAUUGGAUAUUUCUCACCGUUGGCCCCCGGCGACCUGAGGAUGUCCUGGAAGAUCCCGUAGGCGUUGAUGUAGGUGAAGUGCGCGCCCGGCAGCGUGUUGAACUGGUCCACCAGCUCCACCAGCUUCUGGUUGAAGAUCUCGAUGGCGCCGUUGAUCCGCGCCACGCAGGUGACGCCGUCGGAGCUCUGCUGCGCCAGCUCGUUGGGGCUGCACCCCACCUGCCCCACCCCCAUCAGCGCCACCUUCCUCGCCCCGUUGUUGUACAGGACCUGCAUACAGGCACGCACGUACAUUACAUACACACAUCAUCAAGUUCAACAACACAGCCAUGCAUGCAUGCGUUUCACUGCAUGCUCGAUCGUGUUGGCAACUGGGCAUGCGGUACGUGCCCUGAGCUGCUGCGUGUACUGGCUGACGAGCACGUCGGCGUACUGCUCCGGGGUGUACUGCCGGCUGGUGGAGUAGACGGCGGGCAUGAAGUAGUUGUUGAGGUAGUCGUUGCUGCCCAUGCCCACCGUGAAGAUGCACUGGCUCAGGUGGUUCGCCGCGGAGUCCUCGUCCCCCAGGAUGCUCACCAGCUGCUGCACCGCCGCCUGGUAGUUCUGGAGCUGCCCGCCCAAGCUUAUGCGCUGGCCCUGCAUGCCAUGUUCGGCAGCGUUCGUGCAACGUUAAUUAGCUAGGCCACGUUAUUUCAACACGAUCAUAUACAUCACGUUUCUUCUGCGAAAGAAAAAAGUUUGUGAGUGCGUGCCAGUUGCUGUCCGGUCUCGUCCCUGAUUCCGGCCGCGGCCGAGGCAAAGUUGACGCCGGAGAGGAGUUGAUCGUUGUUUGCUCCCGCGUACGCUGGGAUGUAGUCGUCGAAGCCCAGAAGCCGAGCUGAAACAUACAGCAAAUUAAUUAAACGUGCGGGUGCUAAUCCAGUUUGAUGAUGCAUGGAAUGGAAGUAGACCUAUACAGGGUGGACAUCUACAUCACUAAACUUAUCUAGCCACUAGUUCGUUGGUACGCUAGACAAAAUCUGCAUAUAUAUGGUGUCAUAAAGUUCAGUGAACUCCAUGAGCACAAAUUGAACUAGUCUUUAACGGAUGAUGGUGACGCGACUGCACACAUGAGUACAGAUGCGCAGUGGCCUUCUUUAGCCUUGCUUCCAAUCUCCAGCGAUCAUCUGGCUCAGGCACAGUCACGGGUUGCUGCCUGUCUGGUCUGGUUCUUUUAGCUGCAUCCGUCCGCGCGCUCCUUAACUAGACAAUCGUGUCCACCCCUGUGCUUCAUGGAUUUUGCCUUUCUUUUUAGAUUACCAAGAUAGCAUAUGGACAUCGUCAUCACGGUAAAUGAAGGGGUCUACAUCAUCACAACAGAAUUUGGCACUUACUCUAUGCAUCAGAAAGACGUGUGCCGCAAAUUAACACCUCGUGUACGUUCAGUCGAUAUGUGUGCAGUCCUAGGUGUUAUUUUACAGAGGCUAAAGAAAGAAAAAGGAAAGAGCGCGGGCCGGGUCUUACAGAUGGCGUCGACGGUGGUGAGGCCGUUGCUGAAGCGCCCGGUGGCUCCGCCGGGGAAGUCGAUGCCGUAGGGCGGGUAGUUGGCCCGCGCCAGCGACGCGAUGUCGUUGUUGUUCCCAUUGUCCACCAGCGAGUCCCCGAACACGAAGUAGCACGGCACCUGCGGAUCGGCGCGCGCGCUCCGCCCGGUCGCGGCGGCCACCAGAACCACCACCACCAGCCACGGCGCCACCCACGGCGAGACACGCUCCAUUUCUCUCGCCGCCGCGCUUCUUAGCUAGCUAGUAGUAGCUAGCUGCUUGACUUGGAAGUUGGAAGGUUCGUGGCCAGCCGGCGGACGAGCUGGGUAGGUAGGUGGGUGGACGGAGGAAAUGCGUGAUCGACCGGAAGAGGCCGGCACGUUCGAGCCGUAUUUAUAGGGCAGCUGGUUGAUGGUGGCUACCGCUAGGGCUAGAUCAUGUAAUGGCCGGGGCGCGCGCGCUCGAUCUGGAGGGACACGGUUUGCUGUAGCGCUGCAGUGGAGACGCUCCGGAAGUCGUCGGGAUCGGGCUACCUCUGCAUGUGCGUGCAUGGUUGGAGCAGUCACGGUUGGUUAAGAGCCGCGCCGUGGGGCCGUAUUGAUUGGUCACCGGCCGCGCGUCGGGGUAGCGCCGUAGUACCGCGCCGGCGGCAGGCCUGGCCUGGUGCAGUUUGGGAUGCAAGGACUGUGAGACGGCCGGGGGAUUUGCAGGUAGCGUCGUGGCACGGACACAGUAUCGGCUCGUGUUUCUCACGUCAGGCCGGGACUCAGGAUGUCGGCCUGCGUGAUUCCUCGUUUCCGUCCCACUGGGUGACUGUUCAAGAGGACAGCAUGCAUCUAUGGAUUGGUAAGUGGCAGUUGGUUACUUGGUUCCACUAGUAACAGUGCACGUGUGUGUACUCAAAAUAUGAUGUAAAGGAUGUAGUAUCCUUGCUCGAGGUAAUCAACAAGUAUAUAUUAACAUCACAAAAUCAAUAUCAAGUCUUCAAAAAGAAUGCAUCAGAUAUGUGAAUGGUGUCAACAUCCUAAUAAUGAUCGGUGCAUCAUAUCUGGAAAACAAUUUAAGACAUAAGUUCAGCAUAGCACAUAGCACAUAAAACAAUUCAAGACAUAAGUUCAAAACUACAAUAGGGAAGCCCAUGUCUCUAUAAACAUAAGACCAUGUAAUCUCACACCCUAUCAACCCAUGUAAAGAAAAUUAAUAAUGGAACAAAACUUUGUUUGCUCCAGCUGCAAUCGUGUAGAUGUAGAAAACAAGUUGAGGAAUAAACUUCAGGUUGUUAGGAAUUUGAAUGGUACUAUGGCCACAACAACCAUCUCUCAUAUUUUCAAUAAAAUCUUAGAGCAAUUUGAUGAAAGCGAUCAAAAUGAAUGCCCGUGGUAAAACCCCAUUGACAAAUCUAACAACUCACCACCAACACAAAUGCCAAGAUAGCAAAUUUACUAAUUCCAUCAAAUGUUUUUUGUGCUAGCCAAUCAUCUAGAUUUUCCUGCCAACAGUUUUCUAGAAAUUAACCAUGUUCUAUAGAGUAAAUGUUAGCUUGCGAUAAUGUUCUAAAUGACUUGAAUCCACUACAUCUUUUUUUACUGCUUGAAUCCUCUACAUCCAAAUAAUGUUAUGCAAUAUUUACUUAACAUGGGCCGAUGAUCUCAUCCCAUACAGUUUUCAGUUUGUUCUACAUUAUGGCAAAGCUUUUUUUUUCAUGUCAAGCACUGCUUUGGUACAAACAAAUAUCACUUCACUCCCAUAUUCAUUCAUAGAUUAAGCGUAGUCAGUUUAUCACUUGUCAUGAACUCAUUUUGGCUUAUAUACAAUGAUCUAAUCACAAUUAUACAUAUGUUCUAACAAUCACUCAUGCUUCCUUCAGUGUAGCAUCCCUCCAAUGUUGCCAACACAGCAAUACAUAGUCUAGAAUAAGAGAACAAAUGUGUAUGUAUGACUUUUCAACCAUCAAUCAACACUCAAACUAUCUUUUUAAGUAUUACUAAUUGCACAGGGGUCAUCAUGUUGAUUUAAAACAACCUUAAAAUUACAUGCAAGCCAUCAUUUAAACCAUCUUGAAAUUAUCUACAAGCAAGAAAUACAACCAACUAAAUCAAUAUCAAGAAAGAUAAGGGAAAAAUGUAAACUAUGACCUCGAACAUCCGGAUGUGGAUCCUAUGGAGUUUUAUGCACCCAACACAUGUUGGCUUGUAUAGCGAAACAGACCUAGCAGACAAACAAGAAGUUCAGUAUGAUAGACCAUGCUACCUUGUUGAGAAAUCAUGAAAAAAAACUUGAAACCCCCACAAUAAGCAUGAUGCACAAUGAACGUACGGCUUGAUAUCUUUAUCAACAUCUCUUCAGUGGCACUACAAAAUAAAUCAUUAUCUCAAAACUGUUAAGACCAAGAUAUUUGAUGCUUAAAAAUUAAUAGAUCAAAAAUAAAAUGAGUUAAAAGAAGACUAACCUCAUGUCAUAGAUGCAUUUUUUUAUGCCUACUACCAUUGUAUACACAUAACAAUAAAAUUUUAUACACGUAAAAAUAAAAUUUUCGUUCCUACUACCUCAAGUUCUUGCGUGUAGGAUCGGCUCAUUGUGGCGUCUCUAAUUACAUAGUCAGAACAAUUCUUAAAAAGAUUUCCCAAAGUCUAGGAGAACUUCUUAAGCAGGUUAAUAUAAAUAGGUCUUCAUAUCUAACCAGCUCAUUCUAAAAGUGCAUUUAAAACCAUAAAGCUAAGUGAUACAUGUACAUGGUCAUGCACUUAUCCUGGCAGCCAUCUAAACACUUUUGUCCACACAUGUAUGCUACUAAACUUGUGAGAAAUUUAAAAAUCUGAGCUAUACAAACAUGAAACCUUGCUAUUCAAAAAUCCAUGUUUAUGGCAGAAACUUAAUAAUUUUGCCAAUCAAGCAUCGAGUUCCUACUUGAUACAAUUUGCUGCACACUUCAUGAAGUACUUAUAAUUUUCAAUUACUAUUUUUUAAUUUGGUUGAUACUACUGAGUAAAAAGUUUUUUUUCAUAGAGGCUUAAUACAAGUUUCAUGGAAAUUCAAAAAGGCAUUGUACACACAUAUUUCAGUUUCACGAAUAAAAGAUAGUCCGGAUUCAGAUUUUGCAAAUCAUGAUAAUUUUACAUAAAACCUAAAAAUCUAAGAAACAAAUCUCACCUUCGCGUUGUCGGAUGGUAGCAGUUCACUCUUACAAGUUGAGUUUCCAUCAAAAUGCUAGCAAGUCAAGAAAAGUAGAGUUUGUAAUAAAAACUGAGAUGGUGUGAUUAGCAGUUGACAUCUACCAACCUCUCGUGGCGUACCUAUAUAUCAAGAUUACAUCCAAUUGUAAUUAAUCUCAGUUCCUGCAAAAAGAACAAUCAGUCACAAUACAUGAUGCGAACAUUUGAAAAUAUAUAUGUAGCAUUUGCGGCUCCAAAUGUUGCUUAUCAUUGGGCUUUGGAAUCUCUAAUAAUCUAAGAAAUCUCCAACUCUCUAAUUUCUAUUACAUUUUUCCUUUGCUCCACUCGGCCCUAUAUUUCUUAUUCUUGCUACUGCAGGAAAGCAGUUUUAGGUGUACCGAACAUUGAGACCAGUAACUUUAGAACUUGGUUGUGUCAUUGUCACGCCCAAGAUGCGACCAUAUCCUCAAUUUGGCACGAGGGCCUCGUCGGGGAUAGAAGCGCAUCUCGUCGUAUCGCAAGAAUGGAUAUCGUUACAAGUACAUGUACUGAAAAUAAGAGAUAUAUACAUAGAAUUGGCUUACACUCGUCACAAGCUACAUCAGAGUCACAGCAGUACAUUACAUAAACAUCAAGAAGCCUAGAAAUUACCACAAGCCGCCUAGAAAUCCUCAAUCACGAAGCUCGCGAUCUCGUCGGAUUCCCUAGUGGAAAACCUCAACUCUAAGAUUACCCAAAGCAUCACCGGAAUCCCGAUGCAUAAGAUAUUUAGUCUAAGAUAAAAACUAAUCCAGCAAGGUCACCCGGUGUGUCGACGAACCCGAUAGGAGCCGCGUAUCUCGUUCUCAGGACACACCGUCUAUGCAUAGUGGACGGUAGCAAAACCUCGAGUUGCCCCAGGUGGCACCGCCGACUGCUAGGUGGGUGGACCAACACUCAUGCGGAGCACUAGCCCGGGGGGUUAAUUAAAUUAUCCUCGGGGUCCGGAAAGUCCCUAUGCAAUUUUAUUAGGUUAUUAGGCAAAUGUAGUACCAAUGUUGGGCCUUGCCGGACCAGCUUUAAUCUAAAACGAAUUAUCAAGGGGGUCCCCAUAACAACCCCGAUCGUGUUAGGAGCGCUCAAUUAUGGAACAUAACACCGGUAGCCGAAAACUAAGGGGGCAAAGGUGGAACAAAACACCAGGCUAGAAAGGCCGAACCUUCCACCUUUUACCAAGUAUAUAGGUGCAUUAAAUUAAAUAGCAUUUAAUAGGGUGAUAUAACAAGGGACCCAUGUUUUCACAUGGAAGCAAUGCACCUGCAACUAGCAACGCUAACACAAGGUAAGCAAGCAGUAACAUAGCCAAUCAGUGGUUUGCUAGAUUGAACAGGUUGAAGGUUUUCAUGGCAUUGUUGAGAGGCUAAUAUUUAACAUGUGGUAGGCAACGAGACAUAAACGGUAGCAACGGUAAAACUAGCAUGGCAAUGAUAGUAAUGGUAUCUGGGGAAAUGAUCAUCUUGCCCGAGAUCCCGCUUGGAAGAAGAAUGCCUCCCUGAAGCAAACGAACUGACGUAGUCGAACGGGUCCUCACAAUCUGGCACGCUGCGGAACUCUAUCGAGACGAAGCAAACUGGAAACACAAAUCAACACACGGAAUUCACCACACGAUCCACAACACAAAAUAUGCAUGAGCAGAUGAAUACAUGCAAGUCACGGCAUGACAAUCACACAAACAAACACUACACAUUAAGUGAAGUUCAAUAUGCAACAGUUGCAUAUUGACGAAACUCCAUGUUAAUUAUUUAGUUCUAUCCCGAUUAGAUACACGACAAUAUUAAAUGUGGUUAAACAUGGCAAGAGGUGAAGUGCAAUUAAACUACCUAUCUAGGCUUUUUAAAUAAGGUCGGAAAUGACAUAUAGCACCUCCGAGACGACCUCACAUGUUAAUUUACAAUUCUGUCCAGAUCUGAACUAACACAUUUAAUUAGUUGUUAAACAACAAAACAAAUAGGUUCGCGUGAUUCUACGCGUCAUUUCAAGCAAUCUACACAUAGACAACAUCUCCAACGGAGCUACGGUUCAAAAGAUACGGACAUCGCAAGAUAUGAUGGCAUGAAUGCAAUAUGUAUGCAACGACGGUCACGAGCACUUCAAAACAUACAACCAGUAAGAUAAAAUGAAACUACACAAGAUUCUAAGCAAGUUUCAUGUAGGACACGAUCAAAACGGAGCUACGGUUCAACAACUACGAGCAAAACAAGGAAACACUACAAUCUGCCAAAAUCAGCCACAUAGCGUUUUCUACACCCCACAACUACGAGCUACACAACUCCGAUAUGCUCAAGCAAGACAUGGCACAAAAGAGGGCAAGAAGCACUACAACAAACAACUAACAACAACUAGCAUGGCAUCAUGGAUCUCUAGGGAAAUAAGUCACAAAAUGACAUCUCACACACUAUAUCAGACUUAAUGAAAAUAGCAUUUUUUGAAGUUGCAGUUUUCGAUCUGAAGGCAUAUUGACAGCAGCAAAACCUAUAGCUACAGGCCUCCAAAUGGCAUGAAAAUUCACAUCAAGCUAGAUAAACACAAGGGCUACAACUAACUCCAUUGCACAAACCUCAAAAAAGCUACAGAUCACAAGAUAGAAGCAAGACAAGACAGCAACAAAAUAUAACAGAUUCCAAACUUAGAAAUAUUUCAGCACCUCCAAAUCAGCACUACAUCUAGCAACUUGAGAGCAAGCAAACCACACCUAAACAUGCAUUUCUAUUGCAACUAAAAAUACCAGGGGCUAGAGUAAACACCCAAGAACAACUCCCUAGUUGACAACUUAAACAAACGAAGCACGGAAUAAAUCCUACGAAAAAGACAAGAAGGCAACAUGACAAAAUAUCGCGCAAACUAACUUUCUCAAAAGCUAAAACUAAUUGCACAGAAAAAUCCCAAGCGGCAAAUCCCUACGCGCAAAAAUACCAAUGACUACUCUAAAAUACAUGGAAAAAUGGUUCCUAAAACAUGGGCAUUUAACCUACAGCAUACGAGCAAUCCGGACUUGCGCAAAAAUUAAAUACGGGCACUAUCCUAUCUAGACAGCACGCUAAACUAUGCGUUAGGCAUGCUAAACGACGUCAAACAAAUAUGCAAGUUGUGGAAUCGCAUUCUACGUGAGAAACUACACGAAAACCAUAUGCUACACGCCUCAAAUCGACUAACGGAAUAAAAGUUACGGGCGUUUGAAUAUACGUCUAUUUUUCUGGAUUUUAAAUAAUUCCGAAAAUCCCUAAAUACUCUUACGGGCCGAACUGGGCGCAACAUAGUUAAAAAGGUGCACAGACGGGGGAGGAUCUCAGCCUCACCUUGGCCCGGUUGGAGGGGCUGUGGAGUGGAGGUGGCCGACCUGGGCUUGGGUCGGCCUGGUGCAGCGAGGAGGAGGCCUCGGCCUGGCCAUCGCGGGGCGCCCUGGACUGGUCCGGCUCGGGGCCCAGCCGAGGCGGUAGGUGGCGCUAGCCACGGGACUUCUCGUGCCCGAGGGCACGAACCUGGCGGCGGCGGGGCCUCCAGCGGACGGCGGCGACGGGAGCCCGCCCGACGAGGCUUGGGAUCGGCGGGGAGGCCGCAGGGAGAUAGAUCCGGCGCGGGAUCCACCUGACCUGGUUGCGGCGGUGUGCGGAGAGGACUCCAUGGCGCGAAGGCUCCUGGCAGGCGGCGCAUGGCGGCAGCAUAGGGAGGACCGGCGCGGUCGAGGGAGGAGCUGGCGGCGGGGCUGGCGCGGGGUUGUGGCCGGACGGGGCCGGAUCGGGGCGGCCUGCGGCGGCGGUCGCCGGCGGGAAGCGGAUCGGGCGGCGCGCAGCUCCUGGUAGGAGGAGCUCGGGGCUGGGAGCUGAGGGAGGAACAGGCGAGACGGCGACGACGGGAUCCGGGCCCGGGCGGGCCUCGGAUGGGCUCGGCGGGCUCACGGCGGCUGGGGCUGGUGGGGGAGAGAGAGAGUGGGGGGAAUUAGGGUUAGGUGGCGCGGAUCCUAAGGUAGGAGGAGAGGGGGCUGUCUAAAAUACUCGGGGGUCUAUUUAUAGAGAAAAGGGGGCUAGGUUACCCGGAAUUACGUUCCGGAUCCAACCGUGCGGUCGGAUUCGGAUGAUUCCGAAUGCGGGAAUGGUUACGAGGCCGUGUAGAGUGGAUAUCCGGAGACGAGAGGGAGAACGGGCGGUGCGGCAACGAAUUUUAAAACACCGACAGACGUCCGACGGUAGACCGAAUACGGUGCCGCUACGGUCGACUGUUCGGGUACCAGACGGACUCCGAUCGCGACGAAACUUGACAGGCGGCCUAACUACAACUAAUAAAGACCGCGCGUCAAAUCUCAACCCGAUCAGAGGAAGUUUUCAACACACUUUUAAAACAAGGUUCGAACGAUGCCGCGGGCGCGUGUGUGUGGGGUCGGGCUCAGAACGGACAACGACGAGAACCGGCAACUAACAACGGAUGCAAGUUUUUGAAAACUGGCGGCAACAGGGUGUCGAUGCAAUGCUGAUGAUGCGCAUGAUGAGAUGAUGAUGCGACAAAAUAAAAUAGACACAUGACGAAAACGGAAUAGAAGGGGAAUCUUCUGGAACGCCGGCAUCGGGCUGUCACAACUCUCCUACACUACAAGAGGAUCUCGCCCCGAGAUCCAAGAAUGAAAGGGGGAGAGGAUGAGAAAGAACAAGAGGUAAAAACUUAGUCGCUUCUUGACAAACGAGUGAAACCAACGAUCCUUGAAGGUUGCAAAGAGAUGAGGAAUGAUAUGAGAAAGAAGCAAGAAUUCACGAAAAAUUUCGGGAGCACUUCGGUAGGAAAAUGGGACAAAAAAUUCGAUAAGAUGGUAGAAUUUGACAAUAUUCACAACAAACAAGUACAUAGAACAAGGGAACACCAUGAGCUUGGUAGACCAACAUAAUAGACCCAAAAGAGCAACAUCACAAUGCCUCUGGAAGAAGAGAAUAUGAACUAGCUCAUACGGAAGAAGAGAAAGAAGAAAAGAAUGACAACUACUAACUCCAAAGAACUUGGCAAGCAUCCUUGCAAGAAGAAUUGAACGGAGUUGUUGGAAAAACAACAACGAAAAGAACAAGAAGGUAGUGGGCUUAUGGAAACCUUUCAAACUAAUGAAGUAACAACCAGCCACUAACAGAAACAGGGAUUGAUUGGGAGAAGCAAGAUAUGAACAAUUUCUUACACCAAGAGGAUACCUUGAGAACUUGGAUUAAUGACAAGCACCAUGAUAGCAACAAUCCAUAGGAAAAGCUUUAGGUGAAGUCCAAACCAAGAUAGCUCAAUGAAGAAAUCAUGGGUUAAAAAUAUCUCAUGAUCAUAGAAUUGGUGGAUUUAAUUAUCUCAUACUUGAAAGGAAAUCUCUUCGAAACUCCUACACUAACAAGAUUGCUAUAAUACCACCUCAAAGGAUAAAGGAAGAACAAUUACACAUAGAAAUGCAAGAGAAAGGAUACUUGAGGUUCUCCAACAAGAAUCUUGAAGAACACUUGAGAAAAAAUUGAAACCUUGAUGAACCACCAUGAAGGACCUCCGUAUACAAAUGAACGAUGCAAAGAUAUGAAGGUAGAAAAGAAUAAGAUUAUGACCUUGCCAAAAUUUAGAUGAAGCCUCACAAAGCAUACUUAAAAGAACUUGGAACUCCAUAAAAGAAAUAUAGGCUCUUGAGAAAAGAAUUGAUAUCAUUAGCCACUCCGGAAGAAGAAUUGAAAUCUCUUGGAAGAAGGAAGGACAAUAAUAAGAAUUAUGUUAUGCUCAUCCUUCAUCAAAUUAAAUUGAUGACAAGCAACGGAUCUAGCAUACAACUUAUUCUUCUGAAAAGAUUGAGGAGAGAUAUGAGCACAAACUAGAACAAUUGUUGCAAGAAACACCGGUGAGAAUUGAAAUGAACGAGGCAACCAUGAAUGAAUGGAGAUACAUGAGAAAGAAGAGAUCAUGAUCCACCUGUGAUAAAAACUUAAACAAGACACCGGAUAAUCGAGAGAUGACCGAAGAGACAACAAUUGAGAAGAAUUGAGGAUGAAAGCUGAAAGCUGAGAACGAAGAAUCUUCUAAAAUGAUGGCCUUUGGAGGAACGAGAAUGAAAACAACUCAGAAAUGCACCGGGUCGCAAGAAAGGGAUACUCAUGAUUGGGAAUAAUUCAAGACGAUGCCAGAAGGCUGAAACGAUGAAUCAUGAAGAGAAUGGACCAAGAUUGAGAAAAAACACUCCUUCGGUCUUGAAGGUGAAAAUGGCGAGGAAAACACCACCAAGAAUAACUGAGACACUCCGGAAUAAAGAAGAAUGCAAGGUUGAGCCAAAUAUGAGAAUUAAUUCAAAUAGAUCUUAAAGAAGGGAUAUGACUGAUGAAAUUCAUACUUACGUCAUAGUUGAAAAGGACUAAUGAUCUCCGGGAAAAGAUUAAAAGAGUCAGGAAAGAUCCUGGGAAAAACCUGUGGGUUAUGGGCCCACUCAAAGAAACCACCGUUAGAAGAGAUUGCUUAGGAGAGAGACAUUGCACCGGUAUAAAGAGAACUAGAUGAGGUUGAGCACCUCGAAAUAAUUGAAAGAUUGAAAACCAGAACAUCUGAAAUAUCUUUAACACUCCGGAUAGAAAGAGAUAGGAAUUACUAACAAGAUACGCUCAUAAGAAUUUCCAAUAUAGGAAAGAAUUAACAAGGAUGAAAAGGACAUGUUGAACACAGACAACUGAAUUAAAUUCACCGGAAAAGAUGACAAGAAUGAAUAAGGAUGAACAUGAAGCUCCUGAGAAUCUUCACAAUGAAUCACCGGGUACGAGAGAAAAGAACAGACAGCGGAAGCACAAAGAAAAGAAAACUCCUCGAUAAAAAUUGAAUCACUGAGAAAAAGGGCGGGAGGGUGGGGAAAAACUAAGACAACUUGGGCUAGAUGAGAUGAACUCCGGAAUAAAAUGAGAGAAUGAUCUUGCAAAAAUUAAAGAGGAUUGAAUUCACUGAAGAGUAGCACACCAGUUAAAAAGGAAUUAACAUGACGACUCCGGUUAACAAGAAUUGACAAGACAACUGAUUAAGCAAAAGGAUUAGUAUUCCCAUAAAAAUAUGAGAACACCUCUUGGAAAGGUCUGAAAUCACCAAUUGACAUCGAAGCAGCACAAAUUUGUUGGAAGAUCGUCCUAUAAGUAACUACUUGAAUUCCCACCUAAGAAUUCCCGAAAUAUCUGGUCAUGCAAUCUGGUACACGGAUACAAGGAGUAAUAAUCACACAACUCCUAUACUAACCCGUCACCUGUAUCACAUCCGUCAACACACAACCAGAACCUCGGACCUUCAUCUACAACAGACCCUCGUGAUCACAACGAUAAAAAGUAUGGCAGUACUCCCGAACAAUCUGCACCAGUACUGGGGACAUCGGGGUUACCUCGCCACUACUAGUAUUGAAGCAAUUACGAACAUCCUUCGUUCUGAGAUACUAAGAAAUCUGAAUGAUAACGAUGUGCUCAAGAAUCCCCUGGAGCUCAACUCCCCUGAAACUCAAAGCAGAUAGGAGGCACCAAGACAGAACUCCGUCACAUCGGCAUCAUAUAGAUUCCAAAAAUAUCCGCGUGAUCCAAAAAAAAUUUGAGUGAGAAGAAGAGUAGAAUUAAAUUAUUACAUCAAGAUUCCUCACCACAGCAUAGAAGAGGAGAAAAAAGAAUCAUACUCUCCGAUAUAUAACUAGACUCAAAGAAGUUUUUCACUAGAUUCGACUCGGCCAAGUUCGAUCAAUCAAGGGGGCUCCUAGGUCGGUACUGCUCUAAUACCAACUUGUCACGCCCAAGAUGCGACCCUAUCCUCAAUUUGGCACGAGGGCCUCGUCAGGGAUAGAAGCGCAUCUCGUCGUGUCGCAAGAAUGGAAUCGUUACAAGUACAUGUACUAAAAAGAAGAGAUAUAUACAUAGAAUUGGCUUACACUCGCCACAAGCUACAUUAGAGUCACAACAGUACAUUACAUAAACAUCAAGAAGAAGAGCAGGGUCCGACUACGGACGAAAACAAACGAGAAAAGAAUAAUGACGUCCAUCCUUGCUAUCCCAGGCUGCCGGCCUGGAACCCAUCCUAGAUCGAUGAAGAAGAACAAGAAGCAACUCCAAAUGAACAAUCAACGCGCUCGCGUCAAAUAACCUUUACUUGUACGUGCAACUGGUGUUGUAGUAAUCUGUGAGCCACAGGGGACUCAGCGAUCUCAUUUCCAAAGGUAUCAAGACUAGCAAAGCUUAUUGGGUGAGGCAUGGUUAAGUGGUGAGGUUGCAGCAGUAGCUAAGCAUAUAUUUGGUGGCUAAACUUACGAGUACAAGAAAUAAGAGGGGGAAGAUCUACGCAUAACGAACGUGAGCUACUGAUGAUCAAAUGAAUGAUCCUGAACACCUACCUACGUCAGACAUAACCCCACCGUGUCCUCGAUCGGAGAAGGAACUCACGAAAGAGACCGUCACGGUUACGCACAUAAUUGGCAUAUUUUAAUUAAGUUAACUUCAAGUUAUCUAGAACCAGUGUUAAACAAACUUUCCACGUUGCCACAUAACCGCGGGCACGGCUUUCUGAAAAGAUUUAACCCUGCAGGGGUGCUCCAACUAGUCCAUCACAAAUUACCACAAGCCGCAUAGAAAUCCUCAAUCACGAAGCUCGCGAUCUCGUCGGAUUCCCUAGUGGAAAACCUCAACUCUGAGAUUACCCAAAGCAUCACCGGAAUCCCGAUGCACAAGAUAUUUCGUCAAAGGUAAAAACUAAUCUAGCAAGGCCACCCGUUGUGUCGACGAACCCGAUAGGAGCCGCGUAUCUCAUUCUCAGGACACACCGUCUAUGCAUAGUGGACGGUAGCCAAACCUCGAGUUGCCCCGAGGUGGCACCGCCGACUGCUAGGUGGGUGGACCAACACUCAUGCGGAGCACUGGCCCGGGGGGUUGAUUAAAUUAUUCUCGGGAUCCGGAAAAUCCCUAUGCAAUUUUAUUAGGUUAUUAGGCAAAUGUAGUACCAAUGUUGGGCCUUGCCGGACCAGCUUUAACCUAAAAUGAAUUAUCAAGGGGGUCCCCAUAACAACCCCGAUCGUGUUAGGAGCGCUCAAUUAUGGAACAUAACACCGGUAGCCGAAAACUAAGGGGGCAAAGGUGGAACAAAACACCAGGCUAGAAAGGCCGAGCCUUCCACCUUUUACCAAGUAUAUAGGUGCAUUAAAUUAAAUAGCAUUUAAUAGGGUGAUAAAACAAGGGACCCAUGUUUUCACAUGGAAGCAAUGCACCUGCAACUAGCAGCGCUAACACAAGGUAAGCAAGCAGUAACAUAGCCAAUCAGUGGUUUGCUAUGUUGAAUAGGUUGAAGGUUUUCAUGGCAUUGUUGAGAGGCUAAUAUUUAACAUGUGGUAGGCAACGAGAAAUAAACGGUAGCAACGGUAAAACUGGCAUGGCAAUGAUAGUAAUGGUAUAUGGGGAAAUGGUCAUCUUGCCUGAGAUCCCGCUUGGAAGAAGAAUGCCUCCGUGAAGCAGACGAACCGACGUAGUCGAAAGGGUCCUCACAAUCCGGCACGCUGCGGAACUCUAUCGAGAUGAAGCAAACCGGAAACACAAAUCAACACACGGAAUUCACCACACGAUGCACAACACAAAAGAUGCAUGAGCAUAUGAAUACAUGCAAGUCACAACAUGGCAAUCACACAAACAAACACUACACAUUAAGUGAAGUUCAAUAUGCAACGAGUUGCAUAUUGACGAAACUCCAAGUUAAUUAUUUAGUUCUAUCCCGAUUAGAUACACGGAAAUACUAAAUGUGGUUAAACAUGGCAAGAGGUGAAGCGCAAUUAAACUACCUAUCUAGGCUUUUUAAAUGAGGUCGGAAAUGACAUAUAGCACCUCCGAGACGACCUCACAUGUUAAUUUACAAUCCUGUCCAGAUCUGAACUAACACAUUUAAUUAGUUGUUAAACCGCAAAACAAAUAGUUUCAAGUGAUUCUACGCGUCAUUUCAAGCAAUCUACACAUAGAGAACAUCUCCAACGGAGCUACGGUUCAAAAGAUACGGACACCGCAAGAUAUGAUGGCAUGAAUGCAAUAUGUGUGCAACGACGGUCACGAGCACUGCAAAACAUACAACCAGCAAGAGAAAAUUAAAAUACACAAGAUUCUAAGCAAGUUUCAUGUAGGACACGAUCAAAACAGAGCUACGGUUCAACAACUACGAGCAAAACAAGAAAAUACUACAAUCUGCCAAAAUCAGCCACAUAGCGUUUUCUACACCCCACAACUACAAGCUACACAACUCCGAUAUGCUCAAGCAAGACAUGGCAUGAAAGAGGGCAAGAAGAACUACAACAAACAACUAACAACAACUAGCAUGGCGUCAUGGAUCUCUAGGGAAAGAAGUCACAAAAUGGCAUCUCACACACUAUAUCAGACUUAGUGAAAAUAGCAGUUUUUGAAGCUGCAGUUUUCGAUCUGAGGGCAUAUUGACAGCAGCAAAACCAAUAGCUACAGGACUCCAAAUGGCAUGAAAAUUCACAGCAAGCUAGAGAAACACAAGGGCUACAACUAACUCCAUUGCACCAACCUCAAAAGAGCUACAGAUCACAAGAUAGAAGCAAGACAAGACAGCAACAAAAUAUAACAGAUCCCAGACUUAGAAAUAUUUCAGCACCUCCAAAUCAGCACUACUUCUAGCAACUUGAGAGUAAGAAAACCACACCUAAACAUGCAUUUCUAUUGCAACCAAAAAUACCAGGGGCUAGAGUAAAUACCCAAGAACAACUCCCUAGUUGACAACUUAAAGAAACGAAGCACGGAAUAAAUCCUACGAAAAAGACAAGAAGGCAACAUGACAAAAUAUCGCGCGAACUAACUUGCUCAAAAGUUAAAACUAAUUGCACAGAUGGAUUUUUCUACCCCGAAAACAUAUAAAAUCUGUGGGGUUGUACUACAAAAUAAUGCCACACGUAAAUGCGAGAUAAUAACCUAUACAUCGAAAAUAAUCUAGCGGCAAAUCCCUACGCGCAAAAAUACCAAUGACUACUUUAAAAUACAUGGAAAAAUGGUUCCUAAAACAUGGGCAUUUAACCUACGGCAUACGAGCAAUCCGGAAUUGCGUGAAAAUAAAAUACGGGCACUAUCCUAUCUAGACAGCAUGCUAAACUAGGCGUUAGGCACGCUAAACAACGGGAAACAAAUAUGCAAGUUGUGGAAUCGCAUUCUACGCGAGAAACUAUACGAAAACCAUAUGCUACACGCCUCAAACCGACUAACGGAAUAAAAGUUACGGGCGUUUGAAUAUACGUCUAUUUUUCUGGAAUUUAAAUAAUUCCAAAAAUCCCUAAAUACUCUUGCGAACCGAAGUGGGCGCAACAUAGUUAAAAAGGUGCACAUGCGGGGGGAGGAUCUCAGCCUCACCUUGGGCCGGUUGGAGGGGCUCUGGAGUGGAGGUGGCCGACCUGGGCUUGGGCCGGCCUGGUGCAGCAAGGAGGAGGCCUCAUCCUGGCCACCGCAGAGCGUCCUCGACUAGGCCGGCUCAGGGCCCAGCCGAGGCGGUAGGUGGCGCUGGCCACGGGACUUCGUCGUGCCCGAGGGCACGAACCUGGCAGCGGCGGGGCCUCCAGCGGACGGCGGCGACAGGAGCCCGCCCGGCGAGGCUUGGGAUCGGCGGGGAGGCCGCAGGGAGAUGGAUCCGGCGCGGGAUCCACGUGACCUAGUUGCGGCGGUCUGCGGAGAGGACUCCAUGGCGCGGAAGCUCCUGGCAGGCAGCGCAUGGCGGCAGCACAGGGAGGACCGGCGCGGUCGAGGGAGGAGCUGGCGGCGGGGCUGGCGUGGGGUUGUGGCCGGACGGGCCCGGAUCGGGGCGGCGUACGGCGGCGGUCGCCGGCGGGAAGUGGAUUGGGCGGCGCGCAGCUCCUGGUAGGAGGAGCUCGGGGUUGGGAGCUGAGGGAGGAAUAGGCGAGGCAGCGGCGGCGGGAUCCGGGCCCGGGCGGGCCUCGGAUGGGCUCGGCAAGCCCACGGCGGCUGGGGCUGGUGGGGGAGAGAGAGAGUGGGGGGAAUUAGGGUUAGGUGGCGCAGAUCCCGAGGUAGGAGGAGAGGGGGCUGUCUAAAAUACCCGGGGGUCUAUAUAUAGAGAAAGGGGCUAGGUUACCCGGAAUUCCGUUCCGGAUCCAACCGUGCGGUCGGAUUCGAACGAUUCCGAAUGCGGGAAUGGUUACGAGGCCGUGUAGAGUGGAUAUCUGGAGACGAGAGGGAGAACGGGCGGCGCGGAAUUUUUGAAACACCGACAGACGUCCGACGGUAGACCGAAUCCGGUGCCCCUACGGUCGACCGUUCGGGUACCAGACGGACUCCGAUCGCGACGAAACUUGACAGGCGGCCUAACUACAACUAAUAAAGACCGCCCGUCAAAUCUCAACCCGAUCAGAGGAAGUUUUCAACACACUUUUAAAACAAGGUUCGAACGAUGCCGCGGGCGCGUGUGUGUGGGGUCGGGCUCAGAACGGACAACGACGAGAACCAGCGACUAACAACGGAUGCAAGUUUUUGAAAACUGGCGGCAACAGGGUGCCGAUGCAAUGCUGAUGAUGCACAUGAUGCGAUGAUGAUGCGAAAAAAUAAAAUAGACACAUGACGAAAACAGAAUAGAAGGGGAAUCUUCUGGAACGCCGGCAUCGGGCUAUCACAGUCAUGAACUCUUAUAUUUAUGCACAUACAUGUUGAAGUAGAGGAUCUUGGGUGGGUCCUCGCCGUACAGGCGUCUACCGUCUUAAGCCCCUGCAGCUCUAUCAUGGACCACACGAGUCUGUGACACCAUCAUUGGCUCAUCCCCCGCUCGAGGUGUGCAACAUACUUGAUGUAUGACCCCCGCGUCAGGCCGCGUAGCAGCUCCGCCACCCGCCCCUUGGCCAACUCGACAACUUGCUCUCUCUGUCUUCCCAUCAAUUACGUCCAGCGAAGCAACAAGGUCCCUCGCGAGAGCCAGCAGGACGGGGAAGACGCUGGCCUCAGCGGUAGCCUCGCGUAGCAAGACACAAGUGCAGGAGUAGUUAUGGUUAUCUCACCCAUGUGUGACGUCGAGUUGCUGAGGCAGCGAUGGUGUAGUCCAGAAUUUGCUGCCUGCAGCGGCCGCAUCCAAGUAGUGGACCCUGGCGCUGCAUAGGCAAAGUAAAUUUCAUUGUAGAUUAUUAAACGACGCUUAUAUGUAAAUUUACCUGCAAAUCAGAAGUUGAUACAAUAAAUACCUUAGACCCAUGUUUACCAGACCCGAUCAAAUCUGCUACAUGUCGCUUCAAGAACAUUGAACAAGUAGAUAUAUAAUGCAGAAUCAGGAUGACCGAAAUUUUCAUAUUAUAAGAUAAUCACAAAUUUACAGUGUCACACAAUUGUGUUGAUGUAUCACUUAUGAGCAACUAUUGCAUGCUCGGAGCAAUAUGUGGAACAAUAUAUAUAGAAGCCAUAAAUAAAAGAAGACCAAUGUAUUCCUCGUAUAUAAAAUGGUAUCUAUUGCGAACAACUUCUUUUCUAACAAAUGUCGAAUUAGGGAGUCAAGGCUUAUAACCUACAAAAUGGGGAAACAUACGAAAUGAGGAAACUCAAGAGCAAGAAAGUCACAUGGAACAAAAUUACCUCAUUGCUCCAAGCAUAUACGAUAGUUCUAAGAAAUUUUCUUUAUAGAAUUAGCCCACUGAUUUAUUGAAAUGCUUAAUGUAGUUGUUUCUUGCAGCAAUCUCUCCAGGGUUAGUACUACACAAAAUUUCUCCAUAAAGUAGCAGACAGUCCAUGAGAAAAGAAUCAAUUCUAUUUUAUAUAAGUAAUUGAACAAAUAGACACUACGGUUCUGCGAAGUAGGACACUCUACAUGAUGCUAUUCAUAGCAGUGCACAUCCGCUCCUGUGACUUACAACAAGAAAGUGGAAAAGGCAGUACAUGAGCUCGAUUCUUACUACACAAAUUGGAUUGUCACGUAGACCGAAUCAUGACCCCUCCUCCUGUCCUGACCGAAUUAUCACACAGAAUCCUGGGCGAUUGUCUCUCCCAGCGCCGAGGAGGCACCCGCUACCCGGCUAUGGUGGGGAGGAAGAGGAGGUCCGGGGGAGGGCCGUCGGGGAGGGAGAGGAGGGUCGACGGGGAAGGAGAGAACGUCCGGAGUGGCGCGGGGCGUGGCGGUGGUAGAGAGGCGGAGAGGGUGGCCGACGGGGAGGGAGAGGAGCCCCGAAGGGGAGGGAGAGGGGUGCGGGGCGUGGAGACCGGCAGGGAGAGCAGCGACGCACCGAGCGGGGUGCGGCAGCAGAACCGGCGACGGGCUGAUGUGGCGGUGCAGGGGUGGGUGGCUGUGGGCGGUGCAGGGGCGGGCGGCUGCGCAAGGCUGGGGCGGGUCGAGCAGGCGAGCGAACGAUGCGGGCGGGGGCGGGCGACCGGGAGGAUGCAGGCGAGCGGGGCGACGAGGAGGAGGCGUGGCAAUUAGCGCUAACGAAAACUUUCAAGUUUCGUUAACGACGUUUUCACGCCCUUGAUGAUGUAAUUAAACGGUUUAGAUUGCGAGUUGGAUCUGCCCUCUCGUGCUUUUAAUAGUAGAGAUGAAUAGAAUUAGAGUACUUGUUAAUUUACUAAUUAACAAAUGCUAAUUAAGGAACCGACAUAGGAACCGACGUGUACUCUCUAACUGCUAUGAGCAGUUAUACUUCCUCUCUCAUCUUAACAACUGCUAUGUGCAGUUGCUGCUUUGUCUCACGCAUUGGCAACCGUAUGUUGCGGUUAGAAAUGCUCUCAUAGAAUUGUAACUGCUCAUUGUAUAUAUAGUGUUCAAUCAAUGAGAAUUAUUUACUUCUGGCAAUCACUUUUUCACUUUUACACAUUAUCAGUACUUGCUCUGCCGAGAGCGACAAAGAGCCAUCAUGAGAAAGGUAAGAAUGGCAGGAAGGGACUUGCCAUCGCUUGCUUUCGUUAUUGCACGCUUCCUCCAGAAAGAGAGCAGUCGCUUUCCACGCACCCAUCGCCACCGUGUUGCACGUCGCCGUCAGGGACUUGGUGCAAGGAGUGGCCCUCGUCGCCGCUUCUUCAACGGGUACCACCGCCAGAACCGUCGUCGAGGGUAUGCACACCGAGGCAACCACCCACACCAUGGGCUAGCACCAACGGUGCACCAGGUGGACCUUCGGCUCCGGCCACCGCUGCACUGCAUCAUACUUGGCCUUCGGCUCCGGCUGUCGCCGGCGACUACAUCGUACCGGCCACUCCGCCAUCCGCCUUCAACAUCCCUGGUAUAGAUUGGCUUCUUGCAGGGCUAUCAACACUGUUCCUCGGAGAAGAUGAGAUGUUCCCUUGCGAACUCGCGUCGCCACCUCUACCCCCGUACUGCGUGCAGCACGAGUUCGGACCGUGUCCAGCGCGUACGGGCUCACCACCACGGCUACCGUCGCCGACACCAUUAUACGAACUGCUAGAGCAUUCCCUCCCUCCUGGAUAUGCCAUCCCCGACGCCGGCAGCAGCGGAAAAUGGCAGCUACCGCACCAUCCCCGACUUGAACAUCAAGAUAAAGGUUGAAGAAGAGGAGAUUGAGGACCAUGGCUCAUCGUCGACGCCACCUCCUCCAUCACCGGCGACACCUCCUACUCCUCCGGCACCGCCGCUUCCUCCGACACCUCCGCCGGAAGCCCGCCAGAUUCUGCGCCAAUUCGCCGCGGCCAUGGCGUAAAACCGUGCAGCCCUUCGUGGCGCGUGGUCGCCGGAUGCUCUGGGCCUCACCGGCGCACCUGGGGCGAGCAGCAGCGGAGGAGGCAGUGCUGCGAAGAGGGGCCCGCCCCAUUUCCCUUGAAGACGGCGCGACGGGGCAGGGGAGCGCCGACGAGCAGCGGUGCUGAGCUCCAAAAUCGAACAGAGAAGGGGAUUUGGGAGUGGCUGUGACGUGGGGAAACUCUCGUAUGUGCUCUCCUUAUCCUCUCUCUCUAGGUGCAUGGGCCAAGCCAACUCUCCCCGCUCCUCACCUAAAUAGGCCUACAGGCCAAUAUAUCCAAUAAGUGUUGCUGGUGUUAUGGCAUUUUCAAUAGAGAAUGGCUAUAGUAUUAUUAAUAUAUUGCAUAGCAGCCAAUCCUGUUCAUUUGAGAGUGUUAUUUUAUUAUACUAAGAACAUCAGUUUAUUAUAUUCAGUCUGUACUGUACUGAAGUUUGAAUAGUUAGACCAAGUAUUGUCUAAUAAAUAAAGUCUCAGACUACUACGUGUACAUAUUCUAUUUGAUUGCUUCAGCAAUUUUCUUUUAGAAUAUGUAAGUACAAUAAUUUUUAUUCACAAUUCAAAUUUUGGGAUCACAAGGUAGACGAGGCAUCUACUGCACUUUGCAGAUUAUCCUCGUUGCUAAAAGAUCUACAUUUUUGCCAUUCUCUUUUGUUAUGGCAAAAUGACUAUCUUCAGGUGCUCUCCCAAAAUAUGUGAAUUGAUGUGAUUACUUAGAAUAUGAUACUUGCAAAUCACAAGGUAAUUGUGUGAUCUACUGCAUCAAUUUGCAGACUAUCCACUUUUGUUGUGAGGUCUACAUCUAGUCAUUAGAUAGAUGACUACCUUUAAUGUGUUUUUGUAAAAUGUAGUAUGACACAAGGUAAUGGACAUAUGAACAUCUACUAGUCAAAACCAGAUUAUGUUCUCCAUUACCGUGAGAUCUACACCGCAACGGUGACUAUCUUUAACGUGUCAUUUACAUAAAAUGAGGUCUACACGUAUAUGUAUAAAGCAUCAGCUAUACUUCAAAACUUUGCUUCCCAAAGCAAUUUGUUGUUACUUAUAUCUUACUCUCAUAGUAAAACUAAUCCAUGCAUGAUCACAACAUGCAGGAAAUGGUUGGCGUCAUGAAUAGAGAAUUUCAUGAACUUGAGCUAGAUGGUAGUAAUUAUUUAUCAUGGGCUAUGGAUACCAAGAUAGCAUUAGAAUGUCGUAAACUUGGUUCCACAAUUAUCACACCUGCUGAACGCGCUGCAGAAAUACCGCAAGCAGCCAAAUAUGGAGCAUUAAGUUUUAUAAGGCAUCACCUCCAUCCAGAUUUAAAAACAUAAUAUUUAAUGGACGAGGAUCCAUUUGCUUUAUGGAACUCUCUCAAGGAGAGAUAUGACCAACAAAGAGCAGUUAUGCUACCAGAAGCCCAAAGAGAAUGGUCCCUCAUAAGGUUCCAAGAUUUCAAAUGUGUGGCAGCAUACAACUCUGUAGUUCACAAGGUUAACUCUAAACUGAGGUUUUGCAAUCAAGCAAUUUCCGAAGAAGACCUUAUUGAGAAGACCUUGUGCACUUUCCACCCCUCGAUGAGAGUACUACAGCAACAGUACCGUCAACAGAAAUACAAAAAGUAUUCUGAGCUCAUAUAUACUUUACUUCAGGCUGAAAAACAUGAUGAACUUCUCAUGAAGAAUCAUCAGACACGCCCAACAGGCUCCAUGCCACUCCGUGAAGCACAUGCUAACACUCAGUAUACUAAAAAGUAUGGGGGAAAUAAAAAGAAAUUCAAUGGAAAAUGGAAAAGGAACAACAAGCAGAAAACAUUUCGUCAAUCUAAAGGUAAAGGUCAUUUCAAGAAAGAUGACCAAAACACCAAAUCUGAGAUUUGUCAAAGGUGUGGAUGUACUAACCAUCGUACUAGCAAAUGUUGGGGAACAUUGUAUGGGAAACAAAAAAAUUCCUACGCCCACGAUGACCUAUCAUGGUGAUGUCCAUCAACGAGAGGAGAUUUGGAUCUACAUACCCUUGUAGAUCGCACAGCAGGAAGCGUUAAGAAACGCGGUUGAUGUAGUGGAACGUCCUCACGUCCCUCGAUCCGCCCCGCGAACCGUCCCACGAACCGUCCCGCGAUCCGUCCCACGAACCGUCCCGCGAUCCGUCCCACGAACCGUCCCGCGAUCCGUCCCACGAACCGUCUCGCGAUCCGUUGCACGAACCGUCUUGCGAUCCGUCUCACGAUCCGUUCUGAUCUAGUGCCGAACGGACGGCACCUCCGCGUUCAGCACACGUACAGCUCGACGAUGAUCUCUGCCUUCUUGAUCCAGCAAGAGAGACGGAGAGGUAGAUGAGUUCUCCAGCAGCGUGACGUCACUCCGGAGCUUGGUGGUGAUCUAUUCCAGCACGGCUCCGCCUAAGCUCCGCAGAAAUACGAUCUAGAGGAAAAACUGUGUGGUAUAGGGUCGAGCAGCAUGUUGCAAAGUUGUGUCUCAAACCCCCCCCCCCCAAUACCUCUAGUAUAUAUAGGAGGGAGGGAGGGUAGGAGGCAGCCUGAAACCCUCAAGGUUUGGCGGAAAUUGGAGGUGGAGGAGUCCUACUCCAAUCCUACUUGGAGUAGGAUUCCACCUUCCCACUUGGAAACACUUUCCACCUUGUGUUUUUUCCUUCUCAAACCUUAUGGGCCUUAGUGGGAACUUAUUCCAGCCAACUAGGGGCUGGUUUAUCUCUUCCCAUAGCCCAUGAGACCCCUUGGGUCGUGACACCCCUCCCGAUGGUCCCCGGCACCCCUCCCGGCACUCCCGGUACACUACCGAUGAGCCCGAAACUUUUCCGGUGACCAAAACAGGACUUCCUAUAUAUCAAUCUUUACCUCCGGACCAUUCCGGAGCUCCUCGUGAUGUCCUGGAUCUCAUCCGGGACUCCAACCAACUUUCGGUUACCAACACCUAUAACUCAACUAUACCGAAACGUCACCGAACCUUAAGUGUGCAGACCCUGCGGGUUCGAGAACUAUGUACACAUGACCUGAGACACUCCUCGAUUAAUAUCCAAUAGCGGGACCUGGAUGCCCAUAUUGGAUCCUACAUACUCUCCGAAGAUCUUAUCGGUUGAACCUCAGUGCCAAGGAUUCAUAUAAUCCCGUAUGUCAUUCCCUUUGUCCUUCGGUAUGUUACUUGCCCGAGAUUCGAUCAUCGGUAUCCGCAUACCUAUUUCAGUAUCGUUACCGGCAAGUCUCUUUACUCGUUCCCUAAUACAAGAUCCCGUGACUUACACUUAGUCACGUUGCUUGCAAGGCUUGUGUGUGAUGUUGUAUUACCGAGUGGGCCCCGAGAUAGCUCUCCGUCACACGGAGUGACAAAUCCCAGUCUUGAUCCAUACUAACUCAACGGACACCUUCGGAGAUACCUGUAGAGCACCUUUAUAGUCACCCAAUUACGUUGCGACGUUUGAUGCACACAAGGUAUUCCUCCGGUGCCAGUGAGUUAUAUGAUCUCAUGGUCAUAGGAACAAAUACUUGACACACAGAAAACAAUAGCAAUAAAACGACGCGAUCAAUUUGCUACGUUCAUAGUUUGGGUCUUGUCCAUCACAUGAUUCUCCUAGUGAUGUGAUCCCGUUAUCAAGUGACAACACUUGCCUAUGGCCAGGAAACCUUGACCAUCUUUGAUCAACGAACUAGUCAACUAGAGGCUCACUAGGGACAGUGUGUUGUCCAUGUAUCCACACAUGUAUUUGAGUUUCCAAUCAAUACAAUUCUAGCAUGGAUAAUAAACGAUUAUUAUGAAUAAGGAAAUAUAAUAAUAACUAAUUUAUUAUUGCCUCUAGGGCAUAUUUCCAACAGUCUCCCACUUGCACUAGAGUCAAUAAUCUAGUUCACAUCACCAUGUGAUUUCAACGAAUCCAACACCCAUAUAGUUCUGGGGUCUGAUCACGUCUUGCUCGUGAGAGAGGUUUUAGUCAACGGUUCUGAAACUUUCAGAUCCGUGUGUUCUUUACAAAUCUUUAUGUCAUCUUACAGAUGCUGCUACUACGUGCUAUUCGGAAAUACUCCAAAUAUCUACUCUACUAUACGAAUCCGUUUCACUACUCAUAGUUAUUCAGAUUAGUGUCAAAGCUUCCAUCGACGUAACCCUUUACAACGAACUCUUUAACCACCUCCAUAAUCGAGAAAAAUUCCUUAGUCCAUUAGUUACUAAGGAUAAAUUUGACCGUUGUUCAGUGAUUCAAUCCUGGAUCACUCUCUGUACCUCUUAACAGACUUGUGGUAAGGCACAUAUCAGGUGCGGUACACAGCAUGGCAUACUAUAGAGUCUACGGCUAAGGCAUAGGGGACGACCUUCGUCCUUUCUCUUUAUUCUGCUGUGGUCGGGCUUUUGAGUGUUACUCAUAUUCACACCUUACAACACAGCCAAGAACUCUUUCUUUGCUCAUCUAUUUCGAACUCCUUCAAAAUUUUGUCAAGGCAUGCAUUUCAUUUGAAAGUUAUGUUUAGAAUUUUGAUCUAUCUCCAUAGAUCUUGAUGCUCAAUGUUCAAGUAUCUCUAUCCAGGUCUUCCUUUGAAAACCCCCUUUCAAACAACCUUUAUGCUUUAUAGAAAUUCUACAUUACUUCCGAUCAACAAUAUGUCAACCACAUAUACUUAUCAGAAAUUCUAUAGUGCUCCCACUCACUUCUUUGGAAAUACAAGUUUCUCAUAAACCUUGCACAAACCCAAAAGUUGUGAUCAUCUCAUCAAAGCGUAUAUUCCAACUCCGAGAUGCUUGCACCAGUCCAUAAAAGGAUUGAUGGUGCUUGCAUACUUGUUAGUAUCCUUAGGAUCGACAAAACAUUCUGAUUGUAUCACAUACAAUCUUUCCUCAAGGAAACCGUCGAGGAAACAAUGUUUUGACUUCCUGUGUGUAAUAUUUCACAAAUAAUGCAGCAACUACUAACAUAACUCCAACAGACUUUUAGCAUCGCUACGACUGAGAAAUUCACAUCAUAGUCAACUCUUUGAUCUUGUCAAAAGCAUCUUUGCGACAAGUCGAGCUUUUCUUAAUAGUGACUUAUCACCAUCAUCGCCUGUCUUCCUUUUAAAGAUCCAUCUUUACUUAAUAGUCUUACUGCCAUCAAGUAGUUCUUCCAAAGUCUACACUUUGUUUUCAUACAUAGAUCCUCUCUCGGAUUUCAUGGCCUCCAGCCAUAUGUCGGAAUCCGAGCCCACCAUUGCUUCUCCAAAACUCGUAGGUUGAUUGUUGCUCAACAACAUGACCUCCAAGACAGGGUUACCGUACCACUCUAUAGUAGUACGCGACCUUUGUCGACCUACGAGGUUUGUAGUAGCUUGAUCUGAAGCUCUAAUGAUCACUAUCAUCAGCUUCCACUUCAAUUGGUGUAGGCGCCACAGGAACAACUUCCUGCGCCCUGCUACACACUGGUUGAAGUGAAGGUUCAAUAACCUCAUCAAGUUCCACCACUCUCCCACUCAAUUCUUUCGAGAGAAACCUUUCCUCGAGAAAGGAUCCGUUUCUAGAAGAAAACACUUUGCUUCCAGAUCUGAGAUAGGAGAUGUACCCAACUAUUUUGGAUAUCCUAUGAAGAUGCAUUUAUCCGCUUUGGGUUCGAGCUUAUCAGACUGAAACCUUUUCACAUAAGCAUCGCAGCCCCAAACUUUCAAGAAACGACAGCUUAGGUUUCUCUAAACCAUAGUCUAUAUUGUGUCAUCUCAACGGAAAUAUGCAGUGCCCUAUUUAAAGUGGAUGCGGUUGUCUCUAAUGCAUAACCCAUAAAUGAUUGUGGUAAUUCGAUAAGAGACAUCAUAGUAUGCACCAUAUCAAAUAGGUCGCGGCUAUGACGUUCGGACACACCAUCACACCAUGGUGUUCUUGGUGGCAUGAAUUGCGAAACAACUUCCACGUUGUCUUAACUGUGUACCAAAACUCACAACUCGGAUAUUUAUUUCUAUGAUCAUAUAGUCGACAGUUUAUCCUCUUGUUACGACGAACUUCACUCUAAAACAGAAUUAAACUUUUCAAUAUUUGAGACUUUGUGAUUCAUUAAGUAAAUACUCAUGUAUCUACUCAAAUCAUCAUUGAAGUAAGAACAGAAUGAUAUCCAUUGUGUGCCUCAGCACUCAUUGGACUGCAUACAUCAAAAUGUAUUACUUCCAACAAGUUACUUUCUUGUUUCAUCUCAAUGAAAACAAGGACUUGCUCAUGUGGUAUGAUUUGCGUGUCUCAAGUGAUUCAAAAUCAAGUGAGUAUAAAGAUCCAUUAGCAUGGAGCCUCUUCAUGCAAUUUAUACCAACAUGACUCAUGCGGCAGUGCCACAAGUAAGUGGUACUAUCAUCAUUACCUUGUAUCUUUUGGCACCAAUAUCAUGAACAUGUGUAACACUACAAUCGAGAUUCAAUAAACCAUUGAAGGUGACCAUUCAAGCAAAUAGAAUAACCAUUAUUCUCUUUAAAUGAAUAAUGUAUUGCAAUAAACACGAUCCAAGCAUGUUCAUGCUCAACGCAAGCACGAAGUAACAAUUAUUUAGGUUUAACACUAAUCCCGGUGGUAGAGGGAGCGUGCGACGUUUGAUCACAUCAACCUUGGAAACACUUCCAACACAUAUCAUCGCCUCGCCUUUAGCUAGACUCCAUUUAUUCCAUAGCUUUCAUUUCGAGUUACUAAUCACUCAGCAACCGAACCGGUAUCCAAUACCCUCGCGCUACUAGGAGUACUAGUAAGGUACACAUCAAUAUCAUGUAUGUCAAAUAUACUUCUAUCGACUUUGCCAGCCUUCUUAUCUACCAAGCAUCUAGGGUAGCUCCGCCUCAGUGACCGUUCCGCUCAUAACAGAAGCACUUAGUCUCGGGUUUGGGUUCAAUCUUGGGUUUCAUCAAAGUAGCAACUAGUUUGCCAUUUCAUGAAGUAUCCCUUUUAGCCCUUGCCUUUUUUGAAACAUAGUGGUUUUACUAACCAUCAACUAUUGAUGCUCCUUCUUGAUUUCUACUUUCGCAGUGUCAAACAUUGCGAAUCGCUCAAGGAUCAUUGUAUCUAUCCUUGAUUUUUAUAGUUCAUCAGAAGCUCUCACAACUUGGUGGCAGUGACUUUGGAGAACCAUCCCUAUCUCAUCUGGAAGAUUAACUCCCACUUGAUUCAAGCGAUUGUCGUACUCAGACAAUCUGAGCACAUGCUCAACGUUUGAGCUUUUCUCCUUUACUUUGUGGAAAAAGAAUCUUGUCGGAGGUCUCAUACCUCUCAACAAGGGCACGAGCAUGAAAUCUCAAUUUCAUCUCUUUAGAACAUCUCUUAUGUUCCAUGACGUAUCAAAACGUCUUCGGCGCCUUGCUUCUAAGCCAUUAAGUAUUAUGCACUGAACUAUCGCGUAGUCAUCAGAAACGCGUAUGUCGGAUGUUCACAACAUCCAUAGACGACGCUCAAGGUGCAGCACACCGAGUGAUGCAUUAAGGACAUAAGCCUUCUACGCAGCAAUGAGGACAAUCCUUAGUUUUACGGACUCAAUCCGCAAAGUUGCUACUAUCAACUUUCAACUAAACUUUCUCUAGGAACAUAUAAAAAAAGUAGAGCUAUAACGCAAGCUACAUCAUAAUUCGCAAAGACCAUUAGACUAUGUUCAUGAUAAUUAGUUCAAUUAAUCAUAUUACUUAAGAACUCCCACUCAAAAAGUACAUCUCUCUAGUCAUUUCAGUGGUACAUGAUCCAAAUCCACUAUCUCAAGUCCGAUCAUCACGUGAGUCGAGAAUAGUUUCAGUGGUAAGCAUCUCUAUGCUAAUCAUAUCAACUAUACGAUUCAUGCUCGACCUUUCGGUCUCUUGUGUUCCGAGGCCAUGUUUGCACAUGCUAGGCUCGUCAAGUUUAACCCGAGUGUUCCGCGUGUGCAACUGUUUUGCACCCGUUGUAUGUGAACGUUGAGUCUAUCACACCCGAUCAUCACGUGGUGUCUCGAAACGACGAACUGUCGCAACGGUGCACAGUCGGGGAGAACACAAUUUGAGCUUGAAAUUUUGGUGAGAGAUCACCUCAUAAUGCUACCGUCGUUCUAAGCAUAAUAAGGUGCAAAAAGGAUUAACAUCACAUGCAAUUCAUAAGUGACAUGAUUUGGCCAUCAUCAAGUGCUCCUUGAUCUCCAUCACCAAAGCACUGGUAUGAUCUUCUUGUCACCGGCGCCACACCAUGAUCCCCAUCAUCAUGAUCUCCAUCAUCGUUCUGCCAUCGAGGUUGUCGUGUAUGCUAUGCUAUUACUACUAAAGCUACGUCCUAGCAAUAUAGUAAACGCAUUUACAAACACAAACGUUAGUUUAAAGACAACCCUAUGGCUCCUGCCGGUUGCCGUAGCAUCGACGUGCAAGUCGAUAUUAACUAUUACAACAUGAUCAUCUCAUACAUCCAAUAUAUCACAUCACGUCGUUGGCCAUAUCGCAUCACAAGCAUACCCUGCAAAAACAAGUUAGACGUCCUCUAAUUGUUGUUGCAUGUUUUACGUGGUUGCCAUGGGUAUCUAGUAGGAUCGCAUCUUACUUACGCAAACACCACAACAGAGAUGCAUUAAUUGCUAUUUAACCUCUCUCCAAGGACCUCCUCGGUCAAAUCCGAUUCAACUAAAGUUGGAGAAACCGACACUCGCCAGUCAUCUUUGAGCAACGGGGUUGCUCGUAGCGAUGAGUAAUGUCGGUCUGAGCCGCUUCGGUCCAACAAUACCGCGGAAUCAAGAAAAGACUAAGGAGGGCAGCAAAUCGCACAUCACCGCACACAAAAAAAUUUGUGUUCUACUCGAGAUAACAUCUAAGCAUGAACCUAGCUCAUGAUGCCACUGUUGGGGAAUGUCGCACGGGAAACAAAAAAUUUCCUACGCGCACGAAGACCUAUCAUGGUGAUGUCCAUCUACGAUAGGAGAUUUGGAUCUACAUACCGUUGUAGAUCGCACAGCAGGAAGCGUUAAGAAACGCGGUUGAUGUAGUGGAACGUCCUCACGUCCCUCCAUCCGCCCCACGAACCGUCCCACAAUCCGUCCCACGAACCGUCCCGCGAUCCAUCCCACGAACUAUCUCGCGAUCCGUUGCACGAACCCUCUUGCGAUCCGUCUCACGAUCCGUUCCGAUCUAGUGCCGAACAGACGACACCUCCGCGUUUGGCACACGUACAGCUCAACAAUGAUCUCGGCCUUCUUGAUCCAGCAAGAGAGACGGAGAGGUAGAUGAGUUCUCCGACAGCGUGACGGUGCUCCGGAGCUUGGUGGUGAUCUAUUCCAGCAGGGCUCCGCCUAAGCUCCGCAGAAAUACGAUCUAGAGGAAAAACUGUGUGGUAUAGGGUCGAGCAGCAUGUGGCAAAGUUGUGUCUCAAACCCCCCCCCCAAUACCUCUAGUAUAUAUAGGAAGGAGGGAGGGGAGGAGGCAGCCUCAAACCCUCAAGGUUUGGCCGAAAUUGGAGGUGGAGGAGUCCUACUCCAAUCCUACUUGGAGUAGGAUUCCACCUUCCCACUUGGAAACUCUUUCCACCUUGUGUUUUUUCCUUCUCAAACCUUAUGGGCCUUAGUGGGAACUUAUUCCAGCCCACUAGGGGCUGGUUUAUCUCUUCCCAUAGCCCAUGAGACCCCUUGGGGCGUGACACCCGUCCCGAUGGUCCCCGGCACCCCUCCCGGCACUCCCGGUACACUACCGAUGAGCCCGAAACUUUUCCGGUGACCAAAACAGGACUUCCUAUAUAUCAAUCUUUACCUUCGGACCAUUCCGGAGCUCCUCGUGACGUCCUAGAUCUCAUCCGGGACUCCGAACAACUUUCGGUUACCAACACCUAUAACUUACCGAAACGUCACCGAACCUUAAGUGUGUAGACCCUGCGGGUUCGAGAACUAUGUAGACAUGACCCGAGACACUCCUCAGUCAAUAUCCAAUAGCGGGACCUGGAUGCCCAUAUUGGAUCCUACAUACUCUCCGAAGAUCUUACCGGUUGAACCUCAAUGCCAAGGAUUCAUAUAAUCCUGUAUGUCAUUCCCUUUGUCCUUCGGUAUGUUACUUGCCUGAGAUUCGAUCGUCGGUAUCCGCAUACCUAUUUCAGUCUCGUUACCGGCAAGUCUCUUUACUUGUUCCGUAAUACAAGAUCCCAUGACUUACACUUAGUCACAUUGCUUGCAAGUCUUGCGUGUGAUGUUGUAUUACCGAGUGGGACAAAUUGCUUACAAGGCUUGGAAGGCUUGCGUGUGAUGUUGUAUUACUUAGUCACAUUGCUUGCAAGGCUUACAAAUCCCAGUCUUGAUCCAUACUAACUCAACGGACACCUUCGGAGAUACCUGUAGAUCACCUUUAUAGUCACCCAAUUACGUUGCGACGUUUGAUGCACACAAGGUAUUCCUCCGGUGCAAGUGAGUUAUAUGAUCUCAUGGUCAUAGGAACAAAUACUUGACACGCAGAAANCUGCCGUCGUCCACCGCCGCCGCCGCCGCCCCCUGCCGUCGUCCACCGCGGUGAGUUCUGCUUCCCAUUUUUCUUUUUUAAAAAGUUAAUUACUUUAGUUAGUUUAUUAGGUUAGUUUUUUAUUAUAUAUAGGGUCAUUUAGUUAGUUUGUUUGGUUAGAUUAUUAGGCUAAUUAGGUUAGUUAGUUAGGUUAGAAGAAAGAAAGAGGAAAAGCAGAAGGAAAAAAAUGAAAAAGAAAAAAAGGAAAAGAAGAAAAUAAUUAGAAGAAGAACGAAAAGAAGAAGGAGAAGAAGAAGAAGANNNNNNNNNNNNNNNNNNNNNNNNNNNNNNNNNNNNNNNNNNNNNNNNNNNNNNNNNNNNNNNNNNNNNNNNNNNNNNNNNNNNNNNNNNNNNNNNNNNNNNNNNNNNNNNNNNNNNNNNNNNNNNNNNNNNNNNNNNNNNNNNNNNNNNNNNNNNNNNNNNNNNNNNNNNNNNNNNNNNNNNNNNNNNNNNNNNNNNNNNNNNNNNNNNNNNNNNNNNNNNNNNNNNNNNNNNNNNNNNNNNNNNNNNNNNNNNNNNNNNNNNNNNNNNNNNNNNNNNNNNNNGAGGAGGAGGAGGAAGAGGAGGAGAAAGAAGAAGAAGAAGNNNNNNNNNNNNNNNNNNNNNNNNNNNNNNNNNNNNNNNAAGAAGAAGAAGAAGAAAAAGGAUAGGAGGAGAAAAAGAGGAGGGGGAGUAGGAGGAGAAAGAAGAAGAAGAAGNNNNAGAAGAAGAAGAAGAAAAGAAGAAGAAGAAGAAAAAGAGGAGAGAGGAGAGAGGAGAAGAAGAAAGAAGAGGAAAAGGGAACCCCGGCACCCCGAAACUGACCCUCGACCCCCGACCCCUCACUCCCGACGCCACUGACCCCCGACCAUCGACCCCCGACGCCACUGACCCCCGACCCCCGACCCCCGACGCCACUGANNNNNNNNNNNNNNNNNNNNNNNNNNNNNNNNNNNNNNNNNNNNNNNNNNNNNNNNNNNNNNNNNNNNNNNNNNNNNNNNNNNNNNNNNNNNNNNNNNNNNNNNNNNNNNNNNNNNNNNNNNNNNNNNNNNNNNNNNNNNNNNNNNNNNNNNNNNNNNNNNNNNNNNNNNNNNNNNNNNNNNNNNNNNNNNNNNNNNNNNNNNNNNNNNNNNNNNNNNNNNNNNNNNNNNNNNNNNNNNNNNNNNNNNNNNNNNNNNNNNNNNNNNNNNNNNNNNNNNNNNNNNNNNNNNNNNNNNNNNNNNNNNNNNNNNCACCAACCCCUGACCCCCCGACGCCACUGACACCCGACGUCACUGACCCUGGACCCCCAACGCCACUGACCCCCCACAACCUACGCCACUAACCCCCCGACCCCCGAUGCCACAGACACCUGACACCACCGACCCUCGACAACACUGACUCCCGACGCCACUAAGCCCCGACCCCCGACACCUCUUAUGCCUUCUUUUGUACGAGAAGGUGCUUUUCGGCCUUCUAGAGGCCCACGAGGUCAUAGUUUUGUAAAUUAUGAGUUAGGCCACAUAUUUUCCGAUUAGGUUAAUUAUAAAAACAUCGUAUUUGUGUUGAUCGUGUGAAUUUCAAUGUGCAGUUGUUCGACGACCUCCACGUGCGUUGGACGAGCUCCGCCCUUGCGUUUGUUGGUGAGCACAAAUGACUUCUCCUCCUACCCCUUAAUUUGCUCUGUCCCGAUCUUCGUGCCGAUGAAACUAGCUAGCUAUAGGUUUCUUCAAUCAUGAGUAUGCGUGACCAGUAUGCCUCUCCCGUUCGAAAGGGCGACAUCUAUAAAUAUGCAUUUCUUUGCAUAUUUAUAACCGCCAUCCUUUCUAAUUGUCCAACAUUAUCCAUGGACAGCCCGAGUAUGUGUAGAUUGGGUUUGUUUUCCCGUAUGCUGUGCUCCGGGUCCGAUGCGGAAUUUCGUCAGUGUCUCCCCAGUUGUUCUCCGAGUACACAUCCUCUCUGCUUAUUCCGGAGACGUGUAUCAGGAGAACAGCGGGGAGGUGCUGCCGAAAUUCUGCGUCGCAUCUGGAGCAGAGCAUGGGAAAACGAACCCAAUCUACACAUACUCGGGUGGGAUUAGGACCUAUCUUUACCUAUUAGCGUGUAGGUUGCAUGGACGUAAUAAAACUGACAAACUUGAUUAGCAUAUGAAUAUAGAUGAUGAAUUAUAUAAUUAUUUCUUGUGCCCCCAUAGGUAGCUAGGCAACAUGAGUGAUCGUGCUUGGAUGUACACUGGUCACCCUAGUCAGAAAGACAUGACCCAUGAAUGGUUAACAAAAACCAGGGGGUUUGUGAGAGCCGCAUUAGCAAAUGGCCAGCAAAAAACAUGGUGCCCCUGUCCCAACUGCGACAACUGGAAAAAGCAGACAGAGUUUGAAAUGGAUAAACACCUGCAGAAGUGGGGUUUUACCCCUAAUUAUACGGUGUGGACUUUUCAUGGUGAGUCUGACCAACGUGCCAGAGCUGAGGUGAUUCUUCGUCGCACCGACGAGCAUGGUACCGGGAUUGAAGACAUGGUUCAAGACUUUGAUGAUGCUCGGGAUUCGGACUAUGAGAUGGAGGAAUCUGCAAAGGCCUUCUAUGAAAUGUUGGAGUCUUCAAAACGUCCUCUCGACGAACAGACUGAGCUUUGUCAACUGGAUGCCAUCACGCAAGUAAUGGCUCUGAAGGCUCAAUUCAACCUAGGCAGAGAAUGCUACGACGCGAUGAUGACGAUAUUUGGACGCUUUCUACCCAAAGGCCAUGUACUGCCUGCAAACCUGUACCAGUCAGAGAAAAUCCUCCGUGUACUUAAGAUGCCCUAUGAUAAGAUACAUGCCUGUGAGAAUGGAUGUGCCUUAUUUAGGCUUGAGUAUGCGUCCUUGAACUAUUGCCCCAUUUGCAAUUCUUCCAGGUAUAUUGUGGUAGACAACGACAUGGGUGAGAAGAAUCAGACCAAAAUCCCCAUUAGUGUUCUUCAGUAUCUGCCAAUCGUACCAAGACUUCAACGUCUUUUCAUGGUCGAAGAGACGGCCAGACAGAUGACAUGGCACAAAUUGGGCAAAAGAACCAAACUAGAUGCGGAUGGGAACAAGAUGCUGGUACACACUUCAGAUGGUUUUGCGUGGAGGCACUUCGAUGCAUUACAUAAGGAUAAAUUGGAAGAUCCAAGGCAACCUAGAGUUGCCAUCAGCAUGGAUGGGUUCAAUGUGUAUGGUAUGACGGAAGCAAAAUACAGUUGUUGGCCUGUAUUUGUCAUUCCACUAAAUUUUCCACUCGGAGAGAUUAUGAAAAGAAAGAACAUUUUCCUGACGUUGAUAAUUCCAGGGCCGAACUAUCCGGGGAAGAAUAUGAAUGUGUACAUGCAGCCGCUUAAGGAUGAGUUGCAAGAAGCCUGGGAUAAUGGGAUCAAGACCUACGACGCGGCUACCAAAACCAAUUUCAAAAUGCAUGUGUGGUACAUGUACUCGACGCAUGAUUAUCCGGCGUUUGCGCUAUUCGCUGGCUGGUGUGUGCAUGGAAGGUUCCCGUGCACCACAUGCAAGGCAGCUCUUCAGUUCCGUUGGCUGCAGGCUGGUCGCAAGUAUUCUUGCUUCGACAUGCAUAGACAAUUCCUGGAUCCUGACCAUAAGUUCAGAAAAGACAAGAAGAAUUUCAUCAAACGUAGAGUUGUCAAAAACACUGCACCAGCUGCGUUGACAGGCCAACAGACCCUUGAUCAGUUAAACGCUCUCGAGCCUGAUCCUUUGCGUCUAGGAUACUUCAAAGGGUAUAAUACAAAACACGCAUGGACUCACAAUUCAUGCUUAUGGGAUCUGCCUUACUUCAAAGACCUCCUUUGCCCACACAACAUUGACGUGGUGCACACUGAAAAGAAUAUUGCGGAGGCCAUUUUUGGUACAUUGUUCGGCAUAGAGGGGAAGUCAAAAGAUAAUCCUAAGGCUAGAAUCGACCUGGAGGCUCUAUGUGAUAGACCGUUGCAAAACUUGCGACAACGAAAAGGAAAGCAAAGCAUAGCGAAGCCAAAGGCAUGGUUCAAUCAUGAAAGGCCAACUAUGAGGGAAAUGCUAUUGUGGGUGAAAAUGUGGUUGAUGUUCCCCGAUGGGUAUGCUGCAAUCUAAAGAGGGGAGCGAGUCUUGAGAAAUUGAAAAUAUUUGGGCUCAAGAGUCAUGAUUGGCACAUAUGGAUUGAGCGGGUAAUGCCGGUGAUGUUGCGUGGCUUUAUCCCUGAGGAUGAAUGGCUAGUACUGGCAGAGCUGAGCUAUUUCUUCCGUUCUCUUUGUGCGAAAGAACUAUCGCCUGGCGUGCUAGAUGAAAUGGAAGAGUUGGCACCGGAGUUGAUCUGCAAAUUAAAAAAGAUCUUUCCACCGGGCUUCUUUAAUCCAAUGCAACAUUUGAUUUUGCAUCUCCCGACCGAGGCAAGAAUGGGGGGGCGUUCAAAAUGGAUGGUGCUACUCAACUGAGAGGAUGCAGAAGACGCUUCGAGCUAAGUGUAAAAAUAAACGUAGAAUUGAAGCAUCGAUGGCCGAGGCAUUCAUUACUGAGGAGGUGGCAAACUUCGUGACAGCACACUACGAAGCCAAAAUUCAUCAUUUGCAUAACCCGAAGCCUCGGUACAAUGAUGGCGAUCGAAAAAAAGUUUGAUCCAACCUCGGCCUAUUCAAAGGUAAGCUCGCACCAUCCGGUGCUUCGAAAGGGAAAUCGUUGGAUGUCGAAGAAUGGCGGACCAUUUCAUUGUAUAUCUUCACCAACCUAACAGUAGUGCGGCCGUACAUCGAGUAAGUUCUCGGUAAUUUAUUGUUCCGCAACUUCUAAUUGCUUUGAACUACUCUUAUUCCCGGAUAUUUGAUAUAGCCGAUACGUCGCCGAAUUCUCGGAUAGAGCGGUCAUCGAAAAGGAUUCCGUCGAAGAGUAUGAGCUUCUCGCAAAGCAUGGAGGCGACUGUCCCGGUUUCAUCUCUUGGUUCAAACAAAGGGUAAUUAAUUACCAUUAAGGGCCCAUUUGAUUUCUUGCUCUAAUGUGCGGCUAAUGCAUCCAUUCUUUCGUAUUAAACUUGUAGGCUGAUGCAGAGUCUAUGGACGCCGAGUUGAGACAAGUCGCUAAUGGUUUUGACUAUAAGGUCCGUUCAUUUGACAAAUACAACAUCAACGGGUAUCACUUUCGUACCUUUGGCAAAUAGCUAUCUAUGCCCGACCUAAAGUCUACAAAUUGUUCUCUCUCUGCUAUCGGCGAAGGAGACACCGAGUAUUAUGGAAGAGUUGAAGCAAUUUAUGAACUUCUAUUCUAUGGUGAAAACCCACCGACCGUCGUAGUCUUCAAAUGUUAUUGGUUUGAGCCGAGGGAGACUAGAAGGACUCAUGAACAUAUAGGACUAGUCAAAAUCAACCAAAACACCCACUUAGAUGUUCCCGAUGUCUAUAUUACGGCUCCAUAGGCGACACAAGUUUUCUAUCUACUGUGGGCCUGCCAAACUGAUCCAAAUCUCAAAGGUUGGGAUGUCGUUUAUGAAGAGCCACCACAUUUUAGACCACCUACCCUCAAUGAAGAGGAUUACGAACCUCACAUUAACCUAGACACAUAUGAAGGAGAAUUCUUCCAAGAAACACGUAUGUCCAAGAAACGUUUCAAGAACCGCUCUACUUCACCCCAGAACAUUGAAGUAGACAGCGACAGUGAAUCUGUCUUAAACCCUGAGCCCGAACAGGAAGAGCUGGAAGAAGAAGAGGUUACUGCUGCGGAUGACCUGUCACUUCUUGACCGAUUACAUAAUGGUGGCCUUCCACAUGUUCUUCGUGAUAGUGAUGAUGAUGAUGCAUUUAUUGAUGAUAGUGAUGAUCAUGAUGCAUUUAUUGACCCCGAAGCAUAUAUAGACGAGCACGAUUGUUAUUAGUUCAUGUCAGGUAUUCAACUAUUAUACUAUAUAUAAAUUUUGAGUUCAUGUUAGGUAUUCAAUUUUUAUUAGUCAUGUUGGUAUUUAUGACGAUGAUACACUUAAAUUAUAUACAUUUUAUUAGUCAUGUUGGUAUUUAUGUUGUACUAAUUUCAUUUACUCUUUGUCAUGACAGGUUUUGAAAGAUGGUGGGAAAGGGUCGAACGCACUCCGCGGCUCCUUCUUCGUCGGCGGGUGAUGGGAUGGGUAAUUCCAUUCCUGCCUCGCCUCUUCGGAGAGUGUUGCUCUCUACUAUGCAAGGAGCGCCCCCGUGAGAGGAGGUCGACCCCCCGCGAAGCCGAGAGGCACUAAAGGUACACGUUGUAUUCAUGUUGGUAUUUAUCUUGUACUCAUGUUGUAUGCAUAUUGGUAUUUAUAUACAUUUUAUUACUCAUGUUGGUAUUUAUGUUGUACUAAAGGUACACGUGGCCGCGGGAGAGGUAGGGCGGUGGCUGCCAUGCCUUCUAAGGUGGCGGCUACACGGUCUCUGCCACCACCCCAAGCCGAUUCACCUCAGCACAUGACUUCUAGGGUGGAUUCGUUUGAGGUGGAGGCUACACGGUCUUCGGUUCACGAGCCUCGGGUCGACGUGCCUUCGACCCACAAGACUCGUGUCCCAGAGGCUUCAUUCCAGGCGACUCCGGAGCAAAGCAGGGAUGAGGGUACGUCCCAAGAGACCCAGUGGGAUACCUGGGCUGAGCCAAAUGGCCAUGCUCGUAGCGACGAGGAGCUGGGUGAGGGGGCUAUCGUCUACCAGCGUGGUAGUUCGGGGCUCCCGCUUGUGCCACCGACCCCCGAGCAGAGGUGGUCGAUUAGGCCAAAUGGGGACAAGUAAGUUAAUUUACUCUUAUUUAACCUUUUGCCUUCGCGUUUUCUCAAAUAUUUAUUGUUUUGGCUUUAAUUUGUCAUACUGUAGGGGUUGGAUUGUUGCCAAGGGUGUCCGCAAGCCCAACAGCGUCCUUGGUGUUCUUUGCCGUAAAAACUUCCCAGGGUUUGUUACGUUGCCCGGUCGGGAGCGAGAGGUAGGAAUGACCUGCGAGCACUACUUGGGUGCCCCGGCCCCGUCGGAGGUGGAGAUCGAUGGUGUUUUGUGCGACACGAGGGUGGACAUGGUGAUCCGAAAGUUCUGGGUAAUUUCUCCUUCACACAAUUAUAAAUCAACCAUAGCUAUUUAUUGUACUAAUUGGUGUUGUCUCGUUUGCAGACCUACUAUAGGUGUGAGGAGGGAUACGAGGAGGACGCGGCAAAGGUUAUCGAAACCGAAUGUCGUCGCCUACUUCAAAACUUUCGGCAUGAGGCUCGGGUGCAGGUUGUUCGAGACUACUAUGCCACGCGGCGUAUUAGGCUUGACAAGGCGAAGUGUCGUGAUGCUAAGAUGGAGAAGGAGCAUUACAUGAAGGUAAUUACAUAUUAUUAAGGCUUUGUAGUUAGUUUCCUUGACUUGGUUCUUACGCGCUCAAAUUUCUCUUUAUUAGCUUAGGUUCCCUCGAGAUGGUGUGUGGAUAAGAUGGAUUGUUGGGAGGCCUUGGUGGAUCAGUGGUGCUCCGAAACGUGGGAGGCCAGCCACAACAACGCCAAGGAGAGGCGUGGCAAAAUGGUUGGCGUGCCACACCAUCAAGGGAGCGUCAACUUAAUCCAAUUUGGCGAGAACUGGGUAUGUGGUUUGCUUCAUGCCUCAUGCAAUUCAUUCUUAAUGCUAUCUUGAGCUAUUUACUAAUACAAUUUUCCUCUCUCUCUCUCUUUUAGGCGUGUCACAAUAAGACGGAGGCGCCACAGAUGUACGACCUGUAUGCGAUGGCCCAUACUACCUCGUACAAGAAGGUCAAGGCAUUCUCUGAGUCUGACCUCGAGCAUCCACAAAACUUCACCAACAUCUCCUCCCACCACAAGCUCGUGAAGUACAGAUAUCACGGGAAGGCGAGGAAAGGGGAGGACUUUAACCCGAGCGAGGGGCCUAUUGAUCCAGAGCUGGUGAUGAUAGCUGGCAACGGGAGGCCCCAUGGCUCGAUCGCCAUUGGAGACGGCCUUAUACGUUGUCCUAGCACUCUCCGGCAGAUAAAGGCACGCCAAACAAGCUCUUGUCCGGAGAUAACACGUCGUCCACGGCGAGUCGAGCUCGCCAUCGAGGUUAGUUUAAUGGACUCAACUAUCUUUCCGCAUUAUGUUGUGCGUUGGAACCAAUAUGAUUACAUUGCUAACAAUGAGUUGUGUUGCAGGCUGCUAUUCAGAAAGAGAGAGAGGCAAUGCAGGCGGCUAUGGCGGAGAAGGAUAAGGAAAUUAGGGAGCUGGAGGAGAGGACGACUGCAUUGGUCGAGGCUGAGAGGGCACGGAAUGAUGCGUCUAACAGGGCCAUAUACGAGCUCUUCGUGGUAAGUUUCUUCUUCAUGUUAUUUCAAAUCUUGCAUUUGAAUGUCCGUUUCAUUAAUAAAUAAAAAGUUUGACUUGUCGAAACCAAAUGUACAGUCUAUGUGCGAGAAGAACGGCCAAGUCACUCCGCCGAUGCCAGUCAUUAACGUGGCGGGGACGGUGAGUUUCAUUUCAGUGCAGUGAUCUUAAGAGUGUCCUCAUGCUAACUACACAUUGCAAACGAUGUUUGGUGCAGAAUAUCUCCCGAAACGCAUCGCACGACCCUUCUACAGUCGAGCCUUCUCCAGGGCAGCCUUCUCCAGGUGAAACAAGCUAGAGCCACCGUGCUUCACCGCUGUGAUGACGAUAAUGGUAUGUUAUUUCUAGUGUUUUAAUAAAAAAUAGCUAGACUUCCAUCUAAAUGACAUAAUUGGCUUAGUUAGCUCCAAGAAAGGCUAAAUUGGCUAAUUAUCCUACGAAAUGACAUAAUUAGCUUAGUUAGCUCCAAAAUAACCUAUUUAAUAAAAAAUGNNNNNNNNNNNNNNNNNNNNNNNNNNNNNNNNNNNNNNNNNNNNNNNNNNNNNNNNNNNNNNNNNNNNNNNNNNNNNNNNNNNNNNNNNNNNNNNNNNNNNNNNNNNNNNNNNNNNNNNNNUCUUCUCCUCUUCCUUCUCUUUCUCCUCCUCCUCCUCCUCCUUCUUCUUUUACAUCUUCUUCUCUUUCUCUUCUUCUACGUAGCUUAGACUCAUCCAAGAAAGGCAAAAUUGGCUAAUUAUCCUACGAAAUGACAUAAUUAGCUUAGUCAGCUCCAAAAUGACCUAUUUAAUAAAAAAUGACCUACAGUUAGCUAAGUUCUCUCCUAAAUGACAUAAUAAGGCUUACGUAGCUGCAAGAUGCCCUAUCCCCCCUAACAUAGGUAUUAAAUGGCCUAUAAUUAGCCUAGCUAGAUCCAAAAUGGCUUAAUAAGCAUAAUGUGCUCCGGAAUGACCUAUUUUACCCAAGUUAGCUCCGAAACAACCUAUAGUUAGCUAGGGUUNNNNNNNNNNNNNNNNNNNNNNNNNNNNNNNNNNNNNNNNNNNNNNNNNNNNNNNNNNNNNNNNNNNNNNNNNNNNNNNNNNNNNNNNNNNNNNNNNNNNNNNNNNNNNNNNNNNNNNNNNNNNNNNNNNNNNNNNNNNNNNNNNNNNNNNNNNNNNNNNNNNNNNNNNNNNNNNNNNNNNNNNNNNNNNNNNNNNNNNNNNNNNNNNNNNNNNNNNNNNNNNNNNNNNNNNNNNNNNNNNNNNNNNNNNNNNNNNNNNNNNNNNNNNNNNNNNNNNNNNNNNNNNNNNNNNNNNNNNNNNNNNNNNNNNNNNNNNNNNNNNNNNNNNNNNNNNNNNNNNNNNNNNNNNNNNNNNNNNNNNNNNNNNNNNNNNNNNNNNNNNNNNNNNNNNNNNNNNNNNNNNNNNNNNNNNNNNNNNNNNNNNNNNNUUCUUUUACUUCUUCUUCUCUUUCUCUUCUUCCACGUAGCUUAGACUCAUCCAAGAAAGGCUAAAUUGGCUAAUUAUCUUACGAAAUGACAUAAUUAGCUUAGUUAGCUCCAAAAUGACCUAUUUAAUAAAAAAUGACCUACACUUAGCUAAGUUCUCUCCUAAAUGACAUAAUAAGGCUCGCGUAGCUGCAAGAUGACCUAUUCCCCCUAGCUUAGGUAUUAAAUAGCCUAUAAUUAGCCUAGCUAGAUCCAAAAUGGCUUAAUAAGCAUAGUUUGCUCCGGAAUGACCUAUUUUACCCAAGUUAGUUCCGAAACAACCUAUAGUUAGCUAGGGUUCCACCUAGAUGACAUAAUUAGCUUAGUUAGCUCCUAAAUGGACUAUUUAAUAAAACAUGUCCGAUACUUAGCUAAUUAUCCUCGAAAUGACAUAAUUAGCUCCAAAAAGGCAUUCUUAGCCAAUUUAGCCCGAAGAAGGGGACAAGAGGAGAAGAAAUAGGAAAAAUGAAAGGAAGGAAGAAGAAGACGAAGAAGAAAAGAAGAAGAAGGAGAAGGAGGAGGAUAAGGAGAAGGAUAAGAAGGAGAAGGAGCUACUCCUUCUCCUUCUUCUUCCUCCUUCUUCCUCCUUCACCUUCUCCUUCUUCUUUUCUUCUUCUUCUCCUCUUCAUUCUCCUUCUCCUCCUCCUCCUUCUUUUACUUCUUCUUCUCUUUCUCUUCUUCUACAUAGCUUAGACUCAUCCAAGAAAGGCUAAAUUGGCUAAUUAUCCUACGAAAUGACAUAAUUAGCUUAGUUAGCUCCAAAAUGACCUAUUUAAUAAAAAAUGACCUACAGUUAGCUAAGUUCUCUCCUAAAUGACAUAAUAAGGCUUAUGUAGCUGCAAGAUGACCUAUUCCCCCUAACUUAGGUAUUAAAUGGCCUAUAAUUAGCCUAGCUAGAUCCAAAAUGUCUUAAUAAGCAUAGUUUGCUCCGGAAUGACCUAUUUUACCCAAGUUAGCUCCGAAACGGCCUAUAGUUACCUAGGGUUCCACCUAAAUGACAUAAUUAGCUUAGUUAGCUCCUAAAUGGUCUAUACUUAGCUAAUUUCUCUCUGAAAUAACCUAUAUAUACACUUCUUAAUCUAGUAUUUUUCUUCUAACUUUCUUAUUUGUCAUUUUGCAGAUUACCUUCACUUCACGGGAAGCUUGGAUUAUGUUGAUGGAAUGCUUGAAGAUGAUUUCUUGUACCAUGGCUUGUAUUGAAACUAUUGUAGUAUAUGGAUAUAUAUGAAACUUUGUAUGCAUGUGGAUGAAACUGGUGUAAUAUAUGGUUUGGUACGGAUGCAACUUGCAUAAUAUGUAUGCACUAUGGAUGAGAGUUAUUUUAAUAUGGUUAUGAGUACGGAAAGAAAUUUAUUUAUGUCAAAUAUAUAUAUAUCGUGAUUAUUGUUAAAAAUGUUGGAUAUAAUAAAAAAUAAAUUAUAAUGGGGCAGGUUCCCCUCUUUGCCGUCUGCCCCCACAUGGCAAAGGGGGGUUGGCAGACGGCAAAGGGGGGAAUCUGCCCCCUUUGUUUCCCCUCUUUGUCGUCUGCCCCCACAUGGCAAAGGGGGGUGGGCAGAUGGCAAAGGGGGGAAUCUGCCCCCUCUGUUUCCCCUCUUUGCCGUCUUCCCCCACAUGGCAAAGGGGGGUGGGCAGACGGCAAAGGGGUGAAUCAGCCCCCCUCUCUCCCCUCUUUGCCGUCUGCCCCCACAUUUCAAAGGGGGGGGCGGCAGACAACAAAGAGAAGACGCCUGUCGUUAACACUUAACGGGGCCGUUGCAGUAUAUGUCGUCCCAGUUAAUUUGCCGUCUGCCCCCUCAUGGCAAAGAUUCUUUGCCAUCCGCUUUUCAAAAGCAGACGACAAAGAACCUCUUCACCGUCUAGUUUGCCGUCUGCUGACCGACGGCAAAGCCUUUGUCGUUCGUGGUUGCCCCCUUUGCCGUCUGCCAUGGCAGACGGCAAAUUUCUGAAUUUCAGUAGUGAAUAGCAAUAAAACGACACGAUCAAGAUGCUACGUUCAUAUUUUGGGUCUUGUCCAUCACAUGAUUCUCCUAAUGAUGUGAUCCCGUUAUCAAGUGACAACACUUGCCUAUGGCGAGGAAACCUUGACCAUAUUUGAUCAACGAACUAGUCAACUAGAGGCUCACUAGGGACAGUGUCUUGUCUAUGUAUCCACACAUGUAUUUGAGUUUCCAAUCAAUACAAUUCUAGCAUGGAUAAUAAACGAUUAUUAUGAACAAGGAAAUAUAAUAAUAACUAAUUUAUUAUUGCAUCUAGGGCAUAUUUCCAACAACAAAUGCCGAACUCCCAAGCAUCUAGCGGAUUUAUAUCUCAAAUCCACUGGGAAAGGCAAACAAGUUCAUGGAAAAGAAAAAGCUCACUUCAACACUUUACAACAAGAAGAGAACCUUGAAGCUAGCACUUCUCAAAGUGCUCCUUAGGAAAGAAGGUAGAAGGAUGAAGAUCUUCUUGAUGUCGAAAACAUGAUGGUGGAAUACACCCAAGACGCAUACGGAGAUCUCAUAUAAUCUCCACAUCACUCAUUUGAUGUUAUCAGCUAUUUUAUUGUAAUAAUGGAUGUUAUAAUUUGUAUAACUCUAAGUAGAAUAAAGUCCUACGGACCAAUCAUAUUAUGUAAUUCAGACAUAAUGUCAUAUUUAUAUUUGUAACUGUAAUAUGAAUAAUUUGAAUGUAUUUAUAUGUGAGUAAUAUGAAUAAAAUUUCAUCCUAAAAUAUUCUCUUACUCUAUAUAGAUUUUACGGGAAGAUAAUCCAAUGGAAGAAGAAUUAUGUUUGGUGGACAGUUGUACCACUAACACAAUAUUAAGGAAAAUAAAAUAUUUCCAAACUCUAACUAAGAGACAAGGAAAUAUUAUGACCAUUGCCGGUCGCGAUGCGUUAAUUAUUGGUUUAGGAUGAGCCACACUCGUUCUGCCUAUGGGUACUACCAUUAUAAUUGAGGAUGCACUCUUGUAUCCUGAAUCUACACGUACCCUUCUAAGUUUCAAAGACAUUCGAUCAAAUAAUUUUCAUCUGGAAACUAUCUCUGAAAAUAAUACUGAACAUUUGCUUUUAGCAAAGAGCAAUGGGUCUGAGAAACAAAUUCUUGAGAAAUUCCCUUCACUUACAUCUGGAUUAUAUUACAGUUAUAUAAAACCUGUACCACAUGUUGCGUACAAAAUAAUUUUUCAAGACCUUGAUAAAUUCAAAACUUGGCAUGAUCGCCUAGGUCAUCUGGCAUAGGGAUGAUGAGAAAAAUUAUUGACAAUUCUAUUGGUCACAGUCUUCCAAGUAAGAGAUUCCCAAAAUCAUAAGAUUUUGUAUGCACCGCAUGUGCAACUCGAAAAUUAAUUAUAAAACCAUCUUAUCUUAAAGUUAAAAAUGAGUCGUUAAAUUUUCUUAAACGCAUUUAAGGAGAUAUAUGUGGUCCAAUUCAACCACUAUCAAGACCCUUUAGGUAUUUCAUGAUACUCAUAGAUGCAUCUACUAGAUGGUCACAUGUGUGUCUCUUAUCCACACGUAAUCAUGCCUUUGCCAAGUUAAUUGCUCAGAUUAUCAAAUUAAGAGAAAACCAUCCCGGAAAUAAGAUAAAAAACAAUUCGAAUGGAUAAUACCGCUGAAUUUUCUUCACGUGCAUUCAAUGACUAUUGCAUGGCUAUGGGCAUUAAUUUAGAACAUUUUGUACCUUAUGUUCAUACUCAAAAUGGAUUGGCUGAAUCUCUCAUCAAAAGAGUAAAAUUAAUUGCUCGACCAUUAUUACAGAAUUGUAAUGUGCCAACGUCUUGUUGGGCACAUGCGGUAUUACACGCUGCAGAUCUCAUACAAAUCAGACCAACUGCAUAUCACACAACCUCCCUGCUACAACUAGUUCGUGGCACUCAACCAAGUAUUUCCCAUGUGCGGAAAUUCGGUUGCACAGUAUACAUACCGAUAUCACCACUGAAAGGACGUGGAUGUCUCCUAGAGGGGGGGUGAAUAGGCGCUUUAAAAUAAUUACGGUUUAGACUUGAACAAAUGCGUAAUAAAACUAACGUUUAAUUUGUCAAGCACAAAACCUAAAAAAACUAGGCUCAUCUAUGUGCACCAACAACUUAUGCUAAGCAAGGUAAACAACUAAGUGAUAGCAAGAUAUAUGACAAUAAACAAUAUGGCUAUCACAAAGUAAAGUGCAUAAGUAAAGGGUUCGGAUAAGAGAUAACCGAGGCACGCGGAGACGAUGAUGUAUCCCGAAGUUCACACCCUUGCGGAUGCUAAUCUCCGUUGGAGCGGUGUGGAGGCAGAAUGCUCCCCAAGAUGCCACUAAGGCCACCGUAAUCUCCUCACGCCCUCGCACAAUGCAAGAUGUCAUCAUUCCACUAAGGGACCCUUGAGGGCGGUCACCGAACCCGUACAAAUGGCAAACCUUGGGGGCGGUCACUGGUACCCGUACAAAUUGCUCGGGGGAAUCUCCACAACCUAAUUGGAGACCCCGACGCUUGCCCGGAGCUUUACACCCCAAUGAUUGAGCUCCGAGACACCACCAAGCUUCUAGGACGCCAAAGCAUCCACGAAAAACAAUAUCUAGGGUACUAAGUACCAAAGGUAAUAAGCUUCUCAAACUUCACUUCCACGUAUCACCGUGGAGAACUCAAACCAAUGAAACUAAUGCAAUGGCAAGAACACACGAAGUGGACAAGUCCCUCACACUCAAAUCCCUCCACAACAACAAAAGCUAUGGAGAAAUAUAAGAGGAAGAACAAGGAGCUCGCAAAGAACUCCAAGAUCUAGAUCCAAGGGGUUCCCCUCACAUAGAGGAGAAAGUGAUUGGUGGAGAUGUGGAUCUAGAUCUCCUCUCUCUUUUCGCUCAAGAACAAGCAAGAAUCAUUGGAGGGAUUGAGAGUAAGCAAGCUCUAAGAAGGUCAACAAUGGGGGUAGAACAUGAGCUCAACUGAUGGAUGGAACCAAGGGGGAAGAAGACCCCCUUUAUAUAGUGGGGGAAGGAAUCAGGCCGUUACCCCCACUUACAGCCCGAGCCCAGCGGUACUACCGCUCGCUGCAGCGGUACUACCGCUGAGCCCAUGGUAGCGCAAAGAUACUACCGGGCCAACCACCGCCAAGAAAGUCUUUGCAAAAGGUCCGACGUAGUACAGCGCAAGGAUGACGGUACUAAAGUCCUGGAGCGGUACUACCGCAGACCAGGGGCGGUACUACUGCUGGGACAGCGGUACUACCACCAGCUCUAGCGGUACUAUUGCUAGGUCUAGCGGUAGUACCGCCAGCACUAGCGGUACUACCGCUAGGGCCAACGGUACUACCGCUAGGUCCAGCGGUACUACCGCUCGCCACUCAAACAGCCAUAACUUUUGCAUACGAGCUCCGAAUCCAGCAAACCCAAGCUUGUUGGAUUCAGGACGACAAGAGCUAUCUUAAGACCAUGCAGAUAUGAAAAUGCCAAUGAUAUAGAUAUGUGAGACCUCUAUGAAUGAAGAACCGGCAAAAACUCCAACAUCGAAAAUAUCAUAGUAGAUGCAUAUGGACUCCGUUUUCGAUGAACUCGAGCUUGUCAUGAAGAUGACCAUAAGCUCUAAAACUCAAAAAGAGAAACACCAAAUAAGAACCAAGAAGUAUGAUGCAAGGAUGCAAAUGGUUUGAGAUCUCAACAAACGAUACGAUCAAGCUACUCACUUGAGAGCCCCCCCUUUGACAGUACAUCAAUCUAUCCUAAAACAGAAAACUUAUCAAGGGCAAACCUAUACCUUGCACCUCGACCUCUUGAGCUAGAUGAUGAUGAUCUUGGCUUCCUCAAGAUGGACCACCUUUCUUGAUUGUGUUGGCUUGAUGAAGACUAGUUGAUUUCUCCCCCAUACUCACUAUGGGUGAGCCACUCUUCAGCAUAUCUUCACAAGUCCUCGCUUCAAGAAUGAUAUAUUUGUGAUGAUCCACUUGAACUUGCACACCGCAAUCUUGAUGACAAUCACCACUUGACGUCAUCCUUCAUGGGCUGUAUGAGAUCUUCCUUUUGACGCAAGCCCAUGGAAACACACCUAACUCCCACAUAGAACUCUCAUGAAGACCAUGGGUUAGUACACAAACACGUAAUGGACAAUGCUUACCAUACCAUGGGAUCACUUGAUCCCUCUCGGUACAUCUUGUACGUUGUGUGUGUUGAUCAUCUUGAUUUUCUCUUUGUCUGAGAUCUUGAUCAACAUUGUGUCUCUAUGACCAUUCUUUGGAUAAUACCUUGAAUACCAUCUUGGUCAUCAUAUAAACUCCUUGAACCCAAUAGAUGGACAUCAUCAAGAAGUGCCUAUGGACAAAUCCUAUAAAUAUAUCUUAAGGCAACCAUUAGUCCAUAGGAAUUGUCAUCAAUUACCAAAACCACAUAUGGAGAUAUAUGCUCUAACAACCACCCCAGCGUACAUCAAUGGGCCCCCCACAGAAAACUUGGGAUCUAUGUGGGUUAUGAUUCUCCGUCAAUUAUAAAAUAUCUUGAACCUCUUACAGGGGACCUGUUUACUGCUCGAUACGCUGAUUCUAUUUUUGAUGAGGACCAUUUCUCGGCAUUAGGGGGAGAAUCAAACCACAAAGAAUGCCAGGAAAUAGAUCGGAAUGUAACAUGCAUCCAUUUCUUAGAUCCACAUACUAAAGAAUCUGAAACUGAAGUUCAGAGGAUUAUAGAUUUGCAACACAUUGCAAAUAACCUGCCAGAUGCAUUUACUGACCAUAAAGGUGUCACUAAAUCACAUAUUCCCGCUGUUAAUGCACCAGAACGAGUGGAGGUACGAACUAAAACCACUUAAACCCCAAAUGAGAGUAAGAGGGGGAGAAAUCUGGUUAGUCGGAAUAUAGCUUCUCAAAAGCCUCCGCGGAAACAGAGGAAAUCAAAUCCUCUACCAGUAAAUGCAAUUCAACCUCUAGUUGAAGGACACCAAUCAGAUGCUCAACAUCUAGAACCCAGCAUAAAUGCGCAUACAAAUAUAAUAGCUGGGACAUUGGAACACCAUGACUCUAUUGUUAUGGGAAAUCACAUAGAGUCUGAAGGUAUAAAAGAAAUUUCCAUAAACUAUAUUGAAUCAGGAGAAUCAUAUAACAGAAAGACUACAAUUGUCGACAUAUAUUUUGCCUCUAAAAUUGCUGAAACCCUUCAACUGGAUCCAGAACCAAAGACCCUCAAGGAGUGACUCAAGCGCCCUGAUUGGCCUAAAUGGAAGGAAGCAAUUGAGGCAGAAUUGCGCUCGCUCAACAAAAGAGAAGCAUUUUCCUCAGUAAUACCUACUCCUCAAAAUUUCUUCCCUAUGGGAGGAAAAUGGGUUUUUGUUCGAAAAAAGGAAUGAAAACAUUGAGGUGGUGAGAUACAAAGCGAGGCUUAUAGCACAAGGGUUUACGCAGAGACCUGGGAUCGAUUACGAUGAUACAUACUCUCCUGUCAUGAGUGGAACAACGUUUCGAUACUUAAUAUCUAUGGCAGUACAACUGAAUUUAUCUAUGCAGUUAAUGGACGUAGUGACAGCAUACUUAUAUGGGUCACUCAAAUCGGACAUAUAUAUGAAAGUCCAUGAAGGACUUAAAAUGCCGAAUCCAAAAGCAAAUCGCAACACAUAUUGUGUAAAACUACAAAAGUCACUCUAUGGCUUAAGACAGUCGGGUAGAAUGUGGUAUAACCGAUUGAGUGAGUUCCUUAUUCAAAAAGGUUACUCAAAUAAUGAUGAUUGCCCUUGUGUGUUUAUAAAGAAGUCUUUAAAUGGAUUUUGCAUCAUCUCAGUGUACGUUGAUGAUCUCAGUAUCAUUGGAAGUAGAUUUGAUAUAGAAGAAGCACACAAUCAUUUAAUGACGGAAUUUGAGAUGAAAGAUUUGGGAAAGACCAAAUUUUUCUCUGGCAUACAACCUGAGCAUCUUCCAUCAGGAAUUUUAGUCUACCAACCUGCUUAUAUUCAAAAGGUUUUGGAAAAAUUCAACAUGGAUAAAUCAUAUCCAACCAAAACACUCAUGGUCAUCAGAUCCCUUGAUAUGAAUAAAGAUCCUUUUAGACCUCGGGAUGAUGACGAAGAGAUAUUAGGACCUGAGUUCCCGUAUCUCAGUGCCAUUGGUGCGCUAAUGUACCUUGCAAAUUGCACCAGGCCUGAUAAUGCAUUUGCGGUAAAUUUACUAGCUAGACAUAGCGCUGCUCCAAACAAAACGUCAUUGGAGGGGAGUAAAGAAUAUCUUUAGAUAUUUACAUGGCACAAAAGACCUUGGCUUAUUCUAUCAGAAGAACCAAUAUAUGACUAUGAUAGGAUAUACUGACGCUGGCUAUCUAUCUGAUCCUCACAAUGCCAGGUCACAGACAGGUUUCGUAUUCUUAUAUGGUGGAACUGCUUUUUCAUGGAAGUCACAAAAACAGACUCUCGUGGCAACUUCCACUAAUCAUUCUGAAAUAAUUGCAUUAUUUGAAGCAUCAAAGGAAGUUGUAUGGCUUCACAGGAUGAUUAACCACAUUCAAACUUCAUGUGGUGUUGGUCCAUUAGGAUCACCAACCAUUAUCUAUGAACAUAAUGCAGCUUGCAUUGCUCAGAUGCAAAUGGGUUAUAUAAAAAGUAAUAUCAAAAAACACAUUUCUCCUGAGUUGUUCUUUCCUCAUUCAUUACUGGAAGAUGGAGAAAUUGAUAUUUUGCAAACCAAAUCAUGUGACAAUCUAGCAGAUUUGUUCACAAAGUCUUUACCAAAUUCAACAUUCCAGAAAUGUAUUCAUGGGAUUGGUAUGAGACGUUUUCGGGAUUUGCAAAUUUCAAGGGGAGAAAACUCCUAGAAUUACGACCCAUUAGUUAUCAUCAGAUAAUAAUUAUUGUACUCUUUUCCUUAUGAGUUUUUACACCAGUUUUCUCAUAAAAAGGUUUUUGAUGAGGCAAUAUAAAUUAUACCAUAUCGUUUUCUCCUUAUACUUUUCCCACGGGGUUUUAAAAGGAGUUUUCAAUGGUGUAUCUAUUACUUCUCAUAUUUUUCCCACUGGGUUUUUGGGGAGGUUCUUAAAUUGAUCAAAUGAUUCUCAAGCUGGAUGAUGAUUAUACAAGAAGCACUAGAUGAUGAAAUAUACACGAAGCGCUAGAAGAUGCGUGAUCCAAGGGGGAAUGUUAGGAAUAGAAUUAGAGUAUUUGUUAAUUUACUAAUUAACAAAUGCUAAUUAUUGGUGGCGCUGAUAUGAGUUAGUUCGGAAACUCGAUGAAUGAUGUGUCAAUGUGUCAUUAUAGGUGUUCAUACGAGGGGACUCGAGUAUAUGUGCUUUGCGGUUUCUGAAAAAUACGGUUACAUAUCAGCCGAUGCAACAUGCAUGCAGUCACAUGCGCGUGGCUUGAUAUGCAUCUAUCUAUAUUUACUUGCAUCGACCACGCUGCGGCCUGAAUCUAGGCUACCAUGUGUCCUUGUCCCGCCCCCCAGCAAGACCAGAAAAGAAAACGCAUCCUUGAUAGUACGAGAUAUUUAGCAGGCGAUCCAGAUGAUUGACGUACGCGACGGAUCAGAGGAAUGGUGUCCAAUUUCAGGUGUAUUGUCAAUUUGUCAUAGACCCUGAUCCUGAUUAAGCAUGGUCCGUGCAUGGGAAAAGGGACCUCCUCCUAGUCCUGGACGAUGCACAUGCGAGCUCUAGAAAAGAUUUUCUAGUACGUAUCCUUGACGAGUAGCACCGCUGGGUUUUGACCGGGCUGUAACUCCAAAUUUAUUGCACCGUUUUGGUAGAGAUAGCUUGACUUGCUGGUGCAAGAACCGGCAGGACGACGAUGGGUAGGCCCCGACGGACCUCACAUGCCACAGUGCUUUCUACCCUGCUCUCGAUCCUUGAAUUCGGCGUGCCUCGGCCACGUAAGGUUCGCUGGUGGAGGCGCGUAAAUGCGGUCUAGCGCUGCAUGCAUGGAAAGUUCCAGCGUCGUAUCGAUCCACAUGACGAUGAUCAGAACCACGUACACCUAGUACAGGUCUGGCAUAGCGUUGUGGCGUUAUAAUGCAUGUGGCGUGGCGUGGGGUAGCUAGGCUAGUGGACCGAUCGACCGUGUUAGUUGUCGGCCAAGUCUAUCUUUAUUAAUAAAGCACAUAUUGCUUCUGUGGUACGUCAUUAAAAUUGCCUUUAAAAUUGUCUAAUAUUACCCACUAAUGUCACCUAUAAGUUAUAAAAAUACGGUUUUCACGAAUCCUCGCAUGGGCCGGCCCACGCAUAGGGACCAGUUGUACUACGCUCUGCUCGUUGGAAAAGAAACAGCACGCCCAUUUGGGCCAGCCCAUGGGCGGAUGACUGUUUAUUUUUAAUUAUUAUUUAUCUGUUCCUUUUUCUUCUAAUUCAAAUAAAUAAAAAAAUCAAAAUUCGAAAAACAAUAUUUACAUAAAUGUUUGAUAAAACAUAAAAUGUUUGUGAAUUCAAAAAUUGUUCAGGAUUUUUCUAAAAAUGUUUCAAUAUUAAAAAAAAUCGUAAUUUUGGAGAAAACAUUCAUGAAUCAAAAAAAGUCCACCAUUUUGAGCAAUUUCAUUAAUGUAAUUAAAAUAAUGUUUGAUAUUCAAAAAAUGAAUCAUUCGCCAAUUCACAAGAAAAUACUUGAAAGCAGUUCGUAAUAUAAAAUAUUGUUUGGAAUUUUAAAAACAUGUUUAUAGAUAGUAAAAAAUGUUGUCAAUUCUAAAAAUGUUCCCAAAUUUAUAAAAAUGUUCACGAAUGAUCGAAUGUAUGCAGUUCAACAGUAAUGCUUCUGAGUCUUUCAGAUUAUGUACCUGGGUGAACUUUGAAGAAUUAAUUGUCAGGGUGGAUCGGAAUAUUAUAGUAUAUUUAAAAAAAAUGAAAUUCAGAAUAAUUCUUUGAGUUACUAAGUUUUUUGAUAACCACGAUAUUUUUAAAAAAAUGUAAACAUUGUUUCAACUUGUGAAUUGUGAAUAAAAUUAAAAGAAGAAAUAUUUUCUUGCAUUUGUGAACAAAUUUUCGAAAUCAUGCGAUGAGAUAUGAACAUAAUGUAAUCAUCGCCAUUGAAGAUGGUGGGGUUUUCUCCCGUUGCAACGCACGGGCCCUUUUACUAGUCAUAAUAAAGUUAUGAACGAGCAAUUACGGUCGUGCACUGGCCACUGCUGACGGGAAACCAUAUUUAACGCCACAUGCAUCGAUUAAAGGUAAAUUUUACUAAUCGGCAUUAGCAGCGCUACGUCAUGAUCCGGCCCAUUUAGAGAUAUGAAAUUAUAUGAACUUUUUUUCAAUUUAUAAGGACCAACACACCCUACAUGGGCCGAUCCACGGAAAGGAGCAUGGCGUAGCUAGUUGGCCACCAUUAUGGCGAUGCUUAAUGUGUUUGAAUGUGUUUGGUGAGGGGCCUCAGUGGCAGAGGACGGGCAAAAAUUGAGGUAGGGCGCCCUUUGGUCACUCGCCACCGACAACGCCACUGUGCCGAAGCGUCGCCUUGCACGCAAUCUCCACCAACAAAAUUAAGGUAGGGCGGCCGCCAUGCCUUGCCGUACCGGGUCCUCCGCCACCGAGGGGCCUCUACCGAGUCACACAAACGUAGCUUGUUUAGAAUGACUAUACCUUGCCAUGCAAUCUCCAACUUUAUUUUGUGACCUAUGAAGUUUCUACGGAACAAAAACCCUAUCAAUCAUUAGAGCUUUAAUUUCAGCCACUAACUAAGCAUACACCGGACGAUCUCAUUAUAAUGUGAAAAUACAAGAUAAGGCAGCUGAAGAUUCUGACUGAACAAACACUGAAAGCUCUGUAUGCUGUGUAGCAAGCGUCAUACCAAUGAACAACGCGUGUAUCUCAAUCUCUAGAGCUUCACUGCAAUUAAAUAUAUAUCGAUAAGCUGCAAAGACGACCGAGCAGUCAGGAUGGCCAAUGGUGUGAUCUAGUUCUUGAAACAAAAAAGGCUCAUGUCAAUCUAAGUUGCUGCUUUACUUUUCAUUUAUGAUUUUUUUUCUCUAGGCAGUUAUUGUAAUUGGUUAUUUCGUUUUGGUUUAUUUAUGCUGGUCCGACUCUCACUACGAAGGGUUUUUUUCAUUCAUAUAUUGUGUUGGACCAAGGUUAAGGACGAUAUUUGUUCUAAGAGGAGGGUGGAUUUAUCAGGUGUUUGGUUUUGGAUCAAACUCUGUAGCAACCGGCGGUCGUUUAACAUAGAAAUUUAAUUCGCGUUGAAAUCAUAGAAUUGCAGAUAUAAAGCUCACAUGGAUCGGCUCAUGAAGCUCUCGCUCACCCAGUUUGGCUCCAUGCUUCGCUCGCUCGCUUAGCUUUUCUUUCAACUCACUCUACUGCUAGCUCAGAACAAAGACUAUCAAUUUUUUUAAGAAGUUUACUUAUUUUUAAAAUUCCUGAACUUUUAUUUUUACACGUUUUAAAAAAUAAUUUAAUAAAUAUUCACGAAUUUGAGAAAAUUUAAACAUUCAAAAAAGUCGCAAAUUUAGAAAAUACUUCUAACAUUUAAAAAAGCACAACUCAAUAGAUCUGUUAUAGGAAGCGAACUAAAAAAUCAAGGCCUCAACCGAAUGCAGCCCAUGUCCGGCCUGUUCACUAGCCCUCAGAUAUUCAGCCCAUCACUCUGCCGGUCUCCUCGAAGCUGCGGGUGCCCGGAAAUGGCAACCGAAAGCCAUUGACGAGAUCUCAUCCCCUUCGUGUCAUGUCACUCGUGCCCAACUCCUCCCCAUCACCACUCCCCUCGGCCAGCCAGAUGGCUGGCACUACUCGCCGGCAGAGCAAGCCGCCGCCGCCGUCUCACGGUGCAAAGCGGUUAGCACUCCGCCUGACCACCCCCCUCGCGUCGCUGGCCCUCCUGCUAUGCGCGGCCGCCGGCGUCUUCCUCUACUCCAAAACCUCCCCGGCGUCCCAAAUCGGCAGCCUCUCAAAGGAAUCCAGUACGGCAUCGCCGGCGCCCUCGUCCCCGACGGUGGGGCACAUCGAGGGCGCGCGCGCCAUCUGGGAGCUCCCCGCGGCGCCGGCCAGGGGGGUCCUCUUCGUAGCCCACGGCUGCCACUGCCGCCCGGAGAACUUCUGGCCGCCGUCCCAGCACUGCCCCGGCUGCGUUGGGCUGCCGGAGGACGUCGCCAUCACGGCCCGCGCGCUACGGAGGCGGUUCGCGGUGCUGGCAGUGGCGAGCGCCGGGGACUGCUGGUCGCUGGGGAAGGAGGUGGGUGCGGCCAAGCGGGCGAUCCAAUCUUGGACCGCCAAGAACGGCCUUGGAGACCUUCCAGUGGUCGCCCUCGGCGCGUCGUCCGGUGGGUACUUCGUCUCCCGGCUUGCGGCCAAGAUGAGCCUCACCGCCGUCGUGAUGAUGAUCUCUGAGGGCGCGUUCGACCUGGCGGGAGCGCCGCCGGGCUAUCCGCCGUCGAUGUUCCUCCACAUGCCGAAGGACCGUAAGAGGGCCGCGCUGGUGGGAAGGAAUGUGAAGAUGCUGAGGAGCAAUGGCGUUGAGGUGAUGGAGCUUCAGAGCCUGGAGCUUCCUCUGACGCCGACGCUUCUGUCAGAUAGGAUAGCAGGGCUUGAUCAUGGGUUGUCUGAAAGGAUUUGGAAGGUUUUCAGUGAGGAAGGAUUCGUUGAUGAGAGGGGGUACAUGAGGAAGGAUGGCCGGACAACUCCAUGGAAGGAUGCAGUGGUGAAGAGCGGGUUCUGGGAGGAGGUAUCCCAGUGGGCUGAUCACAUCCAGGAGGAGCUGAAUCUUGCUUAUGGGUACCAUGAGAUGACAAGCUUGCAAACUGAUGAGAUGUUCAAUUGGAUUGAGGAGCACCUCAGCUGAGUUUUUUUGUUGCUGCUUGAUCAAUUGUUCGUCAUUGUCUAGCAUAUGGGCUUACGACGAAAUGGUGCCUGUAGUUACGUGGCAGAAGAAGAAACUGAUGGUGGUCGUUGAAAUUGGAGAGGAAGCUGUGGAGUGUAGCUCUGGGAAUUCAUCUAACGUGAGUCGACACUGAACGAGGGAACAUACAGGCAUAAUGUUAAGUAACAAACUGACUUGAUGUGAGUAUGUAUGUUUCCUUUAUUUGGCUGUUGUGCAGAUGGAGGGGCAAGCUUAUUAACAUGGAUAGUUUAGUCGGUUUUUCUCUGAUCUAUAAGCAGGCUAUGUCUUUAUCUACAUGAAUGUUGUGUUCUUAAUUAGCCAACAUUGCGUGAAUGUUGUGUUCUUAAUUAGCCAACAUUGCGUGAAUGUUGUUGUUUGUUUCGUUGAACCAUUGCACUCUGAAGCUGAAUCGUUGUUUUAGUUGGGUUGAUGAUGAGCCUGGCCAUGGUUCAGUUACUGGCUAGUGGGUGUAGUAAAAGUUCUUGGUCAGGAGACCUAAGCUCGAUAUCUUUAAGUGAGCACAAAAUCUAAUAUUUUUACCUUUCAGACUUGAUGUUUACCCUCUGACGUUACGCGCAUUUACUAUUACCUCCAAGUAGACUUGCAUUGGUCACCUAUUCCGUUCUCCGUCACUCAUUUUGCUACAACUAAGACAAGAUAUAUGCAACCUUUGGAAUCUUCUCUGGUUUUGUUAAUUGUGACUUUGUGAGUGAGGAUAUAGCCCAAAUGUUAAUAAUAAUGUUUUGUUAAUUUGUUGAUUAAGCUUCAUUUGAGCUGGUUGUGGUAUGUUGAGACUUAUGGACAAUUAAUUUUGGGGUAUUCUGUUUUUAUCGCUUGUGAUUGCAAUGCCGUGGUUUUUGAGCCAACCGAAAUCAUCACGUUUUUUUCCGCCACCAAGAGUGCUUUUGGUCACAAUCCAGUUGGGGGUUUGUUUGAUGACUUAAAAGCAGAGUUUUGAUCAUCACCAAGAGUGGUUCUUUGCUGAAGGCCUAAGUGGUAACCAGAAGAAUGAGAACACUGUAGCUUCAAAUGAGGUGGAGGCGUGGAGCUCAACUCCCUCGUCGUUCUCUGCCUGUGCUUCAUUUGGACAGAGCGCAACAAACAAGUUUCUGAUAAUUUCCGCUACUAUCACGGUUCUGUUCGCAUCUAAAAGAAGCUUCAGUUCGACCUGUGGAAAUCGGCAAGGUCGACUGACCCAGAGUUAUUGAGGGCGAGCUCAAAUGAGCUCGGUUGAACAGUAAACAUUGACAAAAGUUUUAAGUGCUUGUAAAAUUUUGUGAGAAAAUCACAUUCCUACAAGACGUGGCAAAGAAAAAACAAAAUUAAUGUUCUGAAAAUGCUACUUUCAAAAGAAUUUUGGAGCACUAAAUUUGUUUUUUUAUCAUGCCUUAUCGGAAUGUGAUUUCAUGACGAAUUUUUGCAAGCACUUAAAACUUGUGUCAAUGUUUAUCACAAAAAAAUUCAGAUUUUUUUCUCCAUUUUACUGUUCAUCCAAGCUCAUUUGAGCUUGGGGGGAGAAGCACACUUUCCAUCGCUUCUUAGGGCUAGUUCUUUUCGUGACUUUUUUGAGCUUUUAGAAUAAGCUACCCCCUACCCAGCUUAUUUUAGAAACCCAACCAAAAAUAUUUUUUAGAUUACUAGUCAAGUCUUAAUUAGUAGACUUUAAAAAAAUUGAUUGGGCUUCUAGACUAAACUGGGUAGGGGUAGCUUAUUUCAGCUUAUUCUAGAAUCCAGCAAAAGAACUGGCCCUUAUAUACUUACUCAAGAUGAUUAUCCUCUAUGUUUAGUUCCUGAUCUAUCUGGAUUAACUUGCGCUCUAGUGCAAUGCUUAUUGGUACAAAAGGAUUGCAAAUUGAUAAUAAUCGAGUGACAUUACUUCGUCGGUCCGAACCAAGAAUCAAUUGGAAGUGUUUUGAAAUGUAUAUUGUUCUCUCUUUGAUUAGGGAUUACUAUAUGAAACGCAGGGCCCAUCCAAGAGCGGUGUUGUAGAGACCGGGCUCCAGUGAGCCCGGUAUACCCCAAAAAAAUGUAUAUACUUAAUUUUUUUUUAAAAUAUCAAUUUUUUUUGUACAAAUACAUAUACCUGAUAGUCAAGUGUGUAAAAAGUUUCAUCAGGUAAUUCGGCUGUCUGCGUGCUACACAAAAAAGAUAAAUAUCUGGCCCAAACACAACAAAGUUAAAGUCCAUUUUAAUCUGUGUAUUUGUCUUUUUUGUAUAUGCUACAUAAGAGUAUAAAUGCUAGUGGAAAUUUAUACGCAUGUAUUACGAAGACAUAUAUGUGUAUUUACUUUUUUUAGUUUUUUUUUCAUUGUGUGGAAACUGUAUUUUGGUAAAAAAAAAAAGGCCUCACUCAAGCCCGGAAGCUGCUAUGCUUUAUCGGGGCCCAUCCAUCCUAUACAGUCACAACCAAUGCAAUAGUCUAUGUUUCCAGAAAACCAACUCGGAUUUGGAAAGUGUGCUUCUUCUCCCGUUGAGCUCGAUCCAUUUUUUUGGUGGGUUCCAAGAAAAGACGAAAGAUCUUGCACCUCAGUUCAACCAAAAAAAAUAAAAAUAUAAAGUAGUCUCAUUAAUCUCUUCAUGCUCAUUUCAUCGGACUGACUCUGCCUGAUUACAAAAUAUAUGGUAGUACAUAACUUCUAUCGCAUAAUAACAACCACAUGAUUGUGAAUUAAAAAAAUGAGUUGAAGCCAUAAUGCAAGUUCCAAGCUAAAGGUGGAGGUUAACAAACCUUGUGCACGAAAACUUCAUGACUAACAUCGACACGGUCAAGCCGGUUUCGAUAGGAGAGCGGCAACAAUGAAGCAUCGAUGACUCAUUCUGACAGCGAUAAUGAUUACUUGCUGGUCUAAAGGCCUUGAUAUAACUUUUAUUAUGUUUUAUGGUUCUUUAUAAUUCCGAUGAACUUUUACAACAAAUAUGAUUUUUUCAAAGAAAAAAAGAAAACCUCGUCUCGGAUAGGAAUGAUAUGGUUCCAUUCUAAACCCAACAAGAAACUAUAGUCAAACUCUUCUCUCCGGAAAAGAAACAAGCAAACUAUUUGGCGAUGUGUGCAUGAUAUUUACAAGUAGGAUAUACCGUUUCUAUGUUUCAAAAUGUUGAUUUUCAAAAUUAAAUUAUGGUGUUUGAAUAUCAUUGAAUUAUGUAUCAAAUUUGUUUGUGUUUGAAUUGUUGUGGUGUGAAUCAUGGAGUUUACGUGGCAAUAUAAAAUAAAAAGAAAUAGUGGUUGUUAAUGAGAGUCAUUAGGGCAUCUCCAAGGGCGAGGCCUGUUUUCCCACAUAUCUCUCGCCGAUAUGUGUGAACAUAGAAACACCCUCCUAACCGGCUCCCGCAAACCCGGACCAAAUUUCUGUAUUGUCCGGACUCCUCCAAACCCAACCAUGUGAGGGAGAAAACAUUGUUCCCCCAACAUGUCCGGCUGUCCGCCACGUCUACUUGACAUCCAGGGCUCAUACCAAACCCAAAAAGAACCUCAUCUAGUCCUUAAUCUCUCUCCACUCCAACAUCUCUUCUCCUCUCUAUCCCAAACCCUAGCUCGAAUCGCCACAAACCCGCUUGAUCUAUUGUCAUCACUAUUCAAGAAUUCAUGCAAUUAAUCUGUUAAUCGGCAAGUUAACCGCUACUCAUUGGGUGGCCGAAUCGAAUAACACAUAUUCAUCGUGUUAACUUGUCAGCCUGAUUGAAUGGUAUGUCAGACCGAUUAAUCGGCUGUGAGGCCAACUAAUCGAUGUUGGCCCGUUAACUCCUCGGAAAACAAAACCUGAUUAUUUGGCCCAUAACCUCUCUCAGUCCCUCCUGCUCCUAAAGAGCUAGGGUUUAGCCCUUCACCCGCCCGCUCCCGUUGCUCUCAUCCCCUCUCGAACUAGAUAGCAGCUGGCCAGGGUCUCGUUGGCGCACCGGCGCUUCCCCACCUCCCCUAUGUGUCACUGUUUCAUCUUCUCCAUCUGCAUGUUGGUACUUACUAUGAUAGCCUGGCUUACUAGGGAUGAUAGACUACUCAUAUCAAUAAAGAAUUCCUUCUUUUCCGGAAGCCCAUUCGAACAGAACUCUCAGGUUAAGCGUGCUCGGCUUGGAGUAGUUCUAGGAUGGGUGACCGACCGGGAAGUUGGUCCCGGGUGCGCAUGAGUGAGGACAAAGUGCGCAGAAAAGAUUAGUAUUGAUAUGUGGGGCCAGUCUAGAUCCUGCCAGGAGUAACGACCGUCGGCGGGUGUGUCCGGGGCGUUACAAGUUUGCUAUCAGAGCCAACCCUCGCGGUUACAGGAUGUUUGCGGACAGGUGUACGGUCAUGUUGUUCAUGACGUUUGUGACCCGUCGUGGCACACGACAUGGUACAUGUACUAGACUGGAUGCACAGACGUUUGUACCAAGAGGGAACGCUCUUGUGGCCCGACGAGGACGUCGGUUCCUCUGAGUGGUGGUGUAUGUGAUAGCCUGGCUUAUUAGGGAUGAUAGACUACUCAUAUCAAUAAGGAAUUCCUUCUUUUCCGGGAGCCCAUUCAAACAGAACUCUCAGGAAUUGUAUACAUGUGGUGGCGUCAUCGUCGUGUGGUCGCCAUCUCUUGGAAUUGCAUCCUAGGCGGAAAUAAGAAAAAAAAUGUUGUUGUAUACAUGUUUGUUGAUGAGUUUUUUAUGUCCACAUGGAUGAUUGUUAUGGAUGAUUUAUGUUGUAUACAUGUUUGUGAUCUAUUGAGAAAAUAAAAUGGUGUCCUUUGAUUCAUAUUUGUAAUGUAGUUUUGUUCUCCAUGCAAAUUUGCUUCUAUUGAGUUGAAAAUUACAAUGAAUAAUGGUCGAGCAACUAAUCUAGUUAAUAGGCCAAUUCGGCAAUUAAUCGCUACUCCAAAGCCAAGCAAGCGGCUCCUAGUUAACGAUUUCCUCAACGUUGGUUGCCAUGUCUGGGUCGAAGUUGGAUGGCGUCGACUCGGAGCUCCCACAGGUGGAGGACAACAAGGAUCUCAUCCUUUGCCGAUUAGACCAUGACACCGGAGGACUCUGGUGCGGGUCAAGCAAUCGGGCAUCGUUGUUGCCACCCCAUCAUGAGUCAUGCAGCGACAGACCGUCCCCACCACCCCGGCGUUGGUUUGUCACCCAAGGUGCUUCGUCUCCACUGCGACACGUGUCAAUCGGUAGUGUCAUCCCUGGCACCAUGGCGCUGGCGGAGGGAUGGUGGCUCAUCCAGACCCUUUGUAGUUCUCAUGUGGUGCUCCUCCAAGGACGAGCAAGUGGUUUACGGCAGCCUCCAUCGCUCGUUGACCAGAAAAGAUCAUGUUCGUGUCAUUGUCGUCUGAAGAACACCAAGGCACACCAAGAAUAGAUAUAGGCUUCUUAACAAGAACUAAAAAAGGCCACCCGAGCGAAAGACCUCGAUGAAGAACAAGUGCGCUGCUACUUGUAAACUGCGUUGGGAUUUUCCUCGAAAAGGAGAGGAGAUGCAUGAUACGUCUCCAACAUAUCUACUUUUUCAAACACUUUUGCUCUGGGGUUCGGCCUCUAACUUGCAUGAUUUGAGUGAAACUAACCCGGACUAACGUUGUUUUCAGCACAACUAUCUUGGUGUUAUUUUUGUGCACAAAUAAAAGUUUUCAGAAUCGAACAAAACUUUUUGUGAGUUAUUUUUGGCAUUUAUAAGGAUUUAUGGAGCGAAUACCUGCCAGAGAAAUGCUGCCACGGGGCCACAAGCCAACAAGGGGCCCCUUGUCUAUACUGUGAUGGCUUCUGGGGUCCAUGUGGCUCCUCCGACCCUAAUUCCAGUCCUAUAAAAUCAAUCUUCGGAAAGAAAAAUCGAAGAGAAAUUUUCAUCACGUUUUACGAGGCGGAGCCACCGCCACCUCCUGUUCUCCCUCGGGAGGUUGAUCUCGAUCCCGUUUGGGUCUCUGAAAAGGGGGAUUCAUUGUCUUGUCAUCACCAACCCUUCUUCAUCAACACCGCCAUGAUGCUCACCACUCGGAGUGAGUAAUUCCUUUGUUGGUUUGCUGGACAGCGAUGGGAUUGGAUGAGAUUGAUCAUGUAAUCAAGUUAAGUUUGAUUGGGCUUGAUCCCUAGUGUCCACUAUGUUCUGAGAUUUAUGUUACUAUGACUUUGCUAUGCUUAAUGCUUGUCACUGGGGUCGAGUUCCAUGAUUUCAGAUCUAAACCUACUAUGUGUUCAUGAAUAUGAGAGUGAUUUGGAUCCUAUAUUGCAAGUUGUAGUUACCUAUUACGUGUCUUGAUCCGCAUACCCCAAGGUGACAAUAAUUGGGAUUCUUUCUGAUGAUUGCCGUAGUUUGAGGAGUUCAUGUAUUCACCAUGUGUUAAUUAUUUGUUUUGGUUCUCUAUUAAAAAGAGUCCUUAAUAUUCCUUAGUUUCAAAUAGGACCCCGCUGCCACGGGAGGGUAGGACAAAAGAUGUCAUGCAAGUUUUUUAUCGCAAGCACGUAUGACUAUCUAUGAAAUACAUUCCUACAUUAUGUUGAUGAAUUGGAGCUAGUUCUGUGUCACCCUAGUGUGUAACCGUUACAUGUUCAAUGUCAUCUAAAUCAUUUUCCAUCAUUGAUCCACGUGCAUACGCUUUACAUAUACUAAAUAUUGCUAAGUUACUACUGUUGAUGCUACUAUCAAACCUGCUACUCAGUUGCUACUGUUACUACCGUUACUACUGUUACAAAAAUUGUUGCUAUCACUGUUACUCUUACUGCUAUCAUUUGCUUUGCUACGAAAUCCUUGCUGCAGAGAGUUAUCCAAGGUGUGGUUAAAUUGACAACUCUGUUACGAACAAUAAAUAUUAUUUGGUUCCCAUUGUGUCGAAUCAAUAAAUUAGGGUGAAAUACUACCCGUGAAGACUGUCGUGAUCCCCUAUACUUGUGGGUUAUCAAUGCAGCACAAUAGAGAUAAGUAUUUUCCUCAGUGAAAAUCAAGGUUACUGAACCAAUAGAAGGACCAUGAAAAUGCCCGUCUUCAACACCUACACAACAAAAUAGCAAACACUUGCAUCCAAGGCAAGCAAGAGGGUUGGCAAGCCCCUUGAACUCUUUACUUGCAAGAGAUAAGUAGUGAUAGAUAGAUAAUAUAAAUAUAAAAUAAAAUAACAGUAGUAACAGAGAAACAAUAUUUUAGUAUUUUUAUAAUAUGAUUUGUGAAGACCCGGGGCCACUCUCGAAGAAAACACACGGUGGGUAAACAAAUUAUUGUUGGGUAAUUGAUAGAAAAGUGAAUAGUUAUGUAAUAUUUAUUCAAGGCAAUGGUCAAACAUAUAGGGAUCACGUCCAUAAGCAAGUCGGCCGACUUCUUCCUGCAUCUACUACUAUUACUCUACUCAUCGACCGUUAUCCACCAUGCAUCUAGAGUAUUAAAUGAAAACAGAGUAAUGCUUGGGGCAAAGUGACAUGAUAUAGACAAAGUAAACUCGACUAAUAUGAAUAAACCCCAUCAUUUUAUCCUUAAUGUCAGCAAUACUAUACAUGUCAUGUCCCCUUCUAUCACCGAGAUUGAGAACCGCAAGAUUGAACCCAUCACAACACACCACUCUUGUUGAAGAUAAAUCAAUCUAGUUGGCUAAACCAGACCGAUAGAUCGGAGAGAAAUACGAAGCUAUCAUAAUUAUGCAUACGAGAAUUCAGAGAUGACUCAAAUACUUUUCAUUAAUAAUUUGAACAUAAGCCAACAAUUCAUCGGAUCCCAACAAACACACUGCAAAGAGGAUUAGAUAUGAUAGAUCACCACAGAAAUCACGUUGAUCUUUGCACUGAAGAACAUGGAGAGAGAUAGAGAUAGCCAUCUAGGUACUAACUACAGACCCAUAGGUUUGCUAUAGACUACUCACACAUCACCAUGGGAGCAACAAUGUUGAUGUAGAGGCCCUCCGUGAUUGAUCCCCCCUCCGACAGGGUACCAUAAGAGGGCUCCAGAUGGGAUCACGGCGGAACAAAGACUUGCGGCGGCGGAAAAAAUAUUUUGGGUGGCUCUCUCAUGUUUUCCCAUCAUAUUAAGAUGCGUUGGGAGGAGGUCUGAUACGUCUCCAAUGUAUCUAUAAUUUUUAUUGUUCUAUGUUGUUAUGUUAUCAUUCUUGGAUGUUUUAUAAUCAUUUUAUAGUAAUUUUAUAUCAUUCGUUGGGACUAAUCUAUUGACGUAGUGCCUAGUGCCAGUUGCUAUUUUUUGAUGUCUUUUUCCUUCACAGAAAAUCCAUAUCAGAUGAGAUCCAAUUGCUAUAAAACUUUACGAAGAUUAUUUUGGACCAGAAGGAAACUUGGGGGCUAAUAAUGAGCAGCAGCAAAGGACCAGGGGGGCGCUAGACACCACGGCACGCAAGAGCCCCUAGCGCGGCCUGAUGUCUAGUGGGGCCCUCAGGAAUCUUUCUCCACCGCGUGUGAGCUCUAUAAAUACCCCCAUAUUCAGAAAACCCUAGAGGAGUGGACAAAAAUCGUUUCAGCCACCUCAAGUUCUGGACCCACAAAAACCAAUCUAGAGCCCAUUCCGGAGAGGAACACGAUCACGGAGGGGUUCACGAUCCCCAUUGGUGCUCCUUCGAUGAUGCGCGAGUAGUUCAUAUCAGACCCUCGGGUCAGUAGACAGUAGCUAGAUGGCUUUCUCUCUCGUUUUGUUUCUCAAAACAAUGGUCUCUUGGAGAUCCAUAUGAUGUAACUAUUUUUGUAUGGUGUGUUUGUUGGGAUUCGAUGAAUUGUGAGUUUAUGAUUAGAUGUAACAAAAAAAUAUUCGUGCUUGAUUAUUAUAGCCUAGUAUUUAUUCUCUGAUAUUUGGUUUUUGUCUGGCAAACUUGAUCUUUUAUAUUGCAAUAGGAAGAGGUGCUUUGUGAUGGUUUUGAUCUUGCGGUGCUCAAUCUCAGUGACAGAAAGAGACAUGACACACAUGUAUCAUUGCUAUCAAGGAUCAAACGAUGGGGUCUAUUCCUACAUGAAUAUAUCUUGUCUACAUCAUGCCAUCGUUCUUAAGGCAUUACUCCGUUUCUCCAUGAACUCAAUACACUAGAUGCAUUCUGGAUAGCGGUCGAUGUGUGGAGUAAUAGAAGUAGAUGGAGGCAGAAGUCAGUCUACUUAUCUUGGACGUGAUGCCUAUAUACAUGAGCAUUGUUUUGAAUAUCGUUGAUACGUAUUCGUCGUAUCUACUUUUCCGAACUCUUUUGCCCUUGUUUUGGACUCUAAUUUGCAUGAUUUGAAUGGAACUAACCCGGACUAACGUUGUUUUCAGCAGAAUUGCCAUGGUGUUGUUUUUGCGCAGAAAUAAAAGUUCUCGGAAUGACCUGUCGGAGUAGUUGCUACGAGUAGGCACUUGACGGAGUAGUUGCUACGAGUUUAGUUGGGCCUUGUUCAGUUUUCCUUUGGGUCACUGAAAAUUUCAGAAAAGGAAGAUGUUCAGGAGAAACUGUCAUGGUGGUUCCUCAAGCAAGAGAGGUCCCCGUCUUGCGAUUCGGGAGCCCGAUCCUUACCAACCGAGGAACGCACAGGUACAACCAUGUGAAUGGACUUCUGAUGAAUUCAUGAUUGAGGCAGGUUUCAAAGACGAGUUUGAUACACUAGUUCACAACGUCGGACUCGAAGAAUCCAUCUCCGAUAAAUGUGAACAGUAUGUUGCUCUCACUGCCUCUUUUGUUCGUAGAUUCAAAUUUUCAGUUGGUCGUGAUACAUCUGUACUGUUUGAUCUCUAUGACAAAUCGUAUACCAUGGAUUUAGAGGAUUUCAAUAGAAUUUGCAAGAUACCUAUUUGGGGUAGUCUCAAUGAUCCUCCUAAAUCUUCGGUUAGAGAUUUUUUCUCUGCUAUAACUGUCGGAGAAACUAGAGAUAUUACGCAGGCUACCAUGGGGAGUAUUCAUUUUCCUGCCUUGCAUUAUUUUGCGCUCUUCAUAGGCAGAUGCAUUAAUAGCAAGAUUGAGUAUUGUCACCUCUGCGCACCCGACCUUAGUAUUCUUAAGAGCGCAGUAACGGGUGAUAGAAGUUUCAACAUGGGAGCUCUAAUAGCAAGGAUGCUGGAUAAUAAUGCUAAUGAAGGGGAUUUCUUUGGUGGGAUCUAUGUCACUGAUGUUUGUCGUGUAUCCCUUGCAAUGGCGCCAGAAAUAGUUGUGUCGAGGGCACCAAGAAUCCUUCAGCUACGGCUACGCCUUGAGGGACUUCCUAGGCAAGUAUGCAAAGGAUUUCCCCCAUGGCCUUGGAGCCUUGCGUUGGUGUUCCCUCGAAGCGGAAAGGGUGAUGUAGCACAGCGAUAGUAAGUAUUUCCCUCAGUUUGAGAACCAAGGUAUCAAUCCGGCGGAAGAGUAUCUCAAGAUCCUGCACAAACACAAAAGCUUGCACCCAACGCUAUGAAGGGGUUGUCAAUCCCUUAUAGAUUGUUUGCCAAGUGAGAACUGAAAGCAACAAAGUAACAAAGCAAAGUAAAAGCAGAGAUGUAAACGAUGGAUGUGAAUAGACCCGGGGGCCAUAGUGUUUACUAGUGGCUUCUCUCAUGAAAGCAAGUAGAUGGUGGGUGAACAAAUUACUGUCGAGCAAUUGAUAGAACUGUGUAGAGUCGUGACGAUAUCUAUGCAAUGAUUAUUUCUAUAGGCAUCACGUCCGAAACAAGUAGACCGAUACUUUCUGCAUCUACUACUAUUACUCCCCACGUCGACCGCUAUCCAACAUGCAUCUAGUGUAUUAAGUCCAUAAGAACAGAGUAACGCCUUAAGCAAGAUGACAUGAUGUAGAGGGAUAAUCUCAAACCAAUGAAAAAAACCCCAUCUUUUUACCCUUGAUGGCAACUGCUUGAUGUGUGCCUUGCUGCCCCUACUGUCACUGGGAAAGGUCACCACAUGGCAGAACCCAAAACCAAGCACUUCUCCCAUUGCAAGAAUCAUAGAUCUAGUUGGCCAAACAAAACCCAAGACUCGGAGAGACUUACAAGGAUAUCAAAUCAUGCAUAUAAGAAAUCAGCAAAGACUCAAAUAUAUAUCAUAGAUAAUCUGAUCACAAGUCCAUAAUUCAUCGGAUCUCGACAAACACACCGCCAAAGAAGAUUACAUCGGAUAGAUCUCCAUGAAGAUCAUGGAGAACUUUGUAUUGAAGAUCCAAGAGAGAGAAGAAGCCAUCUAGCUACUAACUACGGACCCGUAGGUCUGAAGUGAACUACUCACGAGUCAUUGGAGGGGCGAUGAUGAUGAUGAAGAAGCCCUCCAACUCCAAAGUCCCCUCCGGCAGGGUGCCGGGAAGGGUCUACAGAUGAGAUCUCGCGGAAACGGAAGCUUGCGGCGGCAAAAAAGUAUUUUCGAGGCUCCCCUGAUUUUUUACGGAAUAUUUGGGAAUUUAUAGGCCAAAGACCUAGGUCAGGGGGCGGGCAGGGAGGCCACAAGCCUGCCCACCGCCGCCUCCACCUGGUGGCGGAGUGGGGGCUUGUGGGAUCCCUGGAGCCCACCUGGCUUGGCCCAAAAUCCCGUGGACUUCUUCCGUUCGGGAAAAAAAUCAUUUCGGGGUUUUUCUUCCGUUUGGACUCCGUUCCAAAAUCAGAUCUGAACAGAGUCAAAAACACGGAAAAAACAGGAACCGACACUUGGCACUGAAUUAAUAAGUUAGUCCCAAAAAGAUAUAAAAAGGUACAUAAAACAUACAAAGAAGACAAGAUAACAGCGUGAAACCAUAAAAAAUUAUAGAUACGUUUGAGACGUAUCAAGCAUCCCCAAGCUUAACUUGUGCUCGUCCUCGAGUAGGGAAGUGAUAAGAAUGAAUUUUUGAUGCUUUCAUGCUACCUAGCAUAGGUGUCCUUUGUAAUUCCUCUUAUGUGACGUGAAUGUUCAGAUCCAUUAGAUUCAAAACAAUAGUUUGCUAUUGACGUGGAAACAAUAAUAAUUCAAGCAAACUAGCAAAGUAAUCAUGAACUUUCAAAAUAACAAGGCCAAAAGAAAGUUAUCCCUACAAAAGCAUAUAGUCUGGCUAUGCUCUAUCAUCAUUGCAGAACGAAUUUAAAUCAUGCACAACCCCGGUAUUGGCCAAGUAAUUGUUUCACACCUUUACUUUCUCAAACAUUUUCAACUCUCAGGCAAUACAUGAGCGUGAGCCAUGGUUAUAGCACUAUAGAUGGUGUGGAGUGUGGUGGAGGUUGCAAGAAAAAAAAAGGAGAAGAUAGUCACAUUAACUAGGCAUAUCAAUGAGCUGUGGAGAUGCUCAUCAAUAGAUAUCAAUGUGAAUGAGUAGGGAUUGCCAUACAAAUGAUGCACUAGAGCUACAAGCAUGUGAAAGCUCUUAAAGAAAAAUAGUGGGUGUGCCUCCAACUUGCUUGCUCACGAAGACCUAAGGCAAAUUUGAGGAAGCCUAUCAUUGGAAUAUACAAGCCAAGUUAUAUAAUGAAAAUUUCCCACUAGCUAUAUGGUGGUGACAAAACGAGAGACUCUCAAUCAUGAAGAUCAUGGUGCUCAAUAUGCACAAGUGUGGGAAAAGUGGUAGCAUUGUCCCUUCUCUCUUUUUCUCUCAUAUUUUUUUUAAUUUUUGUGGGCUCUUUGGCCUCUUUUUUUAUGGGCUUCUUUGGCCUCUCUUUUUUAUGGGCUUCUUUGGCCUCUUUUAUUUCCUCACAUGGAACAAUGCUCCAGUAAUGAUGAUCAUCACACUUUCAACUCAAAACUUAGAGCAACUAUGACUCUGUAUGGAAUGCCUUCGGUAGUGUACCGUGGCAAUGAUCUAGCAUGGCAUAGACAUCAAUGGAAACAUCAUGCUAGCUAUCUUACGAUCGUGCAAAGGCAAUGUAGACGUGGUGGCACAUAUGAUGGUGGUAGUUGCAUGGCAAUAUAUCUCGGAAUGACUUUGAAAAAGCCAUAGUAGGUAGGUAUGGUGGCUGUUUUGAGGGAGGCUAAUGGUGGGUUUUGUGCACCGGCGGAAGUUGUGCGGCACUAAGAAGAUAGUGAUGGUGGAAGGUGAAAGUGCAUCUAAACCAUGGACUCAACAUUAGUCAUGAAGAACUCAUAUACUUGUUGCAAAAGUUUUAUUAGUAAUCGAAUCAAAGCAUUCAACGCAUACUCCUAGGGGAAGGGUUGGUAGGUAUAAACCAUCGCGCGAUCCCGACCACCACGCAAAGGAUGACAAUCAAAAGACUAAUCAUGCUCAGACUUCAUCACAUAGCGGUUCACCAUACGUGCAUGCUACGAGAAUCACUAACUUCAACACAAGUAUUUCUAGAUCCACAACACCUUACUAGCAUGACUUCAAUAUUACCAUAACCACAACUCAAAACUAAUUGAGAUGAUCAAACUUCUCUAAAUAUUCAAUGCACAUGAAGGUGGAAGUUUUCGUAUCCCUUUGGAUAACUACCCCUUUUGAGACUACUUUCAAAGCAUAGAUCAACUACCAAGCCAUGCACCGCUGUGCUCUAAAAGAUAUAAGUGAAGCACAUAGAGCAAAAGUAUCUAGCUCAAAAGAUAUAAGUGAAGCACAUGUGAGCUGAAUUGUCUACCAAAAGAUAUAAGUGAAGCUCGACAAAAUCACGGUGUGUGCAUGUCUCUCUCUCUAGGUGUGCAUCAAGGAUGAUUGUGACACAACACAAAUAAAAGACUCCUACGACACAAGACGCUCCAACCAAAAGCACAUAACAUGUGGUGAAUAAAAAUAUAGCCCCAAGUAACGUUACCGAUGGAUUGAAGACGAGAGAGGGGAUGCCUUCCCGGGGCAUCCCCAUGCUUAGGAUUUUACAGAAUCCUUGAAUCUCUUGGGGUGCCUUGGGCAUCCCCAAGCUUGAGCUCUUGCCACUCUUUAUCUUUUUGUCCAUAAGAACUUCACCCAAAACUUGAAAACUUCACAACACGAAACUUAAAUAGAAACUCGUGAUAACAUUAGUACAAGAAAGCAAACCACCACUUCCUUAGGUACUGUAGCAAACUUAAAUUCUACUUGUGCUGAUGUUGUGUUACUGUACUUUCAAUCUUCCAUGGCUAAUACCCCCGAUACUAUCCAUAGUUUCAUCAAAAUAAGCAACCAACACAACAAAAACAGAAUCUGUUAACAACAUACCAGUCUGUAGCAAUGUGUAUGUUUCGUAUACCUCUGAUACUUCAAAAAUUCUGAAAAAUUACGAGAGUCUGAAGAAUUUGCGUAGCAAUCAGCAUAAAAAAAUCAACUCAAAAGCUCUUACAGACAAAAAAUGACAAUUCUUUUCGUGAGCAGAAAGUUUCUGUCUUUUCCAGCGUGACCAAACGAUCAUCCUCUAGACUAAUCAUAACGGUUUUGCUUGCAACAAACGCAAAAAGAAACACAAAAAACACAAUCGUAACAGAAUUAUGAAAGUGUGGAAAACACAAAACAGAAAGAAAAAGGAUAGAUUCGUUGGGUUGCCUCCCAACAAGCGCUUUUGUUUAACGCCCUUAGCUAGGCAUUGAUUGAUGCUCUCACAAAAGACAAGAAUUGAAGCACAACGAGAGCAUCCUAAAGCAUGUGAAAAUCACAUCUAAGUCUAACAUACUUCCUAUGCAUAGGCAUUUUAUAGGCAAAUAGAUUGUCAAGACAACCAAUAGUUGCCAUAUGCAAGGAAGAAGAAAGAGACAAUAGCAAUCUCAACAUAACGAGAGGUAAUUGGGUAUCAUGAAAGUUUCUACCACAAUAUUUUCCUCUCUCAUAGCAAUUACAUGUGGGGUCAUAUUCGAAUUCAACAAUGUAACUAUCACAUAGGAUAUUCUUUUCAUGAUCCACAUGCAUGCAAAGUUGACGCUCUUCAAAAAUAGUGGGAUUAUCAUCAAAUAAAGUCAUGACUUCUCCAAUCCCACUUUCAGUAUUGUUGCAAAUAUCAUAUUCAUCAUGAGGUUUGAACAAAUUUUCAAGAUCAUAAGAAACAUCAUCACCCCAAUCAUAAUUAUUGCCACAAGUAGUGGACAAAGCAAAACUAGCAUCCCCAAGCUUAGGGUUUUGCAUAUUUUUAGCAUGAUUGUCACUAAUAGGAUUUAUAGUGAAAUCAUUGCAAUCAUGCUUUUCAUCCAAGGAGCCCUCGUGAAUCACUUCAUGAAUUUCUUUCUCACAAUUUUCAGAUUCACGCAUCUUACGCAAAACUCCAAAGAAAUAGUCAAUUGCCCUCAAUUGACUAGCAAUUUGUUCCACACGAGUGGGUCUCUUAAAGAGACUAGCAAGUGGAUGAGGAUCCAUAUCACUAGAUUUUCAGCAAGCGAAGAUGCAAGCAUAUUCACGGCACAUGGCACACAAGUGAACAGAAAGCAAGCGAGAGAAAAGGGCGAACGAAAAAGGCAAAGGAGAAAACGGCGAAGGCGAAAGGCGAAUGAAAACGGCAAAUGUGAAGUGGGGGAGAGGAAAACGAGAGGCAACUACCAACAAAAGUGAAUGCAAGAGAAGAGUUUGUGAGACCUACUUGGAUAGAUCUUGUUUUCUCCUCCCCGGCAGCGGCGCCAGAAAUACUUCUGAUGGCUGCUGUGUAUCCCUUGCAACGGCGCCAGAAAUAGUUGUGUCGACCGCACCAUGAAUCCUUCAGCCGCGGCUACGCCUUAAGGGACUUCCUAGGCAAGUAUGCAAAGGAUUUCCCCCGUGGCCUUGGAGCCUUGCGUUGGUGUUCCCUCGAAGCGGAAAGGGUGAUGUAGCACAACGACGGUAAGUAUUUCUUGAGAACCAAGGUAUCAAUCCGACGGAAGAGUAUCUCAAGAUCCUGCACAAACACAAAAAUCUUGCACCCAACGCUAUGAAGGGGUUGUCAAUCCCUUAUAGAUUGUUUGCCAAGUGAGAACUGAAAGCAACAAAGUAACAAAGCAAAGUAAAAGCAGAGUUGUAAACGAUGGAUGUGAAUAGACCCGGGGGCCGUAGUGUUUACUAGUGGCUUCUCUCAUGAAAGCAAGUAGACGGAGGGUGAACAAAUUACUGUCGAGCAAUUGAUAGAAUUGUGCAGAGUCGUGACGAUAUCUAUGCAAUGAUUAUUUCUAUAGGCAUCAUGUCCAAAACAAGUAGACCGAUACUUUCUGCAUCUACUACUAUUACUCCACACAUCGACUGCUAUCCAGCAUGCAUCUAGUGUAUUAAGUCCAUAAGAACAAAGUAACGCCUUAAGCAAGAUGACAUGAUGUAGAUGGAUAAUCUCAAACCAAUGAUAAAAACCCCAUCUUUUCACCCUUGAUGGCAACUACUUGAUGGGUGCCUUGCUGCCCCUACUGUCACUGGGAAAGGUCACCACAUGGCAGAACCCAAAACCAAGCACUUCUCCCAUUGCAAGAAUCAUAGAUCUAGUUGGCCAAACAAAACCCAAGACUCGGAGAGACUUACAAGGAUAUCAAAUCAUGCAUAUAAGAAAUCAGCAAAGACUCAAAUAUAUAUCAUAGAUAAUCUGAUCACAAGUCCACAAUUCAUCGGAUCUCGACAAACACACCACCAAAGAAGAUUACAUCGGAUAGAUCUCCAUGAAGAUCAUGGAGAACUUUGUAUUGAAGAUCCAAGAGAGAGAAGAAGCCAUCUAGCGACUAACUACGGACCCGUAGGUCUGAAGUGAACUACUCACGAGGCAUUGGAGGGGCGAUGAUGAUGAUGAAGAAGCCCUCCAACUCCAAAGUCCCCUCCGGCAGGGUGCCGGGAAGGAUCUUGAUACGUCUCCAACGUAUCUACUUUUCCAAACUCUUUUGCCCUUGUUUUGGACUAUAAUUCGCAUGAUUUGAAUGGAACUAACCUAGACUGACGCUGUUUUCAGCAGAAUUGCCUUGGUGUUAUUUUUGUGCAGAAAUCAAAGUUCUCCAAACGUCCUGAAAAUUUACGGGGAGCAGUUUUGGAAAAUAUCAAAAAUAUCUGCGCCAAGUUCCACCUCAGGGGGUGGGCCAGUGGGCCACAAGCUCCUGCUCUUCCACCACCCCCUGGUGGCGGUGGGCAGGCUCGUGGGGCCACAGGCACCUGCCGCCCCCAACUCCAGCUCUAUAAGUUGUCUUUCGUCCCAGAAAAAAUAAAAAGAGAAGUUUUCGUCGCGUUUUCGAUACGGAGGCGCCGCCACCAGCUGUUCUUCAUCUGGAGGGCAGAUCUGGAGUCCGUCUUGGGCUCCGGAGAGGAGAAAUCAUCGCCAUCGUCAUCAUCAACCUUCUUCCCUCUCCAAUUCCAUGAAGCUCUUCGUCGUUCGUGAGUAAUCUAUCCGUAGGCUCGCUGGGCGGUGAUGAGUAGGAUGAGAUCUAUCAUGUAAUCGAGUUAGUUUUGAUGGGGAUUGAUCCCUAGUAUCCACUAUGUUCUGAGAUUUGAUGUUGCUACUACUUUGCCAUGCUUAAUGCUUGUCACUAGGGCCCGAGUACCAUGAUUUCAGAUCUGAAAUUAUUAUGUUGCCACCAAUNNNNNNNNNNNNNNNNNNNNNNNNNNNNNNNNNNNNNNNNNNNNNNNNNNNNNNNNNNNNNNNNNNNNNNNNNNNNNNNNNNNNNNNNNNNNNNNNNNNNNNNNNNNNNNNNNNNNNNNNNNNNNNNNNNNNNNNNNNNNNNNNNNNNNNNNNNNNNNNNNNNNNNNNNNNNNNNNNNNNNNNNNNNNNNNNNNNNNNNNNNNNNNNNNNNNNNNNNNNNNNNNNNNNNNNNNNNNNNNNNNNNNNNNNNNNNNNNNNNNNNNNNNNNNNNNNNNNNNNNNNNNNNNNNNNNNNNNNNNNNNNNNNNNNNNNNNNNNNNNNNNNNNNNNNNNNNNNNNNNNNNNNNNAAGUUCUUUUCCCUAAGCAUGUAUGAGGACACACGGAAUGCAUGCCUACAUCACAUUGACGAACGGGAGCUAGCCACAUAUCUCUCCGUGUUAUAGCUGUUGCAUGAUGAAUAUCAUCCAAACAAAUCACCGACCCAUUGCCUACGAGUUUGUCCUACUGCUGUUACUUGUCUUGCUUUGCUGCUGCUGCUACUAUUGUUGCUACUGCUAUUACUUGUCUUGCUCUGCUGCUACUGUUGCUACUACUGUCGCUUGCUACUGUUGCUACUUGCUACUGCUGUCACUACUGCUGUUUCUUGCCACUUCUAUUGCUCGUUACACUACCGUUACUCGUUACUUUGCUGUUACUACUGUGCUUGCAGAUACUAAUCUUUCAGGUGUGGUUGAAUCCGACAAAUUCAGCUGCUAAUACUCGAGAGUAUCCUCUCACCUCCUUUAGGCGAUCUACAAAUUUAGGUCGAAUACUCUACCCUCGAAAACUGAUGCGAACCCACGCGUUGGUGGGCCAUCAACAACAUUCUUCCAGUUUCAUUGCCGGGGAGUGCCAGCAGCAUUCUUCUGGUGCCGUUGCAGGAGAAGGUUCGUUUUCAUAAGCAUUCGUCUAGCUAGCACUAGAGAUUGCAGGAUCAUCACUUUUCUGGCACUAUUGCUGGGGAAGCGCAGCUGACGUCAGCAUUUUUCUGGCGCCGUUGCCAGGGAGGUAUUGCUAUAUUCUCUUAGUUACUUGGGAUUUAUAUCUGCUGAUCACUAUGAAGAAUCUGAAGGAUCCGAAGACAAAAGUCUUGCCCUCAACUACGAGGGGAGGUAAGGAAUUGCCAUCUAGCUCUGCACUUGAUUCACCUUCAGUUAUGAGUAAGUUUGCGACAUCACCUCCUGCUAGAAAUCUUGAUAUGUCGCAUGUGCUUGAUGAUGCUUGUGAUACUAUGCCUGAUGAUGCUAUGCUUGAUACUAUGCCUGAUGAUGCUAUGCUUGAUACUAUGCCUGAUACUGCUAGAGAUGCUAUGCUUGAUACUGCUUUGCCUGAUGAUGCUAGAGAUACUAUUUUUCCUGAUGAUGCUAUGCUUGAUACUGCUAGAGAUACUCCUUUGCCUGAUGUUCCACUAGGAGUGUUCCUUGAUGUCAUAUUGCUAGAGUUACUGCCAAUGCUCGUGAUGCUUCUGAAAUUGCCGAUGCUAUUGAGAUAGAACCUGCUUUUGCUCCUGCUAGAUCUAGCUCUCCUAGAUAUGAAUUGCAUGAUAUACCUGAGGGUUACGUUAUGGAGGGAGAGAUAGUUGAGGAUUUUCUUGCGUGUAAGGAUGCCUAUGACGCUGAGAAAUUAAUUCUCAAGUGGAAGGAAAAAUCUCGGGAAGUUAGGAUGAAAAAUGAUCCGAAGUUUGCCACUUCGCCUAUCUUUGUCACCGAUAAGGAUUAUGAAUUCUCUGUCGACCCUGAGAUAAUCUCUCUAGUCGAAUCUGAUCCUUUUCAUGGUUAUGAGUCUGAGACGGUCAUAGCCCAUCUUGCCAAACUAUCUCAAAUAGCCAACCUUUUCACUAAUGAGGAGAAGAUCCGCCACUACUAUAUCCUUAAGCUGUUUCCUUUCUCUCUAAAGGAUGACGCUAAAGCCUGGUUCACCUAUCUUGCUCCUCGAUGUGUGUGUAGUCCCUAGGAGAUGGUCUAUUACUUCUGUGAGAAAUAUUUCCCUACCCAUAAGAAGCAAGCUGGCUUGUAGGAAAUAUACAACUUUGCUCAACUCCAAGAAGAGAGUCUUCCACAAGCUUGGGGAGACUCGUCCAGCUACAUAAUGCUUUGCCUGAUCACCCUCUCAAGAAGAACCAGAUACUUGAUAUCCUCUAUAACGGACUUACCGAUGCCUCUAGAGACCACCUAGAUAGUUGUGCCGGUUGUGUUUUUAGGGAACGAACUAUAGAAGAAGCUGAGACUCUACUGAAUAACCUCUUGAUCAACAAUAAUGCUUGGACUAUUCCCAAACCACCUCCUAAGCCAACUCCUAAGAAAAGAGGUAUUCUAUUCCUCAGUCCCGAAGAUAUGCAAGAAGCCAAGAAAUCUAUGCAAGAGAAAGGCAUUAGAUCCGAAGAUGUAAAAAAUCUACCACCUAUCGAAGAGAUCCAUGGUCUCGAUAACCCGAUACAGGUAGUAGAAGUGAAUUCUCGGCGAAGGCUUGACGAGAGUGAUAUUCCUUUUGAUAAACCUGCUAGCCUAUGCUUUGAUGAAUUUGACAACUUUGUUGCCAAACAACAGAGUUUCAAUGAUUAUGUUAGCAGACAUUUGGAACAAAGUGCUCGUAUGCUUAGCCAUUUAAGUGCUUGUGUAGACAGAAAUGUCAAUGCUCUGAAGCUUCUGAGUAAACAUGCCUCUAUGAUUACUACUCAGGUACAACAAGUACUUAAAGCUCAGAAUGACCUGCUCAAUGAAUUGAAUGACAACUCUAUCAGAGUCAUUACUAGAGGAGGCAAAAUGACUCAGGAACCUUUGUAUCCUGAAGGUCAUCCUAAGAGAAUUGAUCAAGAUUCUCAAGGAAUCAAUGCUGAUACACCUAGUCAUCCUAAGGAGAAGAAGAAGGAUGAUAGAAACCUGCAUGCCCGUUCACCAAAUACUAUCACACCUGAAGAACCUAAUGAUAUUUCUGCGUAGGAUGCAGAAACACAAUCAGGUGAUGAACAUGAACCUGGUGACCAUGUGGACAGUGAUGUUCAUAAUAAUGCUCAACCUAGCCAUGAUGAGGAUGUGGAGAUUGAACCUACGGUUAAUACUGAUAAUCCACUACCUAAGAGAUAUGACAAGAAUGACUUCACUGUUAGGAAGCAUGGUAAAGAAAGAGAGCCAUGGGUUCAGAGACCUAUGCCCUUUCCUCCUAAGGCAUCCAAGAAAAAGGAUGAUGAGGAUUUUGAGCACUUCGUUGAGAUGAUAAGACCCGUCUUUCUACAGAUGCGGUUAACUGAUAUGCUCAAGAUGUCUCUGUAUGCCAAGUACAUGAAAGAUAUCGUGACUAAUAAACGGAAGAUACCAGAUCUUGAGAUCUCCACCAUGCUUGCCAACUACACUUUUAAAGGUGGAACUCCUAAGAAACUUGGUGAUCCCGGAGUGCCCACUAUACCUUGCUCCAUUAAAGGAAACUACGUAAGAACUGCCUUAUGUGACCUUGGAGCCGGUGUUAGUGUUAUGCGCUUUCUCUUUAUCAUAGACUUGAGUUGGAUAAGUUGACACCCACUAAAAUUUCUCUGCAAAUGGCCGACAAAUCAACUGCUUUCCCUAUCGGCGUUUGCGAGGAUGUGCCUGUUGUGGUUGCUAAUACCACUAUCUUAACAGACUUUGUUAUCUUGGAUAUUCCCGAGGAUGAUGCCAUGGCUAUUAUCCUCGGAAGACCCUUUUUAAACACUGCAGGGGCUGUUAUAGAUUGCAACAAAGGCAAUGUCACUUUCCAUGCCAACGGUAAUGAGCACACAGUGCACUUUCCGAAGAAACGAGAUCCAAUACAUUGCAUCAAUGCUAUCGAAAAGACUUCAUCGAUUCUCAUUGGGAGCUUUGAAUGCCCUAUUCCUCGUGUCAAGAUGAAGUAUGAUUUUCUUGUUGGGGAGAUUCAUAUCCCCAUUGAGGUGACUUAGUGGCUACUCGAAAAUUCUCCGUUCUCUCUUGCGAUUCGAGAAGGUUUUGUCAUAAGGACUUGAUCAACCCCAUUGACGAAUUUCUUCCGAUGACCAUGAAACGGAUGAAUCAGAGAGUCACAUACCUCUGUUUUGAGUUUUCCUUUUCUGUUGCUUAGAAGAAAAAUGAUGGAAUUAGUUUAGCUUUUCCUGUUUUCUGUUUUAGCGUCCCGGAGAAAAAUACCUCGAAAAUAAAAGUUCUCCGAUGGUCCUGAAAGUUUAGUAUGAUUUUUUCUAGAAUUUUUGAAAAUUUCUGGGCCUGAGAGCUGGCCUGGGGGCCUGACCAGUGGGCCACAAGCCCCCCCACCGCCACCUACCCCCUGGUGGCGGGGUGCAAGCUUGUGGGGCCCACAGGCAUCCCCUCCACUCAUUCCAGCUCCCAGCCUCUUCUUCCACCUCCAGAAAAAAUUGUUUCGCAGCUCAAACCCGUGUUCUUGCCCAUUUGGCUGUGAUUUUCGAUCUCCUUGCUCAAAGCACCAUUCUCCGAACUGUAUUGGGGAAAUUACUCCUUGGUAAGUGACUCCUCCAUUGGUCCAAUUAGUUUUUUCUCUAGUGCUUUAUCCUUCGCGAAUUCUUGCUACCUUGGUGACCCUGUUCUUGAGCUAUAAAUGUUGUUUUUUGCUGGUUCCAAGUAGUUUUAGCACGUGAUAAGGUCUCUAUGCACUAGUAGGAGUAGUUGCUACAAGUUGGGUUAAUCCUUAUUCACUUUUCUUUCGAAGUCUCUAAAAAUUCCAGAAUUUUUCAGAGCUAGAAAAAGGAAGAGAUGAGGAGGUUUUUGAGAGGCUCUUCAAGCCGUAACCACAAGGAGGAUGAGAAGAACCACCCCAAGUACGUAGUCCCUCGAGUCAUAGAAGUUCGAGCGUGUGAGUGGCCAAGUGAUGAAUUUUUGCGCACAGCCGGACUUUAUGAAGACUUUUACUACUUGGUGGAGAACGCAGGUCUUACUGCGUUUGUUGAAGAUAAGUGCCCCCAAUAUCUCCUCCUCACCAAUAUUUUCGUUCAAAGCUUCAACUUUUAUCCGAGGAAGAAUCCUCCCAUGGUAGAGUUCAUGAUAUACGAUGUCCCCCAGUGCAUGACGCUACAGGAUUUUUGCAAUGUAUGCAAAUUACCUUAUGUUGGUGAUAUCCGUGACCCUCGUCCAUGGGACUUGGAUGAUUUCAUUGGUUCUAUUGCUGUUGGAGAGGAGAGAGGAGUGUCUCGCGCUAGAAUUGCUAGCAUACAUUUUCCUGUGCUUCGGUACUUCUCACUAUUUGUGGGAAAAUGUUUGAUUGGGAAAAUGUUUGAUUGGCCGUGGGGAGGCUGGAUCACUUAGUUCUCCAGACCUUGCGGUUUUGCACGAAGGCCUUUAUAACGAUAAGACUUAUAGCUUGGGCGCUAUAGUAGCUCAACGGUUGAACUUGAACCGUUCUAAAGGUGUUGUCUAUGGAGGUAUCUAUGCUACCCAUCUUGCCAGACACUUUGAGAUACCCAUUAGACUGGGAGAGGAAGGAGAGAUGCUUCUCCCUAAGAGAUAUCUGGAUUAUGACAACAUGGUUCGCCAUGAUUUUCUGGAUAGAGAUGCUAGUAGACGGAUGAUUUAUAACCUGGUGUUUAGUCAGGGUACUCGAGAGACUAUUACUUUGCCUGCUCCUUGUUUGUUCGAUCUUCAUGCAGGCAGGUACACUAUUAUGUCCGCGGACAUCUACGCAUAUUGGGGCUUGGCCCAACCACAGGCGCCCGCGCCCGAGCCGCCAGUCGAGUACCAGACGCAAGUUUAUCAGUGGGAGCCAGAGGAGCUCACACAGCAGUGGCAUCCACAGUCUGCUCCAGAGUAUCCCGGAGAUGGUUAUUUCCCACCAUGGGAGUAGACCAAGCUAGGCCAAAACCCUAAGCUUGGGGGAGUACGUGUUCUCACCGACUUUACAUUCAUGCUUAUGCUUUCACUUUGUUAGCCGGUGUUUACACUUUGCCACUGUAUUAUCCAUGCUAGUUUAUUUUUGUUUUCUUGUUUUCUUGUUUUAUGUCCUUUUGAGAAAACCCAAAAAGAUUUUUCUUUCUUCUUUUGCUUGUUGGGAGCUUUCCCGUGUAAAUAGUUUUCUUUUUCUUUGUGUCAAGGUAGAAGAUAUUGGUUACAAUGCUCAGUGGUUCUUACAUGCUUACCUGUUUAGCUUCCAAAGAGCUAUAUUACUUUGUCUUCUACUUUGUGUUUGCCUGCAGAUUCAGCUUAGUCCAAUGCGCUUAUUAUCGUUUUCAUCGUUCAAUCGUGCAAAUGAAAGGCAACAAUGAUGGUAUAUGAUGAAGUGACUGAGACUGAAAAGCUGGUAUGAACUCUAUCUAUUUUGUUUUUGUAAAUAUGACUAGCUUGUCGACCCAAAUUUAGCUUUGUUGUGAGAGAACCAUGUUUGGAAUGACAACUUAGAGAUCAUAGUUUCUGAUGCCAUGCUUAUUUAGCUGAGAGCUUAUAAUGGUUUGUCUUGAUUGCCAACAUAGAUUUUGAGAUGACUGUGAUGUAGUAUGAUAGGAUGGUAUUCUCCUUUGAAUGUUUCAAGUGGCUUGACUUGGCGCAUGUUCAUGCAUGUAGUUGAAACAAAAUCAACAUAGCCUCUAUGAUGUUCGUGUUCAUGGUGAUUUAUAUCCUGUUCAUGCUUGCAUUUAAUGUUAGUCAAACUCAUUGCAUCUUGAUGAGUGUUGUCGCUCUCUAGUUGGUCGCUUCCUAGUCUUUUGCUAGCCUUCACUUGUACUAAGCGGGAAUGCUGCUUGUGCAUCCACUUUUAUGAACCCAUUUUUUUCCAUGAGAGUCCACCAUACCUACCUAUUUGCGGUAUCUACCUGCCGUUCCAAGUAAAUUUGCAUGUGCCAUUCUCUAAACCUUGCAAGAAAUAAAUCUGUUUUGCAUGGCCGAACCACUCAUGUGGUGACAGAGGGCUAUUGGUAUCUUCCAUGCUAGGAGUGUUAUCCUCGACAUGUGUUUAUUCACAGUCCUUCACGAGAAAGGGGCCGGUAUAUGGAUGCCCAGUUCCAUGCUUAAAUUGAAAACAUAACUGUAAAACAAGACUCCCCCCAGAUUGAUGUUAGUAUGGACGGUACCCGAGGAUUCGGCUAGCCGUGGAGUGUGAUUGAUUGGUGGUGGGGGGGGGUUAAAACUUUACUUUUCUAUUUGGGAACCGCCUAUAGCAUGAGUAGCAUGGAAGAUAUUGAGAACUCUUGGUCAUUGCAUUGACAAUGAAAGCAUGCCACCCAAAAUUAUUAUCUUUGUUUUCAAAGCUUGAGCUCUGGCACCUCUGCAAAUCAAUGCUUCCCUCUGUGAUGGGCCUAUCUAUUUAUUUUCCUGUUGAGUCAUCCUCCUCUUAUAUAAGCACCAAUUAGAGAGCACCUCUAUCAUUUUUAUGCUUUGCUUUUGAUUGAUAUUGAGUAUGACUAUGACUGGAUCUUCGUUGCUAUGAAUUACAAUGUUUAGUCAGCCCUUGAUCUUUGAAAGUGCUCUGCAUUUAUGUUUUGUGGUCUCAGAAAGAGCUAGCGAGAUACCACCUAUUCAUAUUGCUUCAUGCUUGUUUUGAUUGAAGUGUUGGUAUUUGAAACUCAUUAUUAUUUGCUCGUUAGCUGAUUAUGCCAUUGAUAUUAGUUUACUGUGAGACCAUUGUGUCAUUUGAUUAUGUGGUUAACUUGUGAUCUUGCUGAAAUUCUGGUUAUGAGUUAGACAUAGUUGCAACAACAAGAUCAAACAGAGUUUGUCAAAGUUUUUCUUUCUCUCUCAGUUUGUGAACUGAGUUGCUUGAGGACAAGCAAGGUUUUAAGCUUGGGGGAGUUGAUACGUCUCCAACGUAUCUACUUUUCCAAACUCUUUUGCCCUUGUUUUGGACUAUAAUUUGCAUGAUUUGAACGGAACUAACCUGGACUGACGUUGUUUUCAGCAGAAUUGCUUGGUGUUAUUUUUGUGCAAAAAUCAAAGUUCUCCAAACGUCCUCAAAAUUUACGGGGAGCGGUUUGGAAAAUAUCAAAAAUAUCUGCGCCAAGUUCCACCUCAGGGGGUGGGCCAGUGGGCCACAAGCCCCUGCUCCGCCACCACCCCCUGGUGGCGGUGGGCAGGCUUGUGGGGCCCACAAGCACCUGCCGCCCCUAACUCCAGCUCUAUAAGUUGUCUUUCGUCACAGAAAAAAUAAAAAGAGAAGUUUUUGUCGCGUUUUCGAUACGGAGGCGCCGCCACCACCUGUUCUUCAUCUGGAGGGCAGAUCUGGAGUCCGUCUUGGGCUCCGGAGAGGAGAAAUCGUCGCCAUCGUCAUCAUCAACCUUCUUCCCUCUCCAAUUCCAUGAAGCUCUUCGUCGUUCGUGAGUAAUCUAUUCGUAGGCUCGCUGGGCGGUGAUGAGUAGGAUGAGAUCUAUCAUGUAAUUGAGUUAGUUUUGAUGGGGAUUGAUCCCUAGUAUCCACUAUGUUUUGAGAUUUGAUGUUGCUACUACUUUGCCAUGCUUAAUGCUUGUCACUAGGGCCCGAGUGCCAUGAUUUCAGAUCUGAAGUUAUUAUGUUGCCACCAAUNNNNNNNNNNNNNNNNNNNNNNNNNNNNNNNNNNNNNNNNNNNNNNNNNNNNNNNNNNNNNNNNNNNNNNNNNNNNNNNNNNNNNNNNNNNNNNNNNNNNNNNNNNNNNNNNNNNNNNNNNNNNNNNNNNNNNNNNNNNNNNNNNNNNNNNNNNNNNNNNNNNNNNNNNNNNNNNNNNNNNNNNNNNNNNNNNNNNNNNNNNNNNNNNNNNNNNNNNNNNNNNNNNNNNNNNNNNNNNNNNNNNNNNNNNNNNNNNNNNNNNNNNNNNNNNNNNNNNNNNNNNNNNNNNNNNNNNNNNNNNNNNNNNNNNNNNNNNNNNNNNNNNNNNNNNNNNNNNNNNNNNNNNNNNNNNNNNNNNAAGUUCUUUUCCCUAAGCACGUAUGACGACACACGGAAUGCAUGCCUACAUCACAUUGACGAACGGGAGCUAGCCACAUAUCUCUCUGUGUUAUAGCUGUUGCAUGAUGAAUAUCAUCCAAACAAAUCACCGACCCAUUGCCUACGAGUUUGUCCUACUGAUGUUACUUGUCUUGCUCUGCUGCAACUGCUACUAUUGUUGCUACUGUUGUUACUUGUCUUGCUCUGCUGCUACUGUUGCUACUACUGUCGCUUGGUAGUGUUGCUACUUGCUACUUCUGUUCCUUGCCACUGCUAUUGCUCGUUACACUGCCGUUACUCGUUACUUUGUUGUUACUGUUGUGCUUGCAGAUACUAAUCUUUCAGGUGUGGUUGAAUCCGACAAAUUCAGUUGCUAAUACUCGAGAGUAUCCUCUCACCUCCUUUAGGCGAUCUACAAAUUUGGGUCGAAUACUCUACCCUCGAGAACUGCUACGAACCCACGCGCUGGUGGGCCAUCAACAACAUUCUUCGAGUUUCAUUGCCGGGGAGUGCUAGCAGCAUUCUUCUGGUGCCGUUGCAGGAGAAGGUUCGUUGUCAAAAGCAUUCAUCUAGCUAACACUAGAGAUUGCAGGAUCAACACUUUUCUGGCACUAUUGCUGGGGAAGCACAGCUAACGUCAGGUCUCCAGAUGAGAUCUCACGGAAACGGAAGCUUGCGGCGGCGGAAAAGUAUUUUCGAUGCUCCCCUGAUUUUUUGCGGAAUAUUUGGGAAUUUAUAGGUCAAAGAUCUAGGACAGGGGGCGGCCAGGGAGGCCACAAGCCUGCCCACCGUCGCCUCCCCCUGGUGGCGGAGUGGGGGCUUGUGGGCUCCCUGGAGCUCACCUGGCUUGGCCCGAAAGCCCCCUGGACUUCUUCCGUUCGGGAAAAAAUCAUUUCGGGGUUUUUCUUCUAUUUGGACUCCGUUCCAAAAUCAGAUCCGAAAAGAGUCAAAAACACGGAAAAAACAGGAACUGGCACUUGGCACUGAAUUAAUAAGUUACUUCCAAAAAUAUAUAAAAAGGUACAUAAAACAUACAAAGAAGGCAAGAUAACAGCGUGAAACCAUCAAAAAUUAUAGAUACGUUUGAGACGUAUCAGUUAACACCUACCAACCCUUCCCCUAGGAGUAUGCAUUUAGCACUUUGUUUCGAUUACUAAUAAAAACUUUUGCAAUAAGUAUGUGAGUUCUUCAUGACUAAUGUGAGUCCAAGGUAUAGAUGCACUUUCACCUUCCACCAUUACUAGCCUCUCUAGUGUCACGCAACUUUCGCUGAUACUCAAAACCACCAUAGAUCUUCCUCAAAACAUCCACCAUACCUACCUAUCAUGGCCUUUUCAUAGCCAUUCCGAGAUAUAUUGCCAUGCAACUCCCACCGUUCCGUCUCAUGACUUGUGCCAUCACUUACAUAUUGCCAUUGCAUGAUCGUAAGAUAGCUAGAGAGAUGUUUCAACAUCAUACGCCAAGCUAGAUCGUUGCACAUCCCGGUACACUACCGGAGGCAUUUCCUAUAGAGUCAUCAUCGUUCUAAGCAUUGAGCUGUGAGUAAAUGAAAGUGUGAUGAUCAUCAUUAUUAGAGCAUUCUCCCAUGUGAGGAAAUAAAAUAAAAAGAGGCCAAAGUUGCCCACACAAAAAAAUAUAUGGAAAGAGGCUAAAGAGCCCAAACAGAGAAAAAGAAAAAGAGAGAAGGGAAAAUGCUACUAUCUUUUUCCACACUUGUACUUCAUAAUAGCACCAUGUUCUUCAUGGUUGAGAGUCUCUUGUUUUGUAACCACCAUAUACUAGUGGGAAUCUUCAUUAUAUAACUUGGCUUGUAUAUUCCAAUGAUGGGUUUCCUCAAAAUUGCCCUAGGUUUUCGUGAGCAAGCAAGUUGGAUGCACACCCACUAGUUCUCCUUUUGAGCUUUCACACACUUAUAACUCUAAGUGCAUCCAUUGCAUGGUAAUCCCUACUCUUUCACAUUGAUAUCUAUUGAUGGGCAUCUCCAUAGCCCUUUGAUACGCCGAGUCAAUGUGACCAUCUCCUCCUUUUUGCCUCACAACCUUCACCACACUCUAUUCCACCUAUAAGUGCUAUAUCCAUGGCUCACGCUCAUAUAUUGCAUGAGAGUUGAAAAAGGUUUGAGAAAGUAAGAGUGCGAAAACAAUUACUUGGCCAAUACCGGGGUUGUGCAUGAUCUAAAUUCGUUGUGUGGGGAUGGUGGAGCAUAGCCAGACUAUAUGAUUUUAUAGGGAUGACUUUCUUUGGCCUUGUUAUUUUGAAGGUUCAUGAUUACCUUGCUAGUUUGCUCGAAGUAUUAUUGUUUUCAUGUCAAUAGCAAACAAUUGUUUUGAAUCUUACGGAUCUGAACAUUCAUGUCACAUGAAAGAAGUUACAAAGGACAAAUAUGCUAGGUAGCAUUCCACAUCAAAAAUUCAUUAUUUAUCACUUCCCUACUCGAGGACGAGCAGGAGUUAACCUUGGGGAUGCUUCAUACGUCUCCAACGUAUCUAUAAUUUUUGUUGGUUCCAUGCUAUUAUCUUGUCAAACUUUGGAUGUUUUGUAUGCCUUUUAUAUCUUUUGGGACUAACUUAUUAACUCAGUGCCAAGUGCCAGUUCCUGUUUUUUCCGUGUUUUUGACCCUUUUCAGAGGAGAAUAUUAAACGGAGUCCAAACGGAAUAAAACCUCUGAAAAGAUUUUUUCCGGAACAGAAGAUACACAGGGAGCUUGAGAACCAAGGCAGAGGGCACGAGGGGAGGCCACAAGCCCCCUAGCCGCGGCCUGGGGGGCGCGCCUAGUAGGAUUGUGGGCCCCCUGUGGCUCCUCUGCCCUACUUCUUCCGCCUAUAAAUCCCCAAAAAAUCUGAAACCACGGGAGGGAGCCACAAAAAUACUUUUCCACCGCCGCAAGCUUCUGUCUCCGCAAGAUCCCAUCUGGGGCACGUUCUGGUGCCCUGCCGAAGGGGCGAUUCAGACACGGAGGGCUUCUUCAUCAACACCAUUGCCUCUCCAAUGAUGCGUGAGUAGUUCACCAUAGACCUUCGGGUCCAUAGCUAGUAGCUAGAUGGUUUCUUCUCUCUCUUAGAUCUUCAAUACAAAGUUCUCCAUGAUCUUCAUGGAGAUCUAUCCCAUGUAAUCUUCUUUUGCGGUGUGUUUGUCGAGAUCCGAUGAAUUGUGGAUUUAUUAUCAGAUUAUCUAUGAAUCUUAUUUGAGUUUCUUCUGAUCUCUUAUAUGCAUGAUUUCAUAUCCUUGUAAUUCUCUUCGAGUUGUGGGUUUUGUUUGGCCAACUUGAUCUAUGAUUCUUGCAAUGGGAGAAGUGCUUGGUUUUGGGUUCAUACCGUGCGGUGACCUCACCCAGUGACAGAAAGGGUAGCGAGGCACGCAUCGUGUUGUUGCCAUCAAGGGUAAAAAGAUGGGUUUUAUAUCUAUUGCAUGAAUUUAUCCCUCUACAUCAUGUCAUCUUGCUUAAGGCGUUACUCUGUUUGUCAUGAACUCAAUACACUAGAUGCAUGCUGGAUAGCGGUCGAUGUGUGGAGUAAUAGUAGUAGAUGCAGAAAGUAUCGGUCUACUUGUCUCGGACGUGAUGCCUAUAUGUAUGAUCAUUGCCUUAGAUAUAGUCAUGACUUUGCUCGGUUCUAUCAAUUGCUCGACAGUAAUUCGUUCACCCACCGUAAUAUUGGCUAUCAUGAGAAAAGCCUCUAGUGAACACUAUGACCCCCGGGUCUACUUCACAUCAUAUUUUCAGCCUUACACUUUUACUUUGUUGCACUUUUCGCCUUCAGAUCUCACCUUACAAUCAAUCGUGAAGGGAUUGACAACCCCUUUGUAGCGUUGGGUGCAAGUUUGCUGUUUUUGCGCAGGUACGGUGGAGACUUGGCUUGAUACUCCUACUGGAUUGAUACCUUGGCUUUCAAACUGAGGUAAAUACUUACUUCUACUGUGCUGCAUCACCCUUUCCUCUUCAAGGUAAAAACCAACGCAAGCUCAAGAGGUAGCAGCGCGCCAGUGUUGGUGAUGAUCUAUUCCUGCAGGGCUCCACCCGAGCUCCAGAGAAAUCCAAUCUAGAGGUGGAACUACGAGGUAUAGGUUUGAGUUGCACGUGGCAAAGUUGUGUCUCAAAAAUCCCUAAACCUCUAGUAUAUAUAGGAGGAGGGAGGGGGCAGCCUUGGCACCACAAGGGAGGCUCCCUUGUGUCGGCCGAACUAGAGGAGGGAGGAGUCCUCCUCCAACUCCACUUGGAUUAGGACUCCUUCCUUAAUUUCCCAGCUCUAUUGAAUUUUGAACUUUUUCCUCAUGGGCUUUCCUUGGAUGACUUUCUCAGCCCAUUAUGCCUUAUUUCACAUCCAAUAAACCCACAUGGACCCUUGAGGCGUGGUGGCGCACCCAGUGGGCCCCAGGAAAUCAUUCGUCACUCCCGGUACACUGCCGACAAUGCCCGAAAACCUUCCGGAAUCCAAAUACCAACUUCCUAUAUAUCUAUCUUUGUUUCUGGACCAUUAUGGAAACCCUUGUGACGUCCGUGAUCUCAUCCAGGACUCCGAACAACCUUCGGUCACCAACACAUACAACUCAACUAUACUAAAAUGUCACCGAACCUUAAGUGUGCAGACCCUGCGGGUUCGAGAACUAUGCAGACAUGACCUGAGACACUCUCCGGUCAAUAACCAAAAGCGGGACCUGGAUGUACAUAUUGACUCCCACAUAUUCUAAGAAGAUCUCUAUCGGUUGAACCUCUAUGUCAAGGAUUCCUAUAAUCCCAUAUACUAUUCCCUUUGUCCUUCGGUAUGUUACUUGCCCGAGAUUCGAUCGUUGGUAUCUCUAUACCUAGUUCAAUCUCGUUACCGACAAGUCUCUUUACUCGUUUCGUAAUACAAGAUCCUGUAACAAACUCUUUAGUCACAUUGCUUGCAAGGCUUAUUGUGAUGUUGUCUUACCGAGUGGGCCCCGAGAUACAUCUCCGUCACACGGAGUGACAAAUCCCACUCUUCAUCCAUGCCAACCCAAGAGACACCUUUGGAGAUACCUGUAGAGCAUCUUUAUAGUCACCCAGUUACAUGGCGAUGUUUGAUAACCCACAAGGUAUUCCUCCGGUGUCCGGGAGUUGCAUGAUCUCAUGGUCAUAGGAACAGAUACAUUGACACGUAGAAAACAGUAACAAUAAACUGACACGAUCAUAUGCUACGCUUAUAGUUUGGGUCUUUUGCAUCACAUAAUUGUCCCAAUGAUGUGGUCCCGUUAUCAAGUGACAACACUUGCCUAUGGCCAGGAAACCUUGACCAUCUUUGAUCAACGAACUAGUCAACUAGAGGCUCACCAGGGACAAUGUGUUGUCUAUGUAUCCACACAUGUAUUUGAGUUUCCAAUCAAUACAAUUCUAGCAUGAAUAAUAAAAGAUUAUUAUGAACAAGGAAAUAUAAUAAUAACUAAUUUAUUAUUGCCUCUAGGGCAUAUUUCCAACAGUCUCCCACUUGCACUAGAGUCAAUAAUCUAGUUCACAUCACUAUGUGAUUGCAAUGAAUCUAACACCCAUAUAGUUCUGGAGUUCGAUCAUGUCUUGCUUGUGAGAGAGGUUUUCGUCAACGGUUCUAAAACUUUCAGAUCCGUGUGUGCUUUUACAAAUCUUUAUGUCAUCUUAUAGAUGCUUCUACUACGUAUAUUUGGAAAUAUUCCAAAUAUCUACUCUACUAUACGAAUCCGUUUUAGUACUCAGAGUUAUUCAGAUUAGUGUCAAAGCUUGCAUCGACGUAACCCUUUACGACGAACAAUUUAACCACCUCCAUAAUCGAGAAAAAUUCCUUAGUCUAUUAGUUACUAAGGAUAACUUUGACCGCUAUUUAGUGAUUCAAUCAUGGAUCACUCUUUGUACCCCCUGACAGACUCAUGACAAGGCACACAUCAGGUGCGGUACAUAACAUGGCAUACUUUAAAGUCUACGGCUAAGGCAUAGGGGACGACCUUCGUCCUUUCUCUUUCUUCUGCCAUGGUCGGGCUUUGAGUCUUACUCAAAUUCACACCUUACAACAUAGCCAAUAACUCCUUCCUUGCUGAUCUAUUUUGAACUCCUUCAAAAACCUGUCAAGGCAUGCAUUUCAUUGAAAGUUCUAUUUAGCAUUUUGAUCUAUCUUUAUAGAUCUUGAUGUUCAAUGUUCAAGUAGCUCUAUCCAGGUCUUCCUUUGAAAAACUCCUUUCAAGCAACCUUUUAUGCUUUACAGAAAUUCUACAUUACUUCCGAUCAACAAUAUGUCAACUACAUAUACUUAUCAGAAAUUCUAUAGUGCUCCCACUCACUUCUUUGGAAAUACAAGUUUCUCAUAAACCUUGUACAAACCCAAAAGCUUUGAUCAUCUCAUCAAAGCGUAUAUUCCAACUCCGAGAUGCUUGCACCAGUCCAUAGAAGGAUCGCUGGAGUUUGCAUACUUGUUAGCAUCCUUAGGAUCGACAAAACCUUGUGGUUGUAUCACAUACAACUUUUCCUCAAGGAAACCGUUGAGGAAACCAUGUUUGACAUCCUAUGUGCAAUAUUUCAUAAAUAAUGCAGCAACUGCUAACACAAUUUCAACAGACUUUUAGCAUCACUACGAUUGAGAAAGUCUCAUCAAAGUCAAUUUUUUGAACUUGUCGGAAACAUCUUUGCGACAAGUCGACCUUUUCUUAAUGGUGACUUUUCACCAUCAUCGUCCGUCUUUAUUUUAAAGAUCCAUCUUUACUUAAUAGUCUUACGACCAUCAAGUAGUUCUUCCAAAGUCUACACUUUGUUUUCACACAUGGAUCCUCUCUCGGAUUUCAUGGCCUCCAGCCAGUUGCCGGAAUCCGGGCCCACCAUCGCUUCUCCACAGCUCGUAGGUUCAUUGGUAUUCAACAACAUGACCUCCAAGACAGGGUUACCGUACCACUUGUAGUAGCACGCGACCUUGUCGACCUACGAGGUUUGUAGUAACUUGAUCCUAAAGCUUAAUGAUUACCAUCAUCAGCUUCCACUUCAAUUGGUGUAGGCGCCACAGGAACAACUUCCUGCACCGUGCUACACACUGGUUGAAGUGACGGUUCAAUAACCUCAUCAAGUACCACCACCCUCCCACUCAAUUAUUUCGAGAGAAACCUUCCCUCGAGAAAGGACCCGUUUCUAGAAACAAACAAUUUGCUUCCGAAUCUGAGAUAGGAGAUGUACCCAACUGUUUUGGAUAUCCUAUGAAGAUGCAUUUAUCCGCUUUGGGUUUGAGCUUAUCUGACUGAAACUUUGUCAGAUAAGCGUUGUAGCCCCAAACUUUCAAGAAACGACAGCUCAGGUUUCUCCAAACCAUAUUUCAUAUUGUGUCAUCUAAACGGAAAUACGCGGUGCCCUAUUUAAAGUGAAUGCGGUUGUCUCUAAUGCAUAACCCAUAAACGAUAGUGGUAAUUCGAUAAGAGAUAUCAUAGUAUGCACCAUAUCAAAUAGAGCGCGGCUAUGACAUUCGGACGCACCAUCACACUAUGGUGUUCUAGGUGGCAUGAAUUGCGAAACAAUUUCCAGAUUGUCUUAACUGUGUACCAAAACUCGCAACUCAGAUAUUCAUCUCUAUGAUCAUAUCAUAGAAAGUUUAUCCUCUUGUCACGACGGUCUUCACUCUGAAAUAGAUUUGACUCAAUAUUUCAGACUUGUGAUUCAUCAAGUAAAUACUCAUGUAUCUACUCAAGUCGUCAGUGAAGUAAGAACAUAACGAUAUCCACUGCGUGCCUCAUCACUCAUUGGACUGCACACAUCAAAAAUGUAUUACUUCCAACAAGUUACUUUCUUGUUCCAUGUGGUAUGAUUUGCAUGUCUCAAGUGAUUCAAAAUCAAGUGAGUCCAAACGAUCCAUCUGCAUGGAGGUUCUUCACGCGUUUAUACCAACAGGUAUUGUUUGCAUGUCUCAAACGUUUCAAAAAUGAGUGAGUACAAAGAUCCAUCAGCAUGGAGCUUCUUCAUGCAUUUUACACCAACAUGACUCAACUGGCAAUGCCACAAGUAAGUGGUACUAUAAUUAUUACUUUGUAUCUUUUGGCAUCAAUAUUAUGAACAUGUGUAACACUAUGAUCGAGAUUAAAUAAACCAUUGAAGGUAAUUAUUCAAGCAAAUAGAAUAACCUUUAUUCUCUUUAAAUGAAUAAUCGUAUUGCAAUAAACACGAUCCAAUCAUGUUCAUGCUCAACACAAAUAACAAAUAAAAAUUAUUUAGGUUUAAGACCAAUCCCGAUAGUAGAGGAAGCGUGCGAUCUUUGAUCACAUCAACCUUGGAAACACUUCCAACACGUAUUGUCACCUCGCCUUUAGCUAGUCUCCGCUUAUUCCGUAGCUUUUAUUUCGAGUUACUAAUCACUUAGCAACCAAACCGGUAUCUAAUAGCCUCGUGCUACUAGGAGUACUAGUAAAGUACACAUUAAUAUCAUGUAUAUCAAAUAUAGUUCUGUCGACUUUGCCAGCCUUCUCAUCUACCAAGUAUCUAGGGUAGCUCCGCCUCAUAGACCGUUCCCCUCAUAAUAGAAGCACUUAGUCUCGGGUUUGGGUUUAAUCUUGGGUUUCUUCAUUAGAGCAGCAACUGGUUUUCCGUUUCAUGAAGUAUCCCUUCUAGCCCUUCUUGAAACUAGUGGUUUUACUAACCAUCAACAAUUGAUGCUCCUUCUUGAUUUCUACUUUCGUAGUGUUAAAACAUUGCGAAUCGCUCAAGGAUCAUCAUAUCUAUCAUUGAUAUGUUAUAGUUCAUCACGAAGCUCUAGCAGCUUGGUGGCAUUGACUUUGGAGAACCAUCACUAUCUCAUCUGGAAGAUUAACUCCUACCUGAUUCAAUCGAUUGUUGUAUUCAGACAAUCUGAGCACAUGCUCAACGAUUGAGCUUUUCUCCUUUACUUUGUUGACAAAGAAUCUCGUCGGAGGUCUCAUACCUCUCAACAAGGGCAUGAGCAUGAAAUCUCAAUUUCAUCUCCUAGAACAUCUCUUAUGUUCCGUGAUGUUUCAAAACGUCUUCGGCGCCUUGCUUCUAAGCCAUUAAGUAUUACGCACUGAACUAUCACAUAGUCAUCAAAAACGUGUAUGUCAGAUGUUCGCAACAUCCACAGACGACACUCGAGGUGCCUCACACCGAGUGGUGCAUUAAGGACAUAAUCCUUCUGCGCAACAAUGAGGACAAUCCUCAGUUUUACGGACUCAGUCCGCAAAGUUGCUACUAUCAUCUUUCAACUAAAUUUUCUCUAGGAACAUAUAAAAAACAGUAGAGCUAUAUGCUACAGUAACAAAAGUCCUUCCUUGGCGCUAAGAAUUCUUCUUGCUACUUCUCUUGUUUGUGUCGGUUUUUCCCUUGAAGAGGAAAGGGUGAUGCAGCACAGGAGUAGUAAGUAUUUCCCUCAGUUUGAGAACCAAGGUAUCGAUCCAAAAGGAGGGUCUCGUCAAGUCCAGAGUACGUGCGCAAACACAAACAAGCUUGCACCCAACGCUUCAAAGGGGUUGUCAAUCCCUUCAAGAUUGUUUGCAAAGUGAGAUCUGAAGGCGGAAAGUGCAACGAAGUAAAAAGUGUAAUGCUGAAAAUAUGGUGUGGAGUAGACCCGGGGGCCAUAGUGUUAACUAGAGGCUUCUCUCAAAACAGCAAGUAUUACGGUGGGUGAACAAAUUACUGUCGAGCAAUCGAUAGAACCGCGCAAAGUCAUGACAAUAUCUAAGGCAAUGAUCAUACAUAUAGGCAUCACGUCCGAGACAAGUAGACCGAUACUUUCUGCAUCUACUACUAUUACUACACACAUCGACCGCUAUCCAGCAUGCAUCUAGUGUAUUGAGUUCAUGACAAACAGAGUAACACCUUAAGCAAGAUGACAUGAUGUAGAGGGAUAAUCUCAAACCAAUGAUGAAAACCCCAUCUUUUUAGCCUUGAUGGCAACAACACGAUGUGUGCCUCGCUACCCCUUCUGUCACCGGGUGAGGUCACCGCACGGUAUGAACCCAAAACCAAGCACUUCUCCCAUUGCAAGAAUCAUAGAUCUAGUUGGCCAAAUAAAACCCACAACUCGAAGAGAAUUACAAGGAUAUGAAAUCAUGCAUAAGAGAGAUCAGAAGAAACUCAAAUAAGAUUCAUAGAUAAUCUGAUCAUAAAUCCACAAUUCAUCGGAUCUCGACAAACACACCGCAAAAGAAGAUUACAUCGGAUAGAUCUCCAUGAAGAUCAUGGAGAAAUUUGUGUUGAAGAUCCAAGAGAGAGAAGAAGCCAUCUAGUUACUAGCUAUGACCCGUAGGUCUAUGGUGAACUACUCACGCAUCAUCGGAGAGGUCAUGGUGUUGAUGAAGAAGCCCUCCGUAUCCGAAUCCCCCCUCCGACAGGGCACCAGAAUGUGCCCCGGAUGGGAUCUUGCGGGGACAGAAGCUUGCGGCGGCGAAAAAGUACUUUCGAUGAUCUCCUGAUUUUUUUGGGAUUUUUAUUGAAUAUAUAGGCGCAACCCCUAGGGCAGAGGGCGCCCAGGGGGCCCACAAGCCUGUGGGCCGCGGACUCCCCACCUGGCCAUGGGGUGGGGGCUUGUGGGGCCCCUAAGGGCCCCCUCCCUUGGCUCUCAAGCUUCCCGAUCUUCUUGCGUUACGGAAAAAUUCUUUUCGGGGAUUUUCUUCCGUUUGGACUGUGUUUCAAAAUCUCCUCUAAAAGGGGUCAACAACAUGGAAAAAACAUGAACUGACACUUGGCACUGAGUUAAUAAGUUAGUCCCAAAAAAAAGGCAUGCAAAACAUCCAAAGUUUGACAAGAUAAUAGCAUGAAAUCAUCAAAAAUUAUAGAUACGUUGGAGACGUAUCACUAUAGCGCAAGCUACAUCAUAACUCGCAAUGACCUUUUGACCAUUAUCAUGAGAAUUAGUUCAAUUAAUCAUAUUACUUAAGAACUCCCACUCAAAAAAUACAUCCCUCUAAUCAUUUGAGUGGUGCAUGAUCUAAAUCCACUAACUCAAGUCUGAUCAUCAUGUGAGUUGAGUAUAGUUUCAGUGGUAAGCAUCUCUAUGCUAAUCAUAUCAACUAUACGAUUCAUGCUCGGCCUUUCGGUCUCUUGCGUUCCGAGGCCAUGUCUACACAUGCUAGGCUCGUCAAGUUUAACCCGAGUGUUCCGUGUGUGCAACUGUUUUGCACCCGUUGUAUGUGAACGUUGAGUCUAUCACACCCUGUAGCGACCCGACUCAAAACGAGUCAAGCCUCUGUGUUUCUGUGCCAUCCCUGGAUCAGUAUGCUGGCACACACAAUACAUCAAUGUAUAUAUCAAAGUGCAAUCAUAUGUAAAUAGCGUAAAACUGAUAUAUACCUUAAAUAUCUCAGCGGAAGCAGUCAAGGGAGUGGAGUCCCAAUAAACACCAACGGCAAGUUGAGUGUAGACCGUAACCCUGAAUCGUACUCUUACUCGUCGAAGAAAAAUAUCUGCAACAUAAGACGUUGCAGCCGUGUAGGUCAGCAUAUUGAAUAUGCUGGCAAGUCACAUAAGAGAGGGGAUAAAAGUAAUCAUUUAUACUAUAUGCAUAUAUGGCAGGUGGGGCUAUAAGUUUUUAGCGAAAAGCAAGUUUUCUCCUACAUCAAGAGGGGGCUAAAAGCAAAAUGUUACUACAAAAGUUGGUUGUUAACGAGAUGGUUCCGCCAACCAGUUCUCGUACCCGAGUUGUCAAUAAUUACCCUCAUCAAAUAUAUAUAUAAUGGUGUUGAGAAAUCCAGAUAACUUCAGUUCCUUUGGCUCAAGUUGUCCAUGACCGUGGACACGACUAAUCAAUUAGGUUUGAGUAUUGUGCAGAGUUUUGCACACGUUCCCCACAAGAUUUGAUUGCCUCCGUGUAUGUCCUCGCACUUCAGGGCGUUUGAAGACCGGAUGAUCAAAACAUGGUCUUUCAACGGGUCCCUCUGAAUCCCUAUCGGUGCCCAUCCAUUCCUACCGUUCGUCUACAUCUGCUAGCACCGCCUGUCCAGAGUCGCCGCGUUGUCCAACCAAGCCAGAGCCCAUAAUUACUUGUGGAUGUGCAGGUAAGCCUUGGGUCUUGAAAAUAUCCGUCCGUCUCUUUGAGCCUGGGUGAAGCUUUCCGCAGGAUGACAUGGCCUCUCCAGCAUCUCGGGUCAUCCACUUGGUUCUCCAGGGAGCCGAUCAACCGUCCUUCACCCAGAGUUGCAUUGCGUCCGAGGUCUUGAAAAUCUUGUCUUAACUGGUCUUGAUUAUUAUAUCAACCUCGCAUCACUCGUGGUAUACACUCAACCGAUAACCCGUCUACUCAAGCAUAGCAUUAAGAAAUUGUCGUCCCGGGGCCAAGUGUCGGGGUUGUUGUGUUCCUACCACAUGAUACUACAACUUACACUAAAGUUUCCAAGUACCUAGGCAGCAUGCAAAUUGGGCAAAGAAGGUGAUCUACCAUGCAUCGAAAACAUAGGUAAAAUAAUAUGAUCAAAAUGACUUGUCUUGAUGAUAGUUGUCUUGCUCGAGUGCUUCUAAGUAACGCGCUUAGCACUCUGGAUGAUCUACCGAUACAAACACAAAGCACACCAUAAGCACUUCAAUCAUGCCACAAGUAAAAAUAACAUCACAAGUAAUGAUUUGCGAAAGCCUAAGCAAAAGAAUUUAUCACGCGCCGGUAUGGCAGAAACUUGUUUCUGUUGAAAAUACCGGUAAAAAUACUUUAAAUUUUUUGAAAUUUCUACCACAGUAAGAUUUUAUCACUAGGAAGCAGUAGCAAAAAUAAUAAACUCAAAAUCAUUUUUUAAACUCCUGGAAUAGGCAAAACAAGAUUUAAACUAAAUCUGCUCUAACUUAUAUUUGAAAAUUUCAAACAUAGACAAAUUAUAUGUUUUUAAAAACUACAGGAAAUUUGUGAGCUACUGGAAAAAGAAUCAAUGUCAUUGGACUUCGGGAUCAAAAGUUGUGGCCAAAACAAGAUUGGAACUUUUCUGUUUUUGCAAACAGGCAGAAAAAAUAAAACUAACCUAGCUAACUACUCGGGUACACGUGGUAUGCUACUAUUGGCCGCGGAGGGCAUUUGUUGCAGCAUUUUGAGCAAACGGCCUAGCUCUAACAAAAGCUACUGGCUAAAACAUAAGUGAAAAUAAAACCGUUGGUUUUCUAAACUAAACCGAAGAGUUAUCCCUAGAUCUAAUCUACACCCUAUAGCUAAGAUCCAACGGUUACAAAAAGAAAAACAAGAACCACUGGGAGGAAGAGAGGUCUACUGUGGCUGUGGGGUAGCUCCGGCGAGGGGCGUGGCUGCCGGCGAGGGAGGGGGAGCUCCGGGGCGGUGGAGGCGGGGGGGAGGCGGCGGCGGGGGUCCUCCUCCGAGGGGAGGCUGCGGUGGAGCGAAAGGGCGCUGGGGUGGCGCUCCCAGGGGCGGCCUACGGUGGUAGUAGCUCGGCUGCCGGCGAGCGGUGGUGCGGCGGCUAGGGGCGGCGGCUCGGCGAGGAAAAGGUGGGAACGGGGUCGGCUCGGGGGCGGGGUUUAUAUAGGCUAGGAGGGGGGGUGCUAAGGAAGGAGACGGAGUAGAAAUCGGCAGGGGAUCCCACGGUUCUCGGGAGGGCAGCGGCUCGGUUUCGGUCUGGAGCAGAAAAGGAAGGAGGAAGAAGACUGGCCGCGGGAGGGAGAGGCUCGGGCGGUGGGGCCCUUCGGCCAGUGAGAGGGGGCGGGGUAAGGGUGGGGCGGUUGGCCGGUUUCAAAGGGAUUCAAUCCCGGGCAGUGGGGAUUCGGCCCAGCCUUAUAUGGCGCUCGGGGGCGGCGGCAGAAGAAAAAAAAUUACCUUUCCUAUUUAUAACUUUUCCGAGACAGAAAAAUCAAAAGCUAAUAAAAAGGAAAUAAAUCAAAAUAUUAAUAUAGGGUAUUAUAUACCAAAAAAAUCAGAAAAAUAUCCUCUACCCAAAUAACAUUUUUCCAAAGCAAAAAUAAAACUUUAAAAAAAUGUUUUUUUUCAGAAAUUCCCAAAUUUGCUUUAUUUCUUUUUGCAAUUAUUUUGCAAAAGAACUAUGGGUUUUCUUGGCUAAAAUAUUUCAGAAAUUUGCCCGCACUGUGGAGGGUCAUUUUCCUCCGCUCUCUCUCUUGCGUGCAAGAGGGUAUUUUCUCCGGGCAUUUCUCGUGCGAGGAAAACAAAUAAAAAUGCAAGAGAACUCAAAUGCAAAUAUCUCCGUUCAAAUUAUUUGUAGUUGAAGAAGUCAUGUCAUCUUCUCUCUUUGCUUUUAAAAGCUUGAAUUUGAAUUCAGCGGAGAUGGGGAAAGUCAUUUUAUUCCCUCUCAUUCAAAAGUUUCGAAAAGUUUCAAAUUUCACACAAGUUUCAGUCACUUAGCAAACAAACAAACAAUCAAUCUAAUAAUUAUAUUAACAUUCCAAAAAUUUAUAAUUUUGGGAUGUUACACACCCGAUCAUCAUGUGGUGUCUCGAAAUGACGAACUGUCGCAACGGUGCACAGUCGGGGAGAACACAAUUUUAUCUUGAAAUUUUAGUGAGGGAUCACCUUAUAAUGCUACUGUCGUUCUAAGCAAGAUAAGGUGCAUAAAAGGAUUAACAUCACAUGCAAUUCAUAAGUGACAUGAUAUGGCCAUUAUCUUGUGCUUCUUGAUAUCCAUCACCAAAGCACCGGCAUGAUCUUCAUCGUCAUCGGCGCCACACCAUGAUCUCCAUCAUCGUGUCGCCAUCGAGGUUGUCGUGCUAUAUAUGCUAUCACUACUAAAGCUACAACCUAGCAAUAUAGUAAACGCAUCUGCAAGCACAAACGUUAGUUUAAAGACAACCCUAUGGCUCCUGCCGGUUGCCGUAGCAUCGACGUGCAAGUCGAUAUUAACUAUUACAACAUGAUCAUAUCAUACAUCCAAUAUAUCACAUCAUGUAUUUGGCCAUAUCACAUCACAAGCAUACCCUGCAAAAACAAGUUAGACGUCCUCUAAUUUGUUGUUGCAUGUUUUACGUGGUGCUAUGGGUACCUAGUAUGAUCGCAUCUUACUUACGCAAAACCAAAACAGAGAUGUGCAAAUUGCUAUUUAACCUCUCUCCAAGGACCGCCUUGGUCAAAUCAAAUUCAACUAAAGUUGAAGAAACAGGCACCCGAUAAUAAUCUUUAUGCAACGAGUUGCAUGUUAGUCGAUGAAACCGGUCUCUCGUAAGCGUACGAGUAAUGUUGGUCCGGGCCGCUUCAAUCCAACAAUACCGUCCAAUCGAGAAAAGACUAAGGAGGGAAGCAAGUAGAACAUCAACGCGCACACAAACUUUUGUGUUCCACUCAACAUUACAUCUACGCAUGAACCUAGCUCAUGAUGCCACUGCUGGGGAAUGUUGCAUGGGAAACAAAAAAGUUCCUAUGCACACGAAGACCUAUCAACGAGAGGGAGAUCAGAUCCACAUACCCUUGUAGAUCUCUAUGCGGAAGCGUUAAUAAAUGCGGUUGAUGUAGUGGUACGUCCUCACGGUCCGUCCCUCGAACCGUCCCACGAUCCGUCCCACGAACCGUCUCGCGAUCCGUCCCAUGAUCCGUUCCGAUCAAGUGCCGAACGGACGGCACCUCUGCGUCCCGCACACGUACAUCUUGAUGACGAUCUCCGCCUUCUUGAUCCAGCAAGAGAGACGGGGAAGUAGAUUAGUUCUCCAGCAGCGUGACGACACGCCGGUGUUGGUGAUGAUCUAUUCCUGUAGGGCUCCGCCCGAGCUCCGCAGAACUCCAAUCUAGAGGUGGAACUACGAGGUAUAGGUUUGAGUUGCACGUGGCAAAGUUGUGUCUCAAAAUGCCCUAAACCUCUAGUAUAUAUAAGAGGAGGGAGGGGGCAGCCUUGGCACCACAAGGGAGGCUCCCUUGUGUCGGCCGAACUAGAGGAGGGAGGAGUCCUCCUCCAACUCCACUUGGAUUAGGACUCCUUCCUUAAUUUCCCACCUCUUUUGGAUUUUCCACUUUUUCCUCAUGGGCUUUCCUUGGAUGACUUUUUCAGCCCAUUAUGCCUUAUUUCGCAUCCAAUAAACCCAUGUGGACCCCUUGGGGCGUGGUGGGCCCACUCAGUGGGCCCCCGGAACCCAUUCGUCACUCCCGGUACACUGCCGACAAUGCACGAAAACCUUCCGGAAUCCAAACACCAACUUCCUAUAUAUCAAUCUUCGUAUCCGGACCAUUCCGGAAACCCUUGUGACAUCCGUGAUCUCAUCCGGGACUCCGAACAACCUUCUGUCACCAACACAUACAACUUAACUAUACUGAAACAUCACCGAACCUUAAGUGUGCAGACCCCGCGGGUUCGAGAACUAUGCAGAGAUGACCUGGGACACUCUCCGGUCAAUGACCAAUAGCGGGACCUGGAUGUCCAUAUUGACUCCCACAUAUUCUAUGAAGAUCUCUAUCGGUUGAAUCUCUAUGUCAAGGACUCAUAUAAUCCCGUAUACUAUUCCCUUUGUCCUUCGGUAUGUUACUUGCCCGAGAUUCGAUAGUCGGUAUCUCUAUACCUAGUUCAAUCUCGUCACCGACAAGUCUCUUUACUCGUUCCGUAAUACAACACCCCGUAACUAAAUCUUUCGUCAUAUUGCUUGCAAGGCUUAUUGUGAUGUUGUAUUUGUUGGAAAUAUGCCCUAGAGGCAAUAAUAAAUUAGUUAUUAUUAUAUUUCUUUUUUCAUGAUAAUCGUUUAUUAUCCAUGCUAUAAUUGUAUUGACUAGAAACACAAAUACAUGUGUGGAUACAUAGACAAAACACUGUCCCUAGUAAGCCUCUAGUUGACUAGCUCGUUGAUCAAAGAUGGUCAGGGUUUCCUGACCAUAGACAAGUGUUGUCACUUGAUAACGGGAUCACAUCAUUAGGAGAAUCAUGUGAUGGACAAGACCCAAACUAUGAACGUAGCAUGUGACCGUGUCAUUUUAUUGCUAUUGUUUUCUGCGUGUCAAGUAUUCAUUCUUAUGACCAUGAGAUCAUGUAACUCACUGACACCGGAGGAAUACCUUGUGUGUAUGAAACGUCACAACGUAACUGGGUGACUAUAAAGGUGCUCUACAGGUAUCUCCGAAGGUGUCCAUUGAGUUAGCAUGGAUCAAGACUGGGAUUUGUCACUCCGUGUGACGGAGAGGUAUCUCGGGGCCCACUCGGUAAUACAACAUCACACACAAGCCUUGCAAGCAAUGUGACUCAAGUGCGCUUCACGGGGUCUUGUAUUACGGAACGAGUAAAGAGAUUUCCUGGUAACGAGAUUGAAAUAGGAUAGGGAUACCGACGAUCAAAUCUCACGCAAGUAACAUACUGAAGGACAAAGGGAAUGUUAUACGGGAUUAUAUGAAUCCUUGGCACAGAGGUUCAACCGAUAAGAUCUUCGUAGAAUAUGUAGGAUCCAAUAUGGGCAUCCAGGUCCCGCUAUUGGAUAUUGACCGAGAAGUGUCUCGGGUCAUGUCUACAUAGUUCUCGAACCCGUAGGGUCUGCACACUUAAGGUUCGAUGAUGUCUUAGUAUAGUUGAGUUAUAUGUGUUGGUGACCGAAGGUUGUUCGGAGUACCGGAUGAGAUCACGGACAUCACGAGGGUUUCCGGAUUCGUCCGGAAAUGAAGAUUGAUAUAUAGGAAGUUGGUGUUUGGAUUCCGGAAAGUUUUCAGGCAUUGUCGGUAGUGUAUCGGGAGUGACGAAUGGGUUCCGGAGGCCCACUGGGUGGGCCCACCACGCCCCAAGGGGUCCAUGUGGGUUUAUUGGAUGUACAAUAAGGUAUAAUGGGAUGACAAAGUCAUCCAAGGAAAGCCCAUGAGGAAAAAGUGGAAAAAACAAAAGAGGUGGGAAAAUAAGGAAGGAGUCCUAAUCCAAGUAGGAUUGGAGAAGGACUCCUCCCUCCCACUUCGGCCGACCCAAGGAGGGCCACCUUUGGCCGGCGCCCUAGGGCUUUGCCCCACCCCUUGGCUCCUCCUAUAUAUACUAGAGGUUUAGGGCUAUUUGAGACACAACUUUGCCACGUGCAACUCAAACCUACACCUCGUAGUUCUUCCUCUAGAUUAGAUUUCUGCGGAGCUCAGGCGGAGCCUUGCAGGAAUAGAUCAUCACCAACACGAGCGCAUCGUCACGCUGCCGGAGAACUCAUCUACUUCUCUGUCUCUCUUGCAGGAUCAAGAAGGACGAUAUCGUCAUCGAGUUGUACGUGUGCUGAUCACGGAGGUGCCGUCCGUUUGGCGCUAGAUCGGAACGGAUCAUGGGACGGAUCGCGAGACGGUUCGUGGGACGGAUCAUGGGACGGUAUGAGGGACGGAUCGUGAAGACAUACCACUACAUCAACCGCGUUUAUUAACGCUUCCGCUUAGCGAUCUACAAGGGUAUGUGGAUCCGAUCUCCCUCUCGUAGAUGAACAUCACCAUGAUAGGUCUUCGUGUGCGUAGGAAUUUUUUUGUUUCCCAUGCAGCAUUCCCCAACAGUGGCAUCAUGAGCUAGGUUCAUGCGUAGAUGUUAUCUCGAGUAGAACACAAAAGGUUUUGUGGGCGUUGAUGUUUGAUUUUCUGCCCUCCUUAGUCUUUUCUCGAUUCGGCGGUAUUGUUGGAUUGAAGCGGGCCGGACCGACAUUACUCGUACGCUUACGAGAGACUAGUUUAAUCGAUUAACAUGCAACUCGUUGCAUAAAGAUGACUCGCGGGUGCCUGUUUCUUCAACUUUAGUUGAAUUGGUUUUGACCGAGGCGGUCCUUGGAGAGAGGUUAAAUAGAAAUUUGCACAUCUCCGUUGUGGCUUUUGCGUAAGUAAGAUGCGAUCAUACUAGGUACCCAUAGCAGCCACGUAAAACAUGCAACAACAAAUUAGAGGACGUCUAACUUGUUUUUGCAGGGUAUACUUGUGAUAUGAUAUGGCCAAUGACGUGAUGUGAUAUAUUGGAUGUAUGAGAUGAUCAUGUUGUAAUAGUUAAUAUCGACUUCCACGUCGAUGCUACGGCAACCGUCAGGAGCCAUAGGGUUGUCUUUAAACUAAUGUAUGUGUUUGCAGAUGCGUUUACUAUAUUGCUAGGUUGUAGCUUUAGUAGUAAUAGCAUAGAUAGCACGACAACCUCGAUGGCGGCACGAUGAUGGAGAUCAUAGUGUAGCGUCGGUGACAAGAAGAUCAUGUCGGUGCUUUGGUGAUGGAGAUCAAGAAGCGCAAGAUGAUGGCCAUAUCAUGGCACUUAUGAAUUGCAUGUGAUGUUAAUCCUUUUAUGCACCUUAUUUUGCUUAGAACGACGGUAGCAUUAUAAGGUGAUCUCUCACUAAAAUUUCAAGAUGAAAUUGUGUUCUCCCCGACUGUGCACCGUUGUGACAGUUCGUCGUCUCGAGACACCACGUGAUGAUCGGGUGUGAUAGACUCAACGUUCACAUACAACGGGUGCAAAACAGUUGCACACGCGGAAUACUCGAGUUAAACUUGACAAGCCUAGCAUGUGCAGACAUGGCCUCGGAACACAAGAGACUGAAAGGUCGAGCAUGAAUUAUAUAGUUCAUAUGAUUAGCAUAGAGAUGCUUACCACUGAAAGUAUACUCAACUCACGUGAUGAUCGGACUUGAGUUAGUGGAUUUGGAUCAUGUACCACUCAAAUGACUAGACAGAUGUACUUUUUGAGUGGGAGUUUAUUAAGUAAUUUGAUUAGUUAAACUCUAAUUAUCAUUAAUAUAGUCAAAAGGUCUUUGCGAAUUAUGAUGUAGCUUGCGCUAUAGCUCUACUGUUUUUUAUAUGUUCCUAGAGAAAAUUUAUUUGAAAGAUGAUAGUAGCAACUUUACGGACUGAGUUCGUAAAACCGAGGAUUGUCCUCAUUGCCGCGCAGAAGUCUUAUGUCCUUAAUGCACCGCUCGGUGUGCUACACCUCGAGCGUCGUUUGUGGAUGUUGCGAACAUCUAACAUACACGUUUUUAUGACUAUGGUAUAGUUCAGUGUGUAAUACUUAAUGGCUUAGAAGCAAGGCGCCGAAGACGUUUUGAAACGUCAUGGAACAUAAGAGAUGUUCUAAGAGAUGAAAUUGAGAAUUCAUGCUCGUGUCCUUGUUGAGAGGUAUGAGACCUCCGACAAGAUUCUUUAUCUACAAAGUAAAGGAGAAAAGCUCAAUCGUUGAGCAUGUGCUCAGAUUGUCUGAGUACAACAAUCGCUUGAAUCAAGUGGGAGGUAAUCUUCCAGAUGAGAUAGUGGUGGUUCUCCAAAGUCACUCCCACCAAGCUUCUAGAGCUUCGUGAUGAACUGUAACAUCUCAAGGAUAGAUAUGAUGAUCCUUGAGCAAUUAGCAAUGUUUGGCACCACGAAAGUAGAAAUCAAGAAGGAGCAUCAAUUGUUCAUGGUUAGUAAAACCACUAGUUUCAAGAAGGGCAAGGGCUAGAAGGGAUACUUCAUGGAACGGCAAACCAGUUGCUGCUCUAAUGAAGAAACCCAAGAUUGAACCCAAACCCGAGACUAAGUGCUUCUGUUAUGAGGGGAACAGUCACUGAGGCGGAGCUACCCUAGAUACUUGGUAGAUAAGAAGGCUGGCAAAGUCGACAGUGGUAUAUUUGAUAUACAUGAUGUUGAUGUGUACUUUACUAGUACUCCUAGUAGCACGAGGGUAUUGGAUACCGGUUCGGUUGUUAAGUGAUUAGUAACUCGAAAUGAAAGCUAUGGAAUAAAAGGAGACUAGCUAAAGGCGAGGUGACGACACGUGUUGGAAGUGUUUCCAAGGUUGAUGUCGUCAAAAACAUCGCACGCUCCCUCUACCAUCGGGACUGGUGUUAAACCUAAAUAAUUGUUAUUUGGUGUUUGCGUUGAGCAUGAACAUGAUUGGAUCGUGUUUAUUGCAAUACGAUUAUUCAUUUAAAGAGAAUAAUAGUUAUUUUAUUUGCUUGAAUAAUUAUCCUCAAUGGUUUAUUGAAUAUCGAUCGUAGUGUUACACAUGUUCAUAAUGUUGGUGCCAAAGGAUACAAAGUAAUAAAGAUAGUACCACUUGCUUGUGGCACUGCCACUUGAGUUAUGUUGGUGUAAAAUGCAUGAAGAAGCUCCAUGCUGAUGGAUCUUUGUACGCACUCAUUUUUGAAACGUUCGAGACAUGCAAACCAUACCUGUUGGUAUAAACGCAUGAAGAAACUCCAUGCGGAUGGAUCGUUUGGAUUCACUUGAUUUUGAAUCACUUGAGACAUGCAAAAUCAUACCACAUGGAACAAGAAAGUAACUUGUUGGAAGCAAUGCAUUUUGAUGUGUGCAGUCCAAUGAGUGCCGAGGCACGCAGUGGAUAUCGUUAUGUUCUUACUUCGCUGACGAUUUGAGUAGAUACACGAGUAUUCACUUGAUGAAUCACAAGUCUGAAAUGUUGAAAAGUUCAAAGCUAUUUCAGAGUGAAGAUCGUCGUGACAAGAGGAUAAACUAUCUACGAUAUGAUCAUAGAGAUGAAUAUCUGAGUUGCGAGUUUUUGGUACACAGUUAAGACAAUGAGGAAAUUGUUUCACAAUUCAUGCCACCUAGAACACCAUAGUGUGAUGGUGUGUCCAAACGUUAUAGCCAGGCACCUUGAUUAAAUCAGUCAGUGGCUUGGGGUGCUAAGAGAAAUUAUAUGAAGUGAAGAUAACAAAUCUUCAAAACAUAUAACACUUCGCACAUGCAUGAAUGAUUUGGUAUUAUCCUAGAGGAAGCAAAACAAAACUUUCACAUAUUCACUGCGGCAAGAAUGCACGUGAACCUUGGGAAAAACACUUCUUCUAUCAAACAUAUCCUUCAUGAGCUAGGCACAAGGAUAAUGCUUUCAAGAGCUUCAUCGCGGAACAUGGAGAAGUUGAGGGUGUGGCUGAUGGGCUCAACAACAACCCCUCAAGAUUUUGACAGGGAUGAAUUUUCUAAAAUUUACAAUAUCACGGAGAUUGCAUUUGUCAAAUCAAAUGGUGCAAUGUCAUAUGCUCGAGGGAACAACAAUAAUUAAACAUUGGUCGAAGGGUGCACUCGAAAAUACGGACUGAGCAGCACGACCAAUGCUAAAAUAGUGAGUCAACAACCAACACACAAAGAAUGAAACUAUCAGUCAUUAACUUCAGAGUGAUAGGGUUGCCAGAAGUAUUGGAAUCACACAUCAGCGUUCACUUGUCGGUAUUCCGCUUAAAAACAACACGGGGAACAAGAAAUGUAUGGUGAUGGCAAGAAGUAUGACUUAUAUCAAGAAUUCUUAAGAGGUGUAACAAUGCUCAUAAUAUUCUUGACAUAACAAAUGGUAAUACUCCAAGGUAGAUCAUAACAUAAGUCGGAUAGUAAGGAACUCAAAGGACAACACAAAACAUGAACACAUUUGUGUUGGAGGGAAGGCAAUAAGGUUGACGAUGAUUUCAGAAAUCAUAGAGGGGCGAGGAUGGUAUUCCUCAACAUGUAUUCGAUUGAUACCCUCCAAGAGCUCAGAAUGCUGAUGAUGAUCACGACACAUUUGUCGAGAAGCUUCACGAAGAUGUAAUCGAUCAGCGACGACAUCAAGCAAAGGAAUGGUGAAGCUAAAGGUUGACGGAAAUACAUUUAAGACUGCUAGCUCAGAAUCAAAAUUUCCUUUCAAAACAACUAAUAUGAUGUGGAAAAGCUCGAUCUGAUCUUAACGCACAGUUGGAAAUGUGCUCCAGAGAUGGAGGACACAGAUAGCAUGGUCAAGCUCCAACAUGACGAUGAUGAUGUAGAUUAACAGCUUGGAAUGACGUGAUCGAGUGCGAACUCGUAAGAAAAGAAGAUUACUAAGAUUUGUUGAAUUACAAGCGUACUCAAUUCAUUUAUCAGUGUCCUUGAGUGUCCAACAACUCAAACACGAGGAAAUUGGAAUUAAUGAAAAUAUCAUAGUUGAUGAGGAGCUCACAAGAAGUUAUAUAGCUCUGUGAUAUCCUCGAGCUACAAGGAAUAAUACUCGGAGGUAGGUCAACAUUAAGGCUUGGACCGAUGUAUUGAUAUGAAGAAGACAAGUACUUUAACUUGUCUGAGUAUGAAAUCAAGGUAGGACAACAUGGUCGGAACCACGAUUGCAAAGGACAAGAUCUCAAAUACAAGAUUUAAACCACAUAAUGAAUGAUUAUUGAUACGAGAAGUUUCUAUGAUAGGAUCAACGUCGUUUCCAUGGGCAUGAACACAAAGUUCAAGGUCGACUCCCACUUCAUCAAUGCAUCACCUUCCAUUUGCUCUUCGCCUUUGAUCAGGUUGUAGCUGUGAAAGGAUAUUCGGCAAAGCACCAGAAGAGUACGACUCAUGAAAACUUUUCGAUUCAUAUUGAUUUAGGAAGGCAUAAUUCCAACCCAUCGGGGCAUCUUAGGAACAUAUACCAUACACUCCAAGAGUAAUUAACACAUGCUUGAAGGGCAUGGCUCAUAAAGGCGUAGGGUACAACUUAUUAGAGGGAGAAGACAUAAUUUACCAAUGGCAUCAUGUGUUAGGGAAGCAAUCACAAGAAUUUUCUAAAUCAAAGGAUGUCGUCGGAUAAUAACCCAGAAUGAGUUUGGCAGUCCACAAAAGAUCUGAUGUGAGUAUCGGUACUCAAUCGGAGGAGGGAUAAGACUCAAGGCAUCAGAUUAUAGAACAUCUGAAAAAUAUCGGUACUCAAUUACCAAAGGAAUUACGAUUUCGAGGUUGGUGUAUCAUAAUGAGACACUCCGAUCAAAUAGAAGUAAGCUGAAAGGAUUUAGAUGGGCAACCACCAAAGUUGAUUUGUCGAGAACCAGCUGUGUCUAGAAGGACGUCUGAGCCGGAAGAUAAUUCAUGAGUAUCUGCAGAUGAUUGUGUGCAUUCACACAAAGGUAGAAUCAAUAAGAUCACAAGAAAAUCAUAAAGGAUUUUAGUGAAUGCUGCUAGACAUAUGGAUUUAACCAUAACACAAGCAGGUGAGAAAGGUCAAAAGAAAUAGGCUACCGGGGAUCCCAAAAGAUCGAAUAGUAAUUCGAAAAACUUUCAAAACCCAUGACAACUGAUGACGGACGAAUCCCCGAUAAGAUAAUUCGUUGCAUCUCGUAAGACAAGAGCAACUGGAAAAGAAAAAUAUGAACGCCAUUUGUAUGCAGUCAUACAUAGGGGUUGACGGAGGAAGGGAAAUCGCAGAAGCGAUGAUCACAAGUUCUCGAGAGAACAUCAGAGAUUAUCCUCGAAGUCUUCUAACGGAUCAAGCCAUCGUCUGGAAUACGGGGUUCUCCGGGAGGAAAUAUUUAUGAGAACCUAAUGUUAGAGUUAGAAAAUUCUUUAACCCUAAAGAGAAGAGAGAGUAGAACCUAGAGUAUAGAAAAGGAGUAAAAGAUACUAAUACCACCCGAUUGAGAUGUGAGCCCGUAAGCCACAACAUCAGUGUUAGUAAGUUUUUCAAACACUAGACUCAACUUCGGCCAAGGAGUUGGAAAGGGGGCUACCUACAGGCAGUUGGCUCUGAUACCAACUUGUGACGCCCUCGAUUUAAUCGUACGUUAAUCAUGCACGCAAAUGCGUACGAUCAAACUCAAGGACUCACGGGAAGAUAUCACAACACAACUCUAGACACAAUAAAAUAAUACAAGCUUCAUAUUACAAGCCAGGGGCCUCGAGGGCUAGAAUACAGAAGCUCGAUAAACACAUGAGGGAGCGGAAGCAACAAUAUCUGAGUACAGACAUACACAUGGGGUGCCUUAGAGAAGGCAAGCACAGAAGAAACACAAUCGAACGAGGCGAGGCCUCCUGCCUGGGAUCCUCCUAAACUACUCCUGGUCUUCAGCGGCCUCCUCGAAGAAGACACCAUAGGGGGGCAGACGUCAGCAGGAAACUCCAUCUUCUGGGCUCCAUCAUCUGGUCGCAGCAACAGAUCAAGGAGCAAAGGGGGAGCAAAGCAACGGUGAGUGCUCAUCCAAAGUACUCGCAAGACUUACAUCAGAACUAUGAUAAAUAUGAAUUAGUAUCAAAGAAGGGGUUAUAUGUGGACUGACUGCAGCGAUGUGAGAAAUAGAGAGAGAAGGCCUAGUCCUAUCGAAGACUAGCAUCUUCAGGGUCUUGGAGCAAUAGACGAGAGUAGAGCAAGGUAACACAAUUAAUAGUCAUAUUGUUGCAACAAUAUUAAAGUGAGGUCAUGCCCUGAGAUUGUCACGCCCAAGAUGCGACCCUAUCCUCAAUUUGGCACGAAGGCCUCGUCGGGGAUAGAAGCACAUCUCGUCGUGUCGCAAGAAUGGAUAUCGUUACAAGUACAUGUACUGAAAAGAAGAGAUGUAUAUUUAGAAUUGGCUUAACUCGCCACAAACUACAUCAGAGUCACAUCAAUACAUUACAUAAUCAUCAAGAGUAAGAGCAGGGUCUGACUAUGGACGAAAACAAACGAGAAAAAUAAGAACAACGUCCAUCCUUGCUAUCCCAGGCUGUCGGCCUGGAACCCAUCCUAGAUCGAUGAAGAAGAAGAAGAAGAAGCAACUCCAAAUGAACAAUCAACGCGCUCGCGUCAAGUAACUUUUACCUGUACCUGCAACUGGUGUUGUAGUAAUCUGUGAGCCACAGGGGACUCAGCAAUCGCAUUUCCAAAGGUAUCAAGACUAGCAAAGCUUAAUGGGUGAGGCAUGGUUAAGUGGUGAGGUUGCAGCAGCGACUAAGAAUAUAUUUGGGUGGCUAAACUUACGAGUACAAGAAAUAAGAGGGGGGGGGGGAGAUCUACACAUAACGGACGUGAACUCCUGUUGAUCAAAUGAAUGAUCCUGAACACCUACCUACGUCAGACAUAACCCCACCGUGUCCUCGAUCGGAGAAAGAACUCACGAAAGAGACAGUCACGGUUAUGCACACAGUUGGCAUAUUUUAAUUAAGUUAACUUCAAGUUAUCUAGAACCAGUGUUAAACAAAGUUUCCAUGUUGCCACAUAACCGCGGCACUGCUUUCCGAAAGAUUUAACCCUGCAGGGGUGCUCCAACUAGUCCAUCACAAAUUACCACAAGCCGCAUAGAAAUCCUCCAUCACGACACUCGCGAUCUCGUCGGAUUCCUUAGUGGAAAACCUCAACUCUGAGAUUACCCAAAGCAUCGGAAUUCCGAUGCACAAGAUAUCUCGUCAAAGGUAAAACUAAUCCAGCAAGGCCGUCCGGCGUGUCGACGAUCCCGAUAGGAGCUGCGUAUCUCGUUCUCAGGACACGACGGAUAAGCGACGCGUAUGAGUGCCAAACCUCGAGUUUCCUCGCGGUGGCCCCGCACAAUGCUCUAUUUUGGACCAGCACCAUCAACACUGGCCCUACCUGUAUUAUGUAGAAUUACUCCUCGGGUAGCGCUAACUCCCUACGCAUUUUAUUUUAACAGAUUUAUUAUGUUGGGCAAAUGUAGUACCAAUGUUGGGCCUUGCCAGACCAGCUUUAAUCUAAAACUAAUUAUCAAGGGGGGCCCCAUAACAACCCCGAUCGUGUUAGGAGCGCUCAUUUAUGGAACAUAACACCGGUAGCCGAAACUAAGGGGGCAAAGGUGGAACAAAACACCAGGCUAGAAAGGCCGAGCCUUCCACCUUUUACCAAGUAUAUAGGUGCAUUAAAUUAAAUAGCAUUAAUAUGGUGAUAUGACAAGGAACCCAUGUAAUCACAUGGAAGCAACUGCACCUGCAACUAGCAAUGCUAUCAACAGGGUUAAGCAAGCAGUAACAUAGCCAAUCAGUGGUUUGCUAGGUUGAAUAGGUUGAAGGUUUCAUGGCAUUGUUGAGAGGCUGAUAAUUAACAUGUGGUAGGCAACGAGACAUAAUUGAUAGAAACGAUAAAACUAGCAUGGCAAUGAUAGUAAUGGUAUCUGGGGAAAUGGUCAUCUUGCGUGAGAUCCCGCUUGGAAGAAGAAUGCCUCCGUGAAGCAGACAAACCGAUGUAGUCGAACGAGUCCUUACUUUCCGAAACGCUUGCGGAACUCUACCGAGACGGAGCAAACCGGAAAAGAAUCAACACACGAUAUUCAUCACUCACAUGCAUGAUAUGAUGCACACCCUAAUAUGAUGCAUGAUCAGUUAAAAUAUGCAAGGCAUGGCAUGGCAUGGCAAAUCACAUCACACAAGCACUACACGUUAAGUGAAGCUCAAUAUGCAACGAGUUGCAUAUUGACGAAACUCCACAUACGAACUAUUUAGUUCCCUCUUGAUUAGGUACACAGCAAUAUUAAAUGUUGUUAACAUGGAAAGGGGUGAAGCACAAAUUAAUCUACUUAUCUAGGCAUUUUAAAUGAGGCCGGAAACAACUUAUAGCAUCUCCAAAAUGACCUCACGUGUUAAAAUCUAAUUCUGUCCAGAUUUAUCCUAAUCACAUUUUUUGUUUGUUAAACAACGAAACAAAGUGGAGCAUGAGAUUCUACACAUCGUUCUACUCGAUUUACAUAUAUAGAACAUCUCCAACGGAGCUACGUUAAAUAACUACGACCUAAACAGUUUUCAACACGUCGACACGCAAACCGAUGCAAACAACCACUAAACAGUUCUAAUUAUGCAUGAGAGUUGGAAAUUAUUAACCUACGCGAAAUUCUAGUCAAUUUACAUAUCUAACUCGUCGAAAUCCGACACACGGAAUAGAAUCUACGGACGUUUGAAAAUAUCGCUAUGUCCUAUAUAGGAAAAAAAUCCUAGCGUAUAAAAAUCGACAAGGGAAAAAAAUAUGGGAAACAACUGGGAUUUGAACCCCAGAUCUCCACAAUGCCAAUGCGCUGGGUUAACCAGCAGGGCUCGAAGUGCUCUUGUGCUUUGUUCAUUCGGUUAUUUAACAUAACAACCAGGCUGAUAAAAGACAAAGCAAAAACGAUGAGAAAAAGUAUAUUGAAGCUGGUGGGAUUUGAUCCCUGGUCUAUUGGGUGGAGGAUCAACGUCGUGACCAGCUAGGCUACGGAGCUCUUGUUAAACAAGUAGAGUGGCGACCCUAGUUAUGCUGUGUGAACCAGAACGGAUCUAGGAAAAAAACGCUAAGGAUUCAGUUCCAGCGCUCGCAAGGAAACAGAGACCUGUGGCCAUGGCAAUUCCAAGCGAGGAUGGCGCCGAUUCGCGGGGCUUGGGGUUUCGGCGGGGCUGACGGAGGCCGGGAAUGGGCUGAUCUAUCAAGGGCCUACCGGAUCCGCUGGGGAACAACGCGAGACGGCGAGCUGCAGGGCGGAGAAGGCAUCCAUAACGGGGCUGCAGCGCCUUCGUUCAGUCCUGAUAGGGGGAAAACAAUAGAGAGGAGAAGGAUUAUAGGAGAGGGAAGGAGGGGUCACGAGGGAGGAGCGCUGGGCACAGGUGCUGAGCCGGAAUCAUGCUGGAUCUGGCCGCCGGCGUGAUGAAGACCUCCCGGGCUGGCGCAGGCGAAGCUCCGGUUCUGCUGGACUCCAUGCGCUCGUUCCUGUCAGCCCGAAACAGAGGGAGGGAGAGAUGAGAGAAAGAGAGAGGGAGGAGGAGAGAACCAGAGGAGGAGAAGAGAAGACCGAGGCAUGGCCUUGGCACGGGGUCGACCGGUUGGUCAACGGCGGCGGCUGCAGGCUUCUAGGAGGAGCUCGGGAUCGAGCUCCUCUCGAACUGGAGCACUGGUUCUUGGAGGUUGCAGGGGAGCCCUGGCUGGCUGACUCACGGGCGGGAGCAAGGAGAAAGCGGCGCAGCGGGUUGGCCAGAUGGGGAAAUUGAGGUGGGAAGUGGCGGCGCUGGAUGGGACAGGGGAGGAUCCCUAGGGUUUCGGUCUGAGUUGGGAUAGGUAGGACUAUCUAUACUAAAUCGGUUUAGGUCUAGGGUCUUUUCGGAUCAUCUAAUCUAAAUCGGACGGUAGAAAAAACUAGGUUAGGUGGUCCAAUGGACAAACCGAUGAUGGUUUGCGGUAAAAUGGGGUUGAUCCGGAUCCAACGGUCACGACCGGCGGGUUCGGGUUCCGGGAGGUUUUUGGACUGGGCUGCGCGUAGGGUCGAAGCACUGUGUAGAGGGGCUAGGCGGAGAUGAGAGGGAAAACGGGCACCCGACAACGUAUUUUUUUUAAAACACCCGAACACGUCCGACGAUAGACCGAAUACGGUGCCGCUAUGGUCGACCGUUCGGUUACCAGACGGACUCCGAUCGCGAUGAAUUUGACAGGCGGCCUACCUAUAUAAAAAUGAGACCGCUCGUCAAAUUUCAACCCAAUCAGAGAAAGUUUUACACACACUUUUAAAAACAAGGAUUUGACGAAGCCGCGGACGCGUGCGUGUGUGGUCGGGCUCAGAACAGACAACGACGAGAACCGUCAACUAACAACGGAUGCAAGUUUUGAAAACUGACGGCAACGGAGAUGUCGAUGCAAUGCAUAUGAUGUGUAUGAUGCGACAAAUGAAAAUACCCACACGAUGAGAACGGAAAUAAAGGGGAAUCUUCUGGAACGUCGGCAUUGGGCUGUCACAGAGAUCCUCCCUCGACUCCCUGCAAGGAAGCAAUCCCGGGGUAACUAAAUCCAGUUAAGUAACAGUUGUAGUUGUAUAAGAUCAGGGCACAACUCCAAGUCGUCGUGUAACCGUGGACACGGCUAUUCGUAUAGAUAAGUUCUUCCCUGCAGGGGUUCACAACAUAUUCCCCGACGUGCUCGAUAACACUCUGGCCGGACACACUUUUCUGGGUCAUGCCCGGCCUCGGAAUAUCGACACGUCGCAGCCCCACCUAAGCUCAGCAUAAAGGCCAGCCCGCCGGUCUAACUCCUAAGCACAAAGGGGUCGUGGGCCCACCUACCCUCCGCGCUCCUGCAUGAUGUGAGGGCGGCCGAUGUGAGUCCUAGCACCCCUUAAUACAAGAGCGAUGCAUCUCGGGACCACUCGGGCGCUGAUACGUCUCCGUCGUAUCUACUUUUCCGAACUCUUUUGCCCUUGUUUUGGACUCUAAUUUGCAUGAUUUGAAUGGAACUAACCNNNNNNNNNNNNNNNNNNNNNNNNNNNNNNNNNNNNNNNNNNNNNNNNNNNNNNNNNNNNNNNNNNNNNNNNNNNNNNNNNNNNNNNNNNNNNNNNNNNNNNNNNNNNNNNNNNNNNNNNNNNNNNNNNNNNNNNNNNNNNNNNNNNNNNNNNNNNNNNNNNNNNNNNNNNNNNNNNNNNNNNNNNNNNNNNNNNNNNNNNNNNNNNNNNGAACUAACCCGGACUAACGAUGUUUUUAGCAGAAUUGCCAUGGUGUUGUUUUUGCGCACAAAUAAAAGUUCUCGGAAUGACCUGAAAAUUUACGGAGAAUUUUUCUGGAAUUUAUGAAAAAUACUGGCGCAAGAAUUAGCGGAGGAAGUGGAGCCAUGAGCUCAAAAGCCCACCAGGCGCGGGCCCCCCUGGCCGCGCCUGGCAGGCUUGUGGGGCCCACAAAGCUCCACCGCCUCCAAAUCCAACUCUAUUUAGUCCGUCUCGCCCAGAAAAAAAAUCAAAGAGAAGAUUUUAUCGCGUUUGACAAUACGGAGGCGCCGCCACCUCCUGUUCUUCAUCUGGAGGGCAGAUCUGGAGUCCGUUCUGGGAUCCGGAGAGGGGAGACCGUCGCCAUCGUCAUCACCAACCUUCCUUCAUCGCCAAUUCCAUGAUGCUCUUCACCGUUCGUGAGUAAUCUCAUCGUAGGUUUGCUGGACGGUGAUGGGUUGGAUGAGAUCUAUCAUGUAAUCGAGUUAGUUUUGACGGGGAUUGAUCCCUAGUAUCCACUAUGUUCUAAGAUUGAUGUUGCUACUACUUUUCCAUGCUUAAUGCUUGUCAGUAGGGCCCGAGUGCCAUUAUCUCACAUCUGAACCUAUUAUGUUGUCGCCAAUAUAUGUGUGUUCUUGAUCCUAUCUUGCAAGUUGUAGUCACCUAAUAUGUGUUAUGACCCGGCAACCCCAAAGUGACAAUAGCCGGAACCACUCCGAGAGAUGACCAUAUUAUGAGGAGUUCAUGUAUUCACCAAGUGUUAAUGCUUUGGUCCGGUUCUUUAUUAAAAGGAGAACCUUAAUAUCCCAUAGUUUCCAUUAGGACCCUGCUGCCACGGGAGGGAUGGACAAUAGAUGUCAUGCAAGUUCUUUUCCCUAAGCACGUAUGACUACAUACGGAAUACAUGCCUACAUUAGAUUGACGAACUGGAGCUAGUUACUUAUCUCUCUGUGUUAUAACUGUUGCAUGAUGAAUAGCAUCCGGCAUAAUCAUCCAUCACCGAUCCAAUGCAUACGAGAAUUUUAUUACUGGUCCUUGCUACGUUACUUUGGUGCUACUACUGUCACUGCUGCUACUGUUACUUUGUCGCUACUACUGUUACUUUGCUGCUAUUGGUUACUGUUGCUACUGCUGCUAUCAUACUACCUUGCUACUCAUACUUUGCUGCAGAUACUAAAUCUUUCAGGUGAGGUUGAAUUGACAACUCAACUGCUAAUACUUGAGAAUAUUCUUUGACUUCCCCUUGAGUCGAAUCAAUAAAUUUGGGUUGAAUACUCUACCCUCGAAAACUGUUGCGAUCCCCUAUACUUGUGGGUUAUCAAGACCUUUUUCUGGCGCCGUUGCCGGGGAGGCACAACUAUAUUCUCUGAGUCACUUGGGAUUUACGUCUGCUGGUCACUAUGAGGAAUCCGAUAGAUCCAAGAACUAAAGUAGUGCCCUCAACUACGAGGACAGGCAAGGAACUGCCAUCUAGCCCUGCACUUGAUUCACCUUCAGUUAUGAGUAAGUUUGCGACAUCACCUCUUGCUAGAAAUCUUGAUAUGUCGCAUGUGCUUGAUGAUGCUACUUCUGCUGCCCAUGAUGCUUAUGAUGAUGCUAUGCUUGAUACUGCUUUGCCUGAUGAUGCUAUGCUUGAUACUGCUUUGCCACUUAGUGCAUUCCUUGAUGCACAAAUUGCUAGAGUUGCUGCUUGAUGUGAUGAUACUUCUGAAACUGCUGAUACUAUUGAAGUAGAACCUAUUAUUUUUCCUGCUAGAACUACCUCUCCUAGAUAUGAAUUGCCUGAUAUGCGUGAGUGUUAUGUUAUGGAGGGAGAGAUAGCUGAGGAUUUUCUUGCGUGUAAGGAUAGCUAUGAUGUUGAGAAUUUACUGCUCAAGUGGAAAGAAAAAUCUCUGAACGCUAGGAUGAAAUACGACCCGAAGUUUGCUACUUCGCCUAUCUUUGUGAUCGGUAAGGAUUAUGAAUUCUCUGUCGACCCUGAGUUAAUCACUCUGGUCGAAUCUGAUCCUUUUCACGGUUAUGAGUCUCAAACGGUUGUAGCCCAUCUUACCAAAUUGCACGAUAUAGCCACCCUAUUCACUAGUGAGGAAAAGAUCCGCCACUACUAUAUCCUCAAGUUGUUUCCUUUCUCGCUAAAGGAUGAUGCUAAGACCUGGUUCACUUCUCUCGCUCCUGGUUGUGUGCGUAGCCCCCAGGAUAUGGUUCACUACUUCUCUGAAAACUAUAUCCCUGCCCAUAAGAAGCAAGCUGCCUUGCAGGAAAUAUACAACUUUGCGCAAGUUGAACAAGAGAGUCCCCCACAAGCUUGGGGGAGGCUCGUCGAUCACCUUGCAGGAAAUAUACAACUUAGAGGAAUCACCCUCGGGGGUCCCACACUUGAGGGGUUGCACGACAGAGGCAUCGUCGGGAAUGGUGAAAGAGGAAUCACCCUCGAUAACCACGACCGACUAGCUGUACUACAGAGAUAUCAUCAGGAAUACUUAGCGAGGUGUCACCCUCGGUACCCAAUAGUAUCCCUAUAGAGACGUACAACUAAGGGGGGUGUAUGUGCUGUGUCGGGUCUGGCUCGUCGAUCAGGGAUCGAGACUUGAAAACAAAGCGGGGCAACUGGACUAUGGGGUCAGAGGGGAUGGCUGCUCCACCUAUACUAAGCAGUUUAAAGUGUGAGACUGAAAGUAGCAGUUCAUCAAAAAUAGGCUAUGCAUCAUAUAUAGGAGGUAACUACAACAGUAGCAAAAUACUAAUGCAAGCAUGAGGAAGAAAGAAUUAGGCGAUAUAGGAAUGAUCAAGGGGGGGUUACUUGCCUGGUUGCUCUGUAGACAAAAACGGAUCCUCGACCAGGAAGUAGUCGAACACCGGAUUAUCAUGGGUCUCGGGGUCUACCGGAAAGGAAAUAACGAAGGGGAAACACACAAUAAAUAAGAGAGCAAGCAAAACACCACAAAGCAUGACAAGGUAAUACACCGUGCUAGGGUGACCUAACGCGGUACUAAGCGUUACAAACGAAGCGGGAAAAUAUCUCACGAUAUUUCCCGGGUCUUUGGCUACUACCGAGCACACGACCCUAAUGCAAAAAUGUCCAUGUUCAUCAUGCUAGAGGCAUGUGACAGAUGAACGGACAGCGUAUUCGUAUUCGUUGGAUUUUUCUAAGCAACUUUCAUAUAUAAAUUAUUUUCAUUCGACUUACGGGUUUUUUAUAUGAUUUUUCAAAGUUUAAAUGAUUUUCUAAAUUUCUGGAAUUCUUUUGAUCGGAAAAAACUUUUGUUACCUAGUGUUACUCUAACUUGUGUGUAUGACAGUGGGACCAUUGAGGGUUGGAUUGACCAAGUCAAAUUGACAAGUCAAGAGAGGGUAUGUGGCUGAUACGUCUCCGUCGUAUCUACUUUUCCGAACUCUUUUGCCCUUGUUUUGGACUCUAAUUUGCAUGAUUUGAAUGGAACUAACCNNNNNNNNNNNNNNNNNNNNNNNNNNNNNNNNNNNNNNNNNNNNNNNNNNNNNNNNNNNNNNNNNNNNNNNNNNNNNNNNNNNNNNNNNNNNNNNNNNNNNNNNNNNNNNNNNNNNNNNNNNNNNNNNNNNNNNNNNNNNNNNNNNNNNNNNNNNNNNNNNNNNNNNNNNNNNNNGAACUAACCCGGACUAACGCUGUUUUCACCACAAUUGCCAUGGUGUUGUUUUUGCGCAGAAAUAAAAGUUCUCCCAAUCACCUGAAAAUUUACGGAGAGUUUUUGUGGAAUAUAUAAAAAAUACUCACGCAAGAAUCAGCGGAGGAAGUUGAGCAUGGAGCCCACAAGCCCACUAGGCGCGGGCCCCCCGGCCGCGCGUGGCAGGCUUGUGGGGCCCACAAAACUCCACCGCCUCCAAAUCCAGCUCUAUUUAGUCCGUCUCGCCCGGCAAAAUAUCAAGGAGAAGAAUUCAUCGCGUUCUACGAUACGGAGGUGCCGCCACCUCCUAUUCUUCAUCUGGAGGGCAGGUCUGGAGUUUGUUUUGGGCUCAGGAGAGGGGAGAUCGUCGCCAUCGUCAUCACCAACCUUCCUUCAUCGCCAAUUCCAUGAUGCUCUUCACCGUUCGUGAGUAAUCUCAUCGUAGGCUUGCUAGACGGUGAUGGGUUGGAUGAGAUAUAUCAUGUAAUCGAGUUAGUUUUGACGGGGAUUGAUCGCUAGUAUCCACUAUGUUCUGAGAUUGAUGUUCCUACUACUUUGCCAUGCUUAAUGCUUGUCACUAGGGCCCGAGUGCCAUGAUUUCAGAUCUGAACCUAUUAUGUUGUCGCCAAUAUAUGUGUGUUCUUGAUCCUAUCUUGCAAGUUGUAGUCACCUACUAUGUGUUAUGACCCGACAACCCCGGAGUGAUAAUAGCCGGAACCACUCCCGGAGAUGACCAUAGUAUGAGGAGUUCAUGUAUUCACCAAGCGUUAAUGCGUUGGUCCGGUUCUUUAUUAAAAGGAGAACCUUAAUAUCCCGUAGUUUCCAUUAGGACCCCGCUGCCACGGGAGGGAUGGACAAUAGAUGUCAUGCAAGUUCUUUUCCCUAAGCACGUAUGACUACAUACGGAAUACAUGCCUACAUUACAUUGACAAACUGGAGCUAGUUACAUAUCUCUCUGUGUUAUAACUGUUGCAUGAUGAAUAGCAUCCGGCAUAAUCAUCCAUCACUGAUCCAAUGCCUAUGAGUCUUUUACUACUGGUCCUUGCUACGUUACUUUGCCGCUACUGCUGUCACUGCUGCUACUGUUACUCUGUUGUUGCUACUGUUACUCUGGUGCUACUAGUUACUAUUGCUACUGCUGCUAUCACCCCACUUUGCUACUGAUACUUUGUUGUAGAUACUAAAUCUUUCAGGUGUGGUUGAAUUGACAACUCAGCUGCUAAUACUUGAGAAUAUUCUUGGGCUUCCCCUUGAGUCGAAUCAAUAAAUUUGGGUUGAAUACUCUACCCUCGAAAACUGUUGCGAUCCCCUAUAGUUGUGGGUUAUCAAGACCUUUUUCUGGUGCCGUUGCCCGGGAGGCACAUCUCUAUUCUCUGAGUCACUUGGGAUUUACGUUUGUUGGUCACUAUGAAGAAUCUGAGAGAUCCAAGAACCAAAGUCUUGCCCUCAACUACAAGGACAGGUAAGGAACUGCCAUCUAGCUCUGCACUUCAUUCACCUUUAGUUAUGAGUAAGUUUGCGACACCACCUCCUGCUAGAAAUCUUGAUAUGUCACCUGUGUCUGAUGAUGCUAUGCUUGAUACUGCUUUGCCUGAUGAUGUUAUGCUUGAUACUGCUUUGCCACUUGGUGCAUUCCUUGAUGCACAAAUUGCUAGAGUUGCUGCCAGAUGUGAUGAUACUUCCGAAACUGCUGAUACUAGUGAUGUAGAACCUGCUAUUUUGCCUGCUAGAACUAGGUCUCCUAGAUAUGAAUUGCCUGAUAUGCGUGAGUGUUAUGUUAUGGAGGGAGAGAUAGCUGAGGAUUUUCUUGCAUGUAAGGAUAGCUAUGAUGUUGAGAAUUUACUGCUCAAGUGGAAAGAAAAAUCUCUGAACGCUAGGAUGAAAUACGACCCGAAGUUUGCUACUUCGCCUAUCUUUGUGAUCGGUAAGGAUUAUGAAUUCUCUGUCGACCCUGAGUUAAUCACUCUGGUCGAAUCUGAUCCUUUUCACGGUUAUGAGUCUCAAACGGUUGUAGCCCAUCUUACCAAAUUGCACGAUAUAGCCACCCUAUUCACUAGUGAGGAAAAGAUCCGCCACUACUAUAUCCUCAAGUUGUUUCCUUUCUCGCUAAAGGAUGAUGCUAAGACCUGGUUCACUUCUCUUGCUCCUGGUUGUGUGCGUAGCCCCCAGGAUAUGGUUCACUACUUCUCUGAAAACUAUAUCCUUGCCCAUAAGAAGCAAGCUGCCUUGCAGGAAAUAUACAACUUUGCGCAAGUUGAACAAGAGAGUCUCCCACAAGCUUGGGGGAGGCUCGUCCAGCUGCUGAAUGCUUUCCCUGGUCACCCUCUUGAAAAUAAUGAAAUACUUGAUAUCUUCUAUAAUGGACUUACUGAUGCUUCUAGAGACCACCUAGAUAGUUGUGCUGGUUGUGUUUUUAGGAAACGAACUGUAGAACAAGCUGAGAUCCUAUUGAAUAAUAUCUUGUGCAAUGAGAAUGCUUGGAAUAUUCCCGAACCACCUCCUAAGCCAACUUCGAAGAAAAGAGGUUUUCUAUUCCUCAGUCUCGAAGAUAUGCAAGAAGCUAAGAAAUCUAUGAAAGAGAAAGGCAUUAAAUCUGAAGAUGUCAAAAAUCUACCACCUAUCGAAGAGAUCCAUGGUCUUGAUAACCCGAUACAGGUAGUAGAAUUAAAUUCUCUUAGUAGAUUCGAUGAGAGUGAUAUUCCUUUUGAUAAACCUGCUAGCUUAUGCUUGGAUGAAUUUGAUAACUUUGUUGCCAAACAACAAAGUUUCAAUGAUUAUGUUAGCAGACAAUUGGAACAGAAUGCUCGUAUGCUUAGUCAUUUAACUGCUUGUGUGGACAGAAACGUCAAUGAUCUUAAGCUCUUGAGUAAACAUGCAUCUAUGGUUACUACUCAACUAGAACAAGUACUUAAAGCUCAGAAUGACUUUCUCAAUGAGUUGAAUGAAAAUUCUGUCAGAGUCGUCACUAGAGGCGGUAGAAUGACUCAGGAACCUUUGUAUCCUGAGGGUCAUCCUAAGAGAAUUGAACAAGAUUCUUAAGGAGUUAGCACUGAUGCACGUAGUCAUCAUAGAUAGAAGAAGAAAGAUGAUAGGAACCUGCAUGCUAGCAACCCUGUUGCUGCUACACCUGAGAUUCCAAACGAUGUCUGUGUCUCUGAUGCUGAAACACAAUCUGGUGAUGAACAUGAGCCUAAUGAUAAUAUCAAUAGUGAUGUUCAUGAUGAUGCUCAACCUAGCAAUGAUAAGGAUGUGGAGAUUGAACCUAGUGUUGAUCUUGAUAACCCACAUCCUAAGAAUAAGAGAUACGAUAAGAAUGACUUCGUUGCUAGGAAGCAUGGUAAAGAAAGGGAACCAUGGGUUCAGAAACCCAUGCCCUUUCCUCCCAAACCAUCCAAGAAAAAGGAUGAUGAGGAUUUUGAGCGAUUUGUUGAAAUGAUCAGACCUGUCUCUCUGCAAAUGUGUUUGACAGAUAUGCUCAAAAUGUCUCCGUAUGCUAAGUACAUGAAAGAUAUUGUGACUAAUAAAAGGAGGAUACCUGAGGUUGAGAUUUCCACCAUGCUCGCUAAUUAUACCUUCAAGGGUGGAACUCCUAAGAAACUAGGUGAUCCCAGAGUGCCCACUAUACCUUGCUCCAUUAAAGGCGACUAUGUUAGAACUGCUUUAUGCGACCUUGGAGCCGGUGUUAGUGUUAUGCCUCUCUCUCUUUAUCGUAGGCUUGAACUGGAUAAGUUGACACCCACAGAAUUCUCUCUGCAAAUGGCCGACAAAUCAACUGCUUUCCCUAUCGACAUUUGCGAGGAUGUGCGUGUUGUGGUUUCUAACGUCACUAUCUUAACAAACUUUGUUAUUCUGGAUAUUACCGAGGACGAUGCCAUGGCGGUCAUCCUCGGAAGACCCUUUUUAAACACUGCAGGGGCUGUUAUAGAUUGCAACAAAGGCAAUGUCACUUUCCAUGUCAACGGUAAUGAGCAUACGGUGCACUUUCCAAAGAAACAAUAUCGAGUACAUUGCAUCAAUUCUAUCAAAAAAACUUCAUCGAUUCUUAUUGGGAGCUUUGAAUGCCCUAUUUCUCCUGUUAAGAUGAAGUAUGAUUUGCUUGUUGGGGAGAUACACAUCCCCAUUGAGGUAACCUAGUGACUAUUCGAAAAUUCUCCAUUCUCUUUUGCGAUUCAAAAAGGUUUGUCAAGGAGACUUGAUCAACCUCAUUGACGGAUUUCUUUCGAUGACCAUGAGAUGGAUGAAUCGAGGAGUCACAAACCUCUGUUCCAAGCUUUCACCUUCGGUUGCUUAGAAUAAAAAUGAUAGCUUUAGUUUAGUUUUCCCUGUUUUCUGUUUUAGUGUCCGUAGAAAAGUACCCCGAAAAUAAAAGUUCUCCGAACGUCCUGAAAAUCAAGUAUGAUUUUUUCUGGAAUUUUUGAAAAAUACUAAGACGAAGAGCUAGUUUAGGGGCUACACCAGUGGGCCACAAGCCCUGGAGGCGCGGGCACCCCCCUGGCCGCGCCUACCUGGGAUGUGGGGCCCACGUGCACCCCCUCCAAUCAUUCUAGCUCCCAUCUUCUUCUCCUACCUCCAGAAAAAAUUGUUUCUCAGCUCAAACCCGUGCUCUUGCUCUUCUUGCUGGGAUUUUCGAUCUCCUUGCGCAAAGCACCAUUCUCCGAACUGUUUUGGGGAAAUUGCUCCUUGGUAAGUGACUCCUCUAUUGGUCCAAUUAGUUUUUGCUCUAGUGCCUUAUACAUCGCGUAUUUUUGCUACCUUGGUGACCAUGUUCUUGAGCUUUGCAUGCUAAUUUUGGCUGGUCCCAAGUAGUUUUGAUGUGUAAUAUGGCUUCUAGGCACUUGUGGGAGUAGUUGCUACGAGUUUCGUUGGUCCUUGUUCACUUUUCCUUAGAGUCACUAAAAAUUUCAGAAAUUUUCAGAGGUAGAAAAAGGAAAAGAUGAGGAGGUUCUUAAGAGGCUCUUCAAGCCGUGACCCCAAGGAUGAUGGAAGUGAGAAGAAGACCAAGUAUCCGGUCCCUCGAGUUGCAGAAGUUCGAGCAUGCGAAUGGCCAAGCGAUGUGUUCUUACGCGCCGUCGGACUUUAUGAGGACUUUUAUCACUUGGUGGAGAACGCAUGCCUUACCGCCUUCGUUGAAGAUAAAUGUUCGCAAUACCUCCUCCUCACUAAUAUUUUCGUGCAAAGCUUUAACUUCUAUCCAAGGGAGAAUCCUCCUAUGGUUGAGUUCAAAUUAUAUGAUAUCCCCCAGCGCAUGUCACUCCAGGAUUUUUGCAAUGUUUGCAAAUUACCUUAUGUUGGGGAUAUUCAUGAAUCUCGUCCACGGGACUUGGAGGCUUUCAUCGAUACUAUUGAUGUAGGAGAGGAGAGAGGAGUGUCUUGCGCUAGAGCUGCUAGCUUACAUUUUCCCGUGCUUCGGUACUUCUCACUAUUCGUGGGAAAAUGUUUGAUUGGCCGUGGGAAAGCUGGGUCCCUUAGCUCCCUAGAUCUUGCGGUCUUGUGCGAAGCCCUUUAUAAUGAUAAAACUUAUAGCUUGGGCGCUAUAGUAGCUCAAUGGUUGAACACGAACCAUUCUAAAGGCGUUGUCUAUGGAGAUAUCUAUGCUACCCGUCUUACCAGACACUUUGAGAUACCUAUUAGACUGGACGAGGAAGAAGAGAUUCUUCUUCCUGAGAGAUAUCUAGAUUAUGAUAGCAUGGUUUGCCAUGACUUUCUUGAUAUAGAUAUAAAUAGAAGGAUGAUUUAUAACCUGGUAUUUUGUCAGGGUACUCGUGAGACUAUUACUUUGCCUGCUCCUUCUUUGUUCAAUCUUCAUGCAGGCAGGUACAUUAUUAUGCCCUCGGACAUCUACGCAUAUUGGGGCGUAGCCCAACCACAAGUGCCCGUGCCCGAGCCACUAGUCGAGUACCAGACGCCAGUUUAUCAGUGGGAGCCAGAGGAGCUCACACAGCAGUGGCAUCCUCAGUCCACUCCGGAGUACCCCGGAGCUGGUUAUUUCCCUCCAUGGGAGUAGACCAACUUAGGCCAAAUGCCUAAGCUUGGGGGAGUACGUGUUUCUCACCGAAUUUACAUUCUUGCUUAUGCUUUCACUUUGUUAGUCGGUGUUCACACUUUGCCACAAUAUCAUCCAUGUUAGUUUAUUUUCUUUUUCUCUCGUUUUCUUUUCGUGUGUCUGUCUAGUUUGAGAAAACCCAAAAAGAUUUUCUUGUUCUUCUUUUGCUUGUUGGGAGCUUUCCCGUGUAAAUAGUUUUCUUUUUCUUUGGGUCAAGAUAGAAGACCAUGGUUACAAUGUUUAGUGGCUCUCACAUGCAUAUUUGUUUAUCUGUUAAAGAGCCAUAUUACUUUGUCUUCUCCUUUGUGUUUGCUUGCAGAUUCCAGCUUAGUCCAAUGCAUGAGCACUCUUAUUAUUGGUCACAUCAUUCGGUGAUGCAAGUGAAAGGCAAUAAUGACGAUAUAUGAUGAAGUGACUGAGCCUGGAAAAGCUGGUAUGAACUCGAUCUAUUUUGUUUUUGUAAAUAUGACUAGCUCAUCGUUCCUGAUUCAGCUUUGUUGUGAGCGAAACAUGUUUGCAAUGACAACUUAGAGAUCAUAGUUUAUGAUGCCAUGCUUAAUUAGCUAGGAGCUUAUAAUGGUUUGUCUUGGUUGCCAACAUGAAUUUUGAGAUGACUACGAUGUAGUAUGAUAGGAUGGUAUCCUCCUUUGAAUGUUUCAAGUAGCUUGACUUGGCGCAUGUUCACGCAUGUAGUUGAAACAAAAUCAACAUAGACUCUAUGAUAUUCAUGUUCAUGGUGAUUUAUGUCCUACUCAUGCUUGCACUCAAUGUUAGUUAAUCUCAAUACAUUUUGAUGACUGUUGUCGCUCUCUAGUUCCAUGAUCAAAUCGAGAAAGGGGUCGGUAAGAUAAUUGCAAACAAAACUCCCCCUGGAUUGAUGUUGGUAUGGACGGCACCCGAGGAUUCGGCUAGUCGUGGAGUGUGAUUGAUCGGUGGUGGGGGAGUCAAAACUUUACUUUUUUGUUUGGGAACGGCCUAUAGCAUGUGUAGCGUGGAAGAUGGUGAGAACUCUUAGUCAUUGCGUUGACAAUGAAAGCAUGCCACCCAAAAUUAUUUGUCUCUGUUUUAAAAGUUUGAGCUCUCGUACCUCUGCAAAUCAAUGCUUCCCUCUGCGAGGGGCCUAUCUAUUUAUGUUCCUGUUGAGUCAUCCUCUUCUUAUAAAAGCACCAAUUAGAGAGCACCUCUGUCAUUUUGAUGCUUUGCUUGUAACUAUGAUGAGUAUGACUGUGACUGGAUCUUCUUUGCCAGGAAUUACAAUGUUUAGUGAGCCCUUGGUCUUUGAAGGUGCUCUGCAUUUAUGUUUUGUGGUCUCAGAAAGAGCUAGCGAGAUACCAUCUGUUCGUACUGAUUCAUGAUUGUUUUGAUUGAAGUGUUGAUGUUUGAGACUUAUUAUUAUUUGCUCGCUAGUUGAUUAUGCCAUUGAUAUGAGUUUACCGUGAGACCUAGAUGGCAUUUGCUUAUGUGGUUAGCUUGUGAUCUUGCUGAAAUUCUUGAUAUGAGUUAGACAUAGUUGCAACAACAAGAUCAAACAGAGUUCGUAAAAGUUUUUCUUUUGUCUCUUUCAGUUUGUCAACUGAAUUGCUUGAGGACAAGCAAGGCUUUAAGCUUGGGGGAGUUGAUACGUCUCCGUCGUAUCUACUUUUCCGAACUCUUUUUCCCUUGUUUUGGACUCUAAUUUGCAAGAAUCAGUGGAGGAAGUGGAGCGUGGAGCCCACAAACCCACUAGGCGCCCCCACUGGCCGCGCCUGGCGGGCUUGUGGGCCCCACAAAACUCCACCGCCUCCAAAUCCAGCUCUAUUUAGUCCGUAUCGCCUGUAAAAAAUCAAGGAGAAGAGUUCAUCGCGUUUUACGAUACAGAGGCGCCGCCACCUCGUGUUCUUCAUCUCGAGGGCAGAUCUGGAGUCCGUUUUGGGCUCCGGAGAGGGGAGAUCGUCGCCAUCGUCAUCACCAACCUUCCUUCAUCGCCAAUUCCAUGAUGCUCUUCAUCGUUCGUGAGUAAUCUCAUCGUAGGCUUGCUGGACGGUGAUGGGUUGGAUGAGAUCAAUCAUGUAAUCGAGUUAGUUUUGACGGGGAUUGAUCCCUAGUAUCCACUAUGUUCUGAGAUUGAUGUUGCUACUACUUUGCCAUGCUUAAUGCUUGUCACUAGGGCCCGAGUGCCAUGAUUUCAGAUCUGAACCUAUUAUGUUGUCGCCAAUAUAUGUGUGUUCUUGAUCCUAUCUUGCAAGUUGUAGUCACCUACUAUGUGUUAUGACCCGGCAACCCCGGAGUGACAAUAGCCGGAAUCACUCCCGAAGAUGACCAUAGUAUGAGGAGUUCAUGUAUUGACCAAGUGUUAAUGCGUUGGUCCGGUUAAUUAUUAAAAGGAGAACCUUAAUAUCCCGUAGUUUCCAUUAGGACCCCUGCUGCCACGGGAGGGAUGGACAAUAGAUGUCAUGCAAGUUCUUUUCCCUAAGCACGUAUGACUACAUAUGGAAUACAUGCCUACAUUACAUUCACGAACUGGAGCUAGUUACAUAUCUCUUUGUGUUAUGACCGUUGCAUGAUGAAUAGCAUCCGGCAUAAUCAUCCAUCACCGAUCCAAUGCCUACGAGUCUUUUACUACUGGUCCUUGCUACGUUACUUUGUGUGGUACUGAUGUCACUGUUGCUACUGUUACUCUGUUGCUGCUACUGGUUACUAUUGCUACUGCUCCUAUCACCCUACUUUGCUACUGAUACUUUGCUGCAGAUACUAAAUCUUUCAGGUGUGGUUGAAUUCACAACUCAGCUGCUAAUACUUGAGAAUAUUAUUUGGCUUCCCCUUGAGUCGAAUCAAUAAAUUUGAGUUGAAUACUCUACCCUCGAAAACUGUUGCGAUCCCCUAUACUUGUCGGUUAUCAGAUAAAUUAAAUAUGGAUCAAAUCAAAAUGAGCGGUCCACGUGAAAUAGGCCUAGACUAAUUAAUCCCUAAAUAAACAUAACCUAAUUAGGCCUACUAAUCGAGCCGGCCACUAGCAGUGCUUACAAUGUCACGGUUGUGCCAUGGCCAGGCACAAGGCCACGAUAGCCAUGGCCAGAAGUAGCAACGUAGCAACAACAGUUGAGAGUAGCAUCAGAUGGGAGAAGCACGUGCAAGCAAACAACAGCUACCGCAAGAAGCAGCUACGGCAAGAGGCAACGACAUCGGCAGCAGCACACCGCACCGCAACAGCACACGACAGCAGUACUAGCAGUAGCAACCGGGCGGCAGCGAGCGGCGGCGGAUGGACAGCCGCACGGGUUAGCUUGCAAUUGGUGCGUCGGAGCAGCAGCACUAGAACAGCAAAGAGCGGCAGCAGUCGAGCAAAGCAGCAGCAAGUGAUAAGUCGAGCAGUAACCGCAAAGUAGCAACAACAGCGGCAUGCUACGAGCAACUUCUCAGCGCACGGGCAGCGGGCGCGCAGUCGGACGCGGCUAGGCAUGAUAGGUACAUCCAGGAGGAGCAGUAGUACGCGGGCGUGCACGACACAGGAUUCACGGGCGGCCAAUGCAGGAACAGAGCACCAACACGUACGCGUACAUUCGGGCGAGCUCGGGGGCGGCAACUACGACGACGGAUCGAGUGGAAAAAAGGGAGGAAUCGGCAAAGGUGCUCACCCUGGUUCUCGUGGACAAGGUUAGGAGGUCAGGGGAGGCGUGGAGCAGCGGCAACGAAGAUGAGGUGGUGGCGUCCGCGGCGGAGAAGAGCUCGAUGGCGAGCACAGAGGCUGUCCCGACUUGAGCUGGUCCUCGGAACGGACGGAUCCGGUAGCAGUUGACCUCCCGGACGUGUUCCCUCACGCCAAAGAGACCGUUGGACGCGUCAACAAGGGCGAGGCAGCGGUGACCACUUGAGCUCGUGAGCUCGAAUUCAAGACAAAGAGAUGGGGGAACGAAGGGGAUCGAGGGGGGUGGUAGAGGGCGAUCUAGGGUUUUCGGGCGACGUAUUUGUAGGUCCAAGGGGGGCUACAUGGUGGCCAUCGAGCCAUGGUGGCCGUGGAUGGCCUCCACGCCAUGGCAUGUGCCUCCUCUGUACGAGAGGUAGGGGAAAGGCCACGGUGGGCUGGGCCAAAUGCACUGUGGCCACUUAUGGCCCACUACCACACUAGAUCUCGUAUAUUUUUCCUUUUUCUUUUCUGUAAUAUUUUGCACCCUAUUUCUAUAUUUAGGUUAUGCGGCAAAUGAUAUUUUCUAUAACUGAAACUUUGCACAUAAAUCAAGCACAAUAUUUUGGGGUGGCAUAAAAAUAUUCAUAGUAUCUUGUAAGGUUUAAUGUUUUUAGAAAUUGAAACGAUCAAUUUAAUUGCUUUUGUCCCACCGUUAAAAUUCCCACGGACAUUUUGGUACCUCAGGUGAUGUUGUUUUCCCUAACAUAAUUACCUAUGGCAUAUUUACAACUAAACCAAGAUUUUUCUUUUACAUUCUGAAGAAAUAAUUUAUUUCAAAUUAUUUUAAAUUUGAAAUUUGGCUUUAGUUUUAUUAAGUGACAAUCUAGCUUAGUUAAACAUGAUGACCUGGCAUCAUUAGGGUGUGAUUAUUGUAGCCUAACUACAUUGCUUAGUGUAGCUUAAUCCGGGGAUGUCACAGCACAGGAAGUUGUUCUUGUGUCGCCUACACCAAUUGAAGUGGAAACUGAUGAUGGUGAUCAUUGAGCUUCGGAUCAAGUUACUACAAACCUCGUAGGUCGAGAAGGUCAUGUGCUACUACAGAGUGGUAUGGUAACCCUGUCUUGGAGGUCAUGUUGUUGAUCAGCAAUGAACCUACGAGCUAUGAAGAAGCGAUGGUGGGCCCAGAUUCUGACAAAUGGCUGGAGGCCAUGAAAUACGAGAGAGGAUCCAUGUAUGAAAAUAAAGUGUAGACUUUGGAAGAACUACUUGAUGGUCGUAGGACUAUUAAGUAAAUAUGGAUCUAUAAAAGGGAAGACGGACGAUGAUGGUGAAAAGUCACCAUUAAGAAAAGCUCGACUUAUCGCAAAGAUGUUUUGACAAGUUCAAGAAGUUGACUAUGAUGAGACUUUCUCACUCGUAGCGAUGCUAAAAGUCUGUUGGAAUUAUGUUAGCAGUUGCUCCAUUGUUUAUGAAAUAUUGCACUUAGGAUGUCAAAACAUUGUUUCCUCGACGGUUUCCUUGAGGAAAGGUUGUAUGUGAUACAACCAAAAGGUUUUGUCGAUCCUAAGGAUGCUAACAACUAUGCAAGCUUCAGUGAUCCUUCUAUAGACUGGUGCAAGCAUCUCGGAAUUGGAAUAUACGCUUUGAUGAGAUGAUCAAAGCUUUUGGGUUUAUACAAGGUUUAUGAGAAACUUGUAUUUCCAAAGAAGUGAGUGGGAGCACUAUAGAAUUUCUGAUAAGUAUAUGUGGUUGACAUAUUGUUGAUUGGAAGUAAUGUAGAAUUUCUGUAAAGCAUAAAGGGUUGUUUGAAAGGAGUUUAUUAAAGGAAAACCUGGAUAAAGCUACUUGAACAUUGAGCAUCAAGAUCUAUAGAGAUAGAUCAAAACUCUUAAAAGAACUUUCAAUGAAAUGCAUGCCUUGACAAGUUUUUGAAGGAGUUCAAAAUAGAUCAGCAAAGAAGGAGUUCUUGGUAGUGUUGUAAGGUUUGAAUUUGAGUAAGACUAAAAAUCCCGACCACGGCAGAAGAAAGAGAAAGGACGAAGGUCGUCCCCUAUGCCUUAGCCGUAGGCUCUAAAGUAUGCCAAGCUGUGUACCGCACCUGAUGUGUGCCUUUCCAUGAGUCUGUCAAGGGGUACAAAAGGUGAUCCAGGAUUGAAUCACUAAAACAGCGGUCAAAGUUAUCCUUAGUAACUAAGUGGACUAAGGAAUUUUUAUCGAUUAUGGAGGUGAUUAAAGAGUUCAUCGUAAAGGGUUAUGUCGAUGCAAGCUUUGACACUAAUGUGAAUAACUCUGAGUUGUAAAACAGAUUCGUAUAGUAGAGUAGAUAUUUGGAGUAUUUCCGAAUAUCAUGUAGUAGCAGCAUCUAUAAGAUGACAUAAAGAUUUGUAAAGCACACACGGAUCUGAAAGAUUCGGAACCGUUGACUAAAACCUCUCUCACGAGCAAGACGUGAUCAAACCCCAGAACUAUAUGGGUAUUGGAUUCGUUAAAAUCACAUGGUGAUGUGAACUAGAUUAUUGACUCUAGUGCAAGUGGAAGACUGUUGGAAAUAUGCCCUAGAGGCAAUAAUAAAUUAGUUAUAAUUAUAUUUCUUUGUUCAUGACAACCUUUUAUUGUCCAUGCUAUAAUUAUAUUGAUUGGAAACACAAAUACAUGUGUGGAUACAUAGACAAAACACUGUACCUAGUAAGCCUCUAGUUGACUAGCUCGUUGAUCAAACAUGGUUAAGGUUUCCUGACCAUAGACAAGUGUUGUCACUUGAUAACAGGAUCACAUCAUUAGGAGAAUCAUGUGAUGGACAAGACCCAAACUAUGAACGUAGCAUGUGAUCAUGUCAAUUUAUUGCUAUUGUUUUCUGUGUGUAACUCACUGACACCGGAGGAAUACCUUAUGUGUAUCAAACGUCACAACAUAACUGGGUCACUAUAAAGGUGCUCUACAUGUAUCUCCAAGGUGUCCGUUGAGUUAGCAUGGAUCAAGACUGGGAUCUGUCACUCCGUGUGACGGAGAGGUAUCUCGGGGCCCACUCGGUAAUACAACAUCACACACAAGCCUUGCAAGCAAUGUGACUCAAGUGUGAGUCACGGGAUCUUGUAUUACGAAACGAGUAAAGAGACUUGCCGGUAACGAGAUUGAAAUAGGUAUAGGGAUACCGACGAUCAAAUCUCGGGCAAGUAACAUACUGAAGGACAAAGGGAAUGUUAUACGGGAUUAUAUGAAUCCUUGGCAUAGAGGUUCAACCGAUAAGAUCUUCGUAGAAUAUGUAGGAUCCAAUAUGGGCAUCCAGGUCCCGCUAUUGGAUAUUGAUCGAGAAGUGUCUCGGGUCAUGUAUAUAUAGUUCUCGAACCUGCGGGGUCUGCACACUUAAGGUUCGAUGAUGUUUUAGUAUAGUUGAGUUAUAUGUGUUGGUGACCGAAGGUUGUUCGGAGUCCCGGAUGAUAUCAUGGACAUCACGAUGGUUUCCGGAUUGGUCUGAAAACGAAGGUUGAUAUAUAGGAAGUUGGUGUUUGGAUUCCGGAAAGUUUUCGGGCAUUGCGGGCAGUGUACCGGGAGUGACGAAUGGGUUCCGGGGGCCCACUGGGUGGGCCCACCAUGCCCCAAGGGGUCCACAUGGGUUUAUUGGAUGUACAAUAAGGUAUAAUGGGCUGACAAAGUCAUCCAAGGAAAGCCCAUGAUGAAAAAGUGGAAAAACCAAAAGAGGUGUGAAAAUAAGGAAGGAGUCCUAAUCCAAGUGUGAUUGGAGAAGGACUCCUUGCUACUGCAACAAAAGACCUUCCAACGGCGCUAGAAACACGUGCUGACGGGAGACUAUUCUUGUCUUGAUACUCCUCAGCAACGGCACCAGGAAUCCUUCUGCUACGGCUGCGCCUAUAAGGACUUUCUAGGCAAAUAUGCAAAGGAUUUCCCCCGUGGCCUUGGAGCCUUGUGUUGGUGUUCCCUCGAGGCGGAAAGGGUGAUGUAGCGCAGCGGUGGUAAGUAUUUCCCUUAGUUUGAGAACCAAGGUAUCGAUCCAGUGAAGGUGUAUCUCAAGUGCCUGCACAAACACAAAAAAGCUUGCUCCCAACGCUAUGAAGGGGUUGUCAAUCCCUUAUAGAUUGUUCGCCAAGUGAGAACUGAAAGCAACAAAGUAACAAAGCAAAGUAAAAGCAAAAGUGGAAACGAUAGGUGUGUAUAGACCCGGGGGCCGUAGUGUUUACUAGUGGCUUCUCUCAUGAAAGCAAGUUGACGGUGGGUGAGAAAAUUACUGUCGAGCAAUUGAUAGAACCGCACAAAGUCGUGACGUCAUCUAUGGCAAUGAUUAUAUCUAUAGGCAUCACGUCCAAAACAAGUAGACCGAUACUUUCUGCAUCUACUACUAUUACUCCACACGUCGACCGCUAUCUAGCAUGCAUCUAGUGUAUUAAGUCCAAAAGAACAGAGUAACUCCUUAAGCAAGAUGACAUGAUGUAGAUGGACAAUCUCAUAUCUACGACAAAUCCCACCUUGUUACCCUUGAUGGCAACUACAUGAUGUGUGCCUUUCUGCCCCUACUGUCACUAGGAAAGGUCACCACACGGUAAGAACCCAAAACCAAGCACUUCUCCCAUUGCAAGAAUCAUAGAUCUAGUUGGCCAAACAAAACCCAAGACUCGGAGAGACUUACAAGGGUAUAAAAUCAUGAUCCACAAUUUAUCGGAUCUCGACAAACACACCGCCAAAGAGGAUUACAUCGGAUAGAUCCUNNNNNNNNNNNNNNNNNNNNNNNNNNNNNNNNNNNNNNNNNNNNNNNNNNNNNNNNNNNNNNNNNNNNNNNNNNNNNNNNNNNNNNNNNNNNNNNNNNNNAAGUUCAUGAUAAUUGAUCAUGAUGCAAUGGAUGCUCAUGUAACUAUUUGGAAGAAAAUUUAAGGGCUAUGACACCAAAUCACAUGAAGCGUCCAGAAAGUAUAAAAUAAAGCAUUAAAAAAUCACCAAGUGGUAAUCACAUCAUGGAGGAACCGACUAAACAAGCCGACGAGCCUUAGCCUAAAGAGCGUCCAACAUCCGUCCUAGCCGCUACUAGUCCCUCUGCCUAGCUAGCGGGUGUCAAUGUUGCAGGAACGCAAGAAAACUGAAAAAAGUGUGAGAGGCUUGACAUGGAAAAACCCUCUUGAUCAUUAUCUUAUUGCGCGUGGUCCAAAGAGUCCACGAAAAGGCGACAAAGAUCAGCCAAAAAGACGUUUGUGUGUGUCGGACGGUCCUGCUCUGGCCUGAAGGAAGCUGGCUAGAUUGGUCGUUUCCCACUGAAUGGCUCCCGGACAAAACUUCAUAACGACCUUACCGUCUUGCGGGAGAAGAGAUAUGGUUAUCAUUCUCCGAUACACCAUACAACGGACAUAGCCAAUUAUCCGGGCAUGUCGUGAGAGAAGAGAAGGGAAACACUAAAGCCAAGCUAUCAUUAUCAAAAACGCGUUUGUCAAUGGACCAAUCGUGAGAGCCCAAGACUAGGUCCGGGUCAGGUGUAAAUCAAAAGCUAUGUUUAUAUAUUUCUUANNNNNNNNNNNNNNNNNNNNNNNNNNNNNNNNNNNNNNNNNNNNNNNNNNNNNNNNNNNNNNNNNNNNNNNNNNNNNNNNNNNNNNNNNNNNNNNNNNNNNNNNNNNNNNNNNNNNNNNNNNNNNNNNNNNNNNNNNNNNNNNNNNNNNNNNNNNNNNNNNNNNNNNNNNNNNNNNNNNNNNNNNNNNNNNNNNNNNNNNNNNNNNNNNNNNNNNNNNNNNNNNNNNNNNNNNNNNNNNNNNNNNNNNNNNNNNNNNNNNNNNAUGUUUAUAUAUUUCUUAUGAACUCUUAUAGUAGAUCCGAGUACUACUUUUCUUGGAACUUUGCUAUUUUACAAGAAAGCAGAAUGAUGGAUGAAUCCUUAAUUACAAUAACAAAACCAGGAAAGUGCAACUAUAGCAUACACUCCUUACAAGUACGUUGUUCAGAUGCAGACAUACAUAUAUCUUCCUUGCCGUACCCAACUUCCAUUCCCACUGAUCACUGACUCCACGCGCCGCAAAAAAAAAAAAAAAAAANNNNNNNNNNNNNNNNNNNNNNNNNNNNNNNNNNNNNNNNNNNNNNNNNNNNNNNNNNNNNNNNNNNNNNNNNNNNNNNNNNNNNNNNNNNNNNNNNNNNNNNNNNNNNNNNNNNNNNNNNNNNNNNNNNNNNNNNNNNNNNNNNNNNNNNNNNNNNNNNNNNNNNNNNNNNNNNNNNNNNNNNNNNNNNNNNNNNNNNNNNNNNNNNNNNNNNNNNNNNNNNNNNNNNNNNNNNNNNNNNNNNNNNNNNNNNNNNNNNNNNNNNNNNNNNNNNNNNNNNNNNNNNNNNAAAAAAAAAAAAAAAAAACAUUGCUACUGUAGCAUAAAAGUUCUGGCGUUCAUGAUGCGCGCGACCUGUAUAUGUAGCCCAUUCUUCUCUUUUGAGAAGGCGGUUGUGUAUAGAGUAUAACUAGAGGCGCGCAAGCGUCUGCAGGUCGACGGGGUGGACGUCGGAGGGGUCGGCGGCGCUGUAGGCCCUCCUCCCGACGAGGAUGUUGGCGGCCUCCGUGGGGUGGAAGGCGUCCCAGAAGAGGUACUCGUUCCUGUUGGCGCACGGCGUCUGGAAGGGCAGGCAGGUCACCUGCCCGUUGUUCCUNN
RNAcentral lists this long non-coding RNA (130607 nucleotides) under Hordeum vulgare. RNAcentral describes it as "long non-coding RNA (HVUL_LNC007724)". The record is from RNAcentral. Lineage: Eukaryota; Viridiplantae; Streptophyta; Magnoliopsida; Poales; Poaceae.